Molecule: long non-coding RNA, 136882 nt
Filed under: Medicago truncatula (barrel medic)
Lineage: Eukaryota; Viridiplantae; Streptophyta; Magnoliopsida; Fabales; Fabaceae
Description: long non-coding RNA (MTRU_LNC002980)
Source: RNAcentral
GACAUGAAAAUGUAAAGACUAGUACAUAUGACAUAUGAAUAACACUCAUAGGAAAACAACUUCAAAAGCGAAGACAAGCACAAAUGUGAAGACUAGAAAUAUGAACCCGAUCCAACCAACCAAUAUAUUAUUAUAAAUAAGGCCACAUUUAUUCUACCCCCCUAACAAUCCUAGUCCCACACACAACACAACAUUGCUUCACUUCAAAAGAUUGGACCAGCUGCAAGAAUCUCUUCUGUGAGGUUGUCAUCACCCUUUCCAAUUUUGUAGUUGGUGAAGGUUUCAAAAUUCUUCUUGAACAAUCCACCCAGCUUCAACAAUGUCGCAUUGUAGGCGUUUUUGUCUGACCACUGCAAUCCAUCAAAAAUACCAAUUAUUAAUAUCCCGUUUCUAAAUUACAAGUGUUUUAUUACCACGCAAGGUGAAUAAACGAACUGUUUUAGGAUAACUUACCGCAUUUAUAGGAUCCAGAAUUUCUGAAGGGACACCCUCCACUUCAGUUGGGGUCUGAAGGCCAAAAAUCUCACUCUUCUUGUAUUCUGCCCCCAGGAGGCUUCCAUUGUGAAUAGCAUCAAUUAUUUUUCUAGUAUAACUUAGUUUGAUACGAUUCCCGGUACCAUAGCUGGAUUAAUUUGACAUAGACAAGAACAUCAUGUUUAGCGCGAAAAAACAAAGAAACUCAACAAUAUUGCAAAGAGAAGCACUAAAAGCAUACCUGCCACCGGACCAACCAGUGUUAACAAGCCACCCUGUUGCACCAUGACUCUCCAUCUUUUCAGCAAGCAUUGCAGCAUACUUUGUAGGGUGUAACAUUAUGAAUGCUGCACCGAAACAAGCAGAAAAUGUUGCUUGUGGCUCCUUUAUACCAUCCUCAGUACCAGCCACCUACAUAAAAAUGGUUAGAAUCAUAUAACUGAAGCAACAUUGGUUUAGCAAAUAGUAAAAAUUAGUGAGAAUGAAAUUUAUUACCAGAGCAGUAUAUCCACUGAUGAAAUGGUACAUGGUCUGCGCCAGGGUUAGCUUACUCACAGGUGGUAGCACACCAAAUGCAUCACAUGCCAAAAGAAUAACAUUCUUUGGAUGAGGUCCAACACAUGGUAACUUUGCAUUUGGUAUGUACUCUAUAGGAUAGGCUGCACGAGUAUUUUCUGCAAUAAAAAAUCACCGCAUGUAACUAUCAGCAGAGAUAUAUUUUCUUUUGCGAUGAAGCACUAAUACACACACUAGACACGACGCUAAUAAUAAUUUUGAAAGAUGAAUUAAUUGAAUAUAGUCACAUGUGUCGGACACAUCUUCGAUCAGAAAUGUCAGUGCUACAGAGGUUUCUUGUAAUAGAUCAUUACAAUGUACAAAUCUAAUUAAAAAAAAUCAGCAGCUGACAAGUAGAGGUUUGACUUGUUUAUCUUUGAAAUUAAAAUAUUCGUCUCUUUAUUUAACACCGUCCUAUAAUCCUAUCCAUAGUGCCGUAUUACAGGAGGUUUAUAUUUUAAUUACAAGUGACCUUUCACAAUAACAUAUAGAUUACUUGUUACAUUACAUAUGAAGUACAACUUGUAAGGAUGUACGAAGUCAACUGUUAAUUGGCAAAGACAAAGUCACAGCUUAGUCCUCUUUUGUCAGCUAUAUUGAACAAAUAAUUUUAAAUGAAGCCAUCUUAGUCUUUAUACGCAACAAAAAUUGAUGAAGUCAACCAUUAAACAAAAGAGUUAACAAAAUCCAAAUACUAAUCUUAAUAAAAAAAUCGUUGAUUACCUGUAACUGAUUUGUCAGAAUAAUCAACUUCUCUAGUAUGCUCAUCAAACACCACGUUUUCCAACACUGGCAAUGCAAAAGAGAGAACAAAUCAAAAUAAUUUUCAAUGUUUCGAAAAUUAUAUACGCGGUUGGAAUAUAGACCGCGGUAUAAAAGUUUUUUAUAUUUGUCAAAGAUAAACAUAUACCUGUACCAAACCUAAUUGCAUUCCAGAUAUCAGGCUCUUUCUCCCGGGAGAGAUCGAUGCAUUUAGCAUAACAACCACCUUCAAUGUUGGAGACACCAUUCUCACUCCAACAAUGUUCAUCAUCUCCAAUCAAAUAUCUAUUAUGAUCAGUAGAAAGAGUUGUCUUUCCAGUACCUAUUUUAAAAAAAAAAAAUCCAUUAGAAUUAUAAGAAAAUGAAAACAAAAGCCAUAACUAAUAUCCAUGGCUAAGUAUAUAUGAUAUAUCUAGUGGAGUAUAGGACAAGGAAGGGAACAUAUCGGGGAGCGCAUGGCUGGCUGGAAGAGGUAGCUACAUUGAAUACUAUACCUGAGAGUCCAAAGAAGAGAGCAACAUCGCCACCUUUGCCCAUAUUAGAACCAGAGUGUAAGGAGAGAAUUUGGCGCUUAGGCAUGAGAUAAUGCAUGACACUGAAAAGACCUUUCUUCAUUUCCCCGGCGUAUUGUGUGCCGAGGAUAACCAUUUCCCUUCUAGCAAGAUUAAGAUCAAUGCUAGUGGAAGAUGUCAUGUAGUGAGUGAAACGGUUACAUGGAAACUUUCCGGCAUUGUAUAUAGUGAAGUCCGGAGUACCAAAAUUCUCCAGCUCUUCAGGACUGGGUCGGAUACACCUGUAACCAACCCAGUUAUCGACUUUUUUUUUACAUAGUUGGGAUGUUUUGCAUUAUUAUAGUGAUGCUUUUGCAUACCUUUUUAUUUAUACAUAUAUGAAUUAUAUACAAGGCUUUCAACAAUGUAGGAUACUUAUCUGGUGGAGCUUAUAUACCUACCUUUUUGUCUUCAAGGAACAAAAGAGAAACCAAACAACUAGUGUUGGCAAUUUUUUGUUAAGUAUUCUUUAGUUUACACUUACAUGUUGUGCAUGAACAAUGAAUGGUAUGCUCUGGCUGAUACAAUUCUGACUUUGAUUCUGUUCUCUGGAUCCCAAUUCAAGAAUUGGUCGUUCACAAACACCUGCGGUUACAUAGUCAUCGACAUUGUUAUUGUUUAUUUCUUACUUUUACUAAUAAGAUACUUGUGCAUUCGCAAAAGUGACUUUCGUUUUUAUGUAUGUUUAAAACAUUAUUAUAUCGAACGAAAUUUCGAGGAAUGCACUACUCUAUCUUGUUUGCCUUGAGCCAAGAUGACAUUAUAAAACUGAAAUUUAUUGUAAGAAUAAUAAAAUCAACUUGACCUCCCAAACUUGUCCAAUUGGAAUGAAUUAGUUUGAAUUAAUCAAAAAUAAAAUAAAAAUCCUCAUCUAAACCAAAAAGUUUAAUAAAUUUGAUCUUUAUCCAAAAUUAAAUUAGUCCAUCUCAACUUGUAGCCACCCUUAUUAUAAAAAUGGAAGUAAACUACUAAGUCUCUUUGUAGCAACAAAAUAAAUUCCUAAAUAAUCUUUCAACAAAAAGAUAACAAUGUUAACCAAUGAAUUUAUAAAUAAUUUGUUAAUUGAGAUAAGAGAAAAGAUAAUUAACUGAGACAAAGGAAGAGAUAGAUGCUUUUUUUAAUGGAGGCAAUCAACUCAUUGGUCAUAAUACAACAACACAUAAAAGGACAUGCCUUAGCACAGCAUAGGCAUGGUGCUCUAUACUGUGAAAGGAAUUAAAAGCAUAUAUACUUAUUCUCAGCAUGAUGAAUUCUGAGGCUGAGUAAUUAUUUUCCUAAAGAAUGGACACAUAUCUUUUAUCACUUAGCAAUAUGCAAAAUGGUGACAAAAAAUAUCCCCAUAUCCUACUAAAAUACAAAGCACCGCAAAGUAACAUCAUCAAGAUAAUAUUGUGUCACAUAAAGGGUCAAGUAAAACCCACUUGUACAAAAUGACAACAUGCACCAUUUCUAUGUCAUUAUCAUCUUAACUGCCAUGAAAUCUAAAUGUUUUUGGCUUGAAAAUAUUAAAAAAUGAUAUCACCAUUUUUUGUGUGAAAGUGAUGUUAUAUAAUCAUCACUUUUUAAAUAAAAUAUUAUUAAAAUUAUUAUAUAUUAUCACAUUUUUUUUGGAAAAAUAAAAGAAAAAAUAGGAAUCAUCACCUUGUCCAAAGAGUUCAAGUAAUCAACUGCCCUUUCUCUAUUCACCAUGAAAGUCUCCUCAUCCAUCUCAAUGUUAGGAGAACCCCUACAAAUUACAAAAUUUGCACAAUAUUAUUAUAGCAUUAAAUAAUACAUAAUAACCUAUGAAGCUCACACAGCAGAGACACGCAUAAUCCAAAAAGUAUAUGUAAUGAUAUGUGUCGGACGCCAAACAUAUCUAACAGAGACACGCAUAAUCCAAAAAGUAUAUGUGUUUCCUAAUAACAAAUAAAAUUGAAAGACAGAGAUAGAAGCAUCGAAUCAAAUAUUGUCCAAAGUAUGUACUUACUUUCCCCACCAAAGUUCAUUUUCAGUAACCUUAUCCUUAACCACACGCUUGUCUCUAGGAGAACGACCUGUCUUGGCACCAGAAAGUGUUGCCAUUGCUCCAUUGGAAGUGAUGAAUGAUCCUUUCUCAUACUUUAUCGCCUGCUCAUAUAGUUCUACACCAAAUCCAAACAAAACAGAAAACAACAAAAUCAAUUAUACAAUUUCACAUUAAUUAUUGCUACCAAUUAUAUUAAGGUAAGAAAGUGACAAUUUUUUACAUUAACUAUUGUCAGAUUUAUGAUUGAUAACUUUAUUAUCAUGUUGCAUUAUCUUUCAACUGUUAAAUGUAUAUUAAAUAAUAAUGACUUUGAUCAUAAAACGACAAGAUUUAAAUAACUAGCAAUAUUUCAAAUAAAUUUGUUAGAAGGUGACGUUUUAAACCAUUUCGUACACUACAUGUACAGAAUUGAAGAUUAUAACUAUAACUAUCAUCAUAAAUAAAUUAGUUAGAAAAACAUGACCAAAUAAAAAAAUCAUAAAGUAAAAAUUUAACUAAGGGAGGUUUAGAAAUGAAAUGAGUAUAGUACCAGCUGGGGAGAGAUUGUAGAGAACAUGUGUAAAUUUCAAAGCACUGUCACUAACAGCAAUGGUUGGAGUAGGAACAUGAUGGUGGUGAACAUGGUCAACCUUCUGGUUCUUGGCUGGAUCUCCCUUCACCACCUUUGGUCCAGUUUCUCUUGUCAAUGAUGCCAGUGAUGCACUGUUUCAAGAAGAAGAAAAAAAUGUUAACAUAUUCACAAUUUAUUUAAUAAACAUAUAAUUUACACCGCAAAAAAAAAUGAAAAUUAAUCUAAUUCAAAGUUCAUUUCAUAUAUCGUAUCUAAAGACGAUAGGGUGAUAAAUAUCAUUUAAAAUUCAGUGUCUCAGUCUAAUUGAUAUGAUCAAUCCAAAAAUAUCGAUUUUUUUAGGGAAAAAUAUCGACUAUUUUUUAAAAUUGAUUAUCGGGGAAUUUAUUAAAGUAUUUAAUGUGAAUAUUUGUUUUGCUAUUUUUUUUAAAGAAAAAAUUGAUUUUCUAUGCAAACGUGUGUGUAUGGGAGAGACCCAAGAUGAAACGCUGAUUUGGUCCCACGCAAUCAGAGCAUUUGACACCGUCAGAUCCAUCUCAUCAGUUUCUGAGUCAAGGCGCCACAUAAAAUGGGACCCACAAUCCCACCUUUUAGGUUGCCUAAACGGAUUUUCCGCUCGUCUUCAAUUGACUUAACGCUAUAUUGCAAUAAAUAAUUAGAUUUAGUGUAUUACACGUAUUAUAAAAUUUACGCCUUUUUUUCUUCUCUUUUUUGUAUUAAGAAGAUAUUUCUACGCAUAACUCAUAACUCCGAAGACUAAUUUUAGAGUUAGACACAACUAUGAUGUAAACUUGUAACAAAAAAAAAAAAACUAUGAUGUAAACUUCGCAAGAUUAAUACUUUAAUUAUAAGCAUUUUUUUUACAGUACCAAAAAAAAAAAAACACUUUUUUAAGGAAGUUAUAAACACUUUUAGCAUCUCCAUCAAUUAGUAUAUAUUAUAACCUUUAAAAAAUCAAUUAUAAUAUUUGAUCAUUAAAAAAUUAAUUGUAGUUAUAACUACGUAAAAAUCCCACAUAAAUAAUUUAUGAUUUAUUGAUGGUAUAAAGUUUCUUAAUACAGUAUGAUCAUUCAAAAAAAAUAGUUUCUUAAUAUUUUGAAUUAAAAUUAGACUCAAAACAAACAAAAAAUUAAUCAUAAGCAAUUGCUUUUACACGUUUUAAGUGUAAUUUUUUACCGUUUGACUGAAACGUGUAAAAACUUGAAAUUAAAGUGAGAUAAAUGCAGGCACACAAUUUAAUAAAAUCUAACUACAUCACCGCUUUACCACUUUUUCCCAUGACCAUGAAUCAAGCAAUUAUUAAUUAAAAAUGUGACAGAGAUAGUACCUAAUUGAUUGGAGUUGCAAUUUCUGGCGUUCUUGAUCAGAAAUCUGAGCAAAUGGAGUUGAAGUUCCUGUAUUAGGUGUAGAGGGUGCUGAUUUCUUCUUCUGCAGUGAAUGAAGUUCAUCAAUUGUUUUUGCAUUUACGGUGGGACCACUAUCAUCGUGACAAAUCCCGUUCACACUUUUCUUUGUCGUAAUUUUUGGAAGCCCAUUGCUCCCGUUCUCUGUUGCAAUACUUCCAUUUCCAUUUCUGUUUGAUGCCAUUUUUUUUCAAUUUUUUCUCUGCCAACCAAAAAAUAUAAUUAAAUAUAUCUAAUAUAAACAAUGCUUUGUUUGACACUUUCCAUGGUUCAAGAUCAAAGAUUCAAAGUGCAUGUGUUUGACAAAGUUUUGUCAAAGCUUUAAGUACACUUUUACAAAAUCACGGUGGUUUAACCCAAUUAUUUCAAACAUUCACAAAAUAUAUAUAAAGGAAAAGAAAAAAAAAAAAAACAUGACACUGAUACUACACGAUAUUGAUGUAGUGGUUACAUCCGAUCAUUUUAUCAGUAUUUAUGUGUCGUUGUGGUGUUUACAUAAAUCAUCGUUUGCAUGUUUGCUAUCACGGUGAAUUUGUCAGAACUACGUGUAAAGAGAACAACAUUGUACAGCAAAAUAAAAAUAGAACGAACCAAAGAAUUGUAGCUAGGAUGCUGCUGAGGAAAUCUGGAAAAUGAGAAAACUAAAGAGAAACAAAGGAAAUUAUCGUAAAAACGACCAUAAGAAGUGCAAUAAUGAUGUAAUGUGAAAGACAAAUAGAUGAUGGAAAUUUGCAAUGUUGGUGAUGUCCUUUUAUAGGGUGCAGUAAUAGCCUCCACUUAACUAGAGUUAGAUAUAAACUAUGGUUAAGGGUAACCAUGGUUAAAUCCUAUCCCUCUUGUCAUCAGCGGUCAAUACUCGACUCAUCAUUAUUCGGGAAUAAGGGGCAGCUGGUUAAAUGACUCUGUAUGUGAAUGACCCAAAUAGAGAAGCCAAUCCUCUGUUUCUCAUAUCCAACGUAGCAUACACUCAUUCACAACUCAUGUUACAAUAUGUUUAUUAAAUAAACAAGAUCAUGUUACCCUAUAAACAUUUUUCAAUCUUCUUUCUUUAUAACACUUGGAAACUUUGUCAAUAACAGCGUAUCCAUUUUUUAUACUUAUCUAAAACAUGAAAUUAAUAAUUCUUCAAAUACCCCCUCUAAAAUAAAAAACUUCAAAUACCCAACGGUUCUAUAUUUUUUUUUUUGUCGGUGAAGUUAUGAUAUGAUUUAGAGCUUUUUUUUUAAGUUAACCUAUAUACAAUUUUUAAAAAUUUAUUGACAAAGACUAGUUGAAAGGGGAAUUGAUUUAUGACGAAUUUUGUUUAAAAAAUCUAUUUCAUGACCAAUUUAAAUUCAUCCUUUUUUUUAAAAAAAAAAUUAACAGCGUAAAAACAUCAAAAAGAAUAUAAGAUACUUCAAAAAAAUUGAAAUUUGUUAUAGACUUUAAUCAUAUGAGAGGGAGAGAGAGUCAAAUUUCACGCAUAUAAUGUUAUACUGUUCAAUGUCAUUUUACUUGAUUUAUAUAUAUUUUUAAUUUGGUCACUAAAUUAUUUAGAAGUUUAUAUCGUAUAGAUCAUUAAUGUAAAUUUUUACAAAACUCUAAAAUCAUUUGAUAUAUCAUUAAGAUGCACCAAGAUUAAUGAUGUUAUAUAAAAGUGUAUAAAUCGUUAAUUUUGAUGUUUCUCAACCACAUAUCAAAUGAUUUUAGAUUUGCGUAAAAAAAUUCAUUAAUGAUCUAUUUAAUAUAAACUUACAAUCCAACGAUCAAAUUUGAAAAUAUGUAUUGAGUAAAACUCUCAAACUUACAAAUUUGUAUAUACAUACUCUAACCUGCCUUGUAAAUACUUAGAAAUACAUUCAAAAGAUAUAAAAUUUAGGUGUAUUGUGAUCAUAUAGUUUACUACUCUUUUAGUUAUUUAUAAAUCUUAUAAUCCUCUAGGUUAAGGUUCGGAAGUCAUCUAGGUUAAGGAAAGAAAUUAUAGGACUAACUUGCCUUAGUGUUUAUUGUUGUAAAAUGUUGGAUUAUAUUGAAAUCUUUCGGUAGUGCGACAUGAUUGCACUAACUCCAUAUUAUGGAGCGAACAAGUAUAAUUUUUUGUGUCCUUUCUUCUUUUCCUUAACUCUUUACAAUAUGCACUUUAUAAUUUGUCCAAUGAUAAAAAGGAUCUUACCUAUCCUCGAAUAAUAGAAUAUAUUAUGCCAGUUUAUCAAAAAUAAAUUGUAUCGAACCACAUAGAUUGUGCUUAGUUUCAAUCGUACUUAAAUUUAAAGAAAUUCUAAAUCAAAUUUGUAAAAAUGUUUUGGUAGUAGGAUCACAAGUAAAAUAUGAUAAGUUUGAGAAAGUUGUGUUGGAAUUAGACUUAGAUAACUUCUCAUCCAAUGGUUCCUCUUAAUCGAUUAUAUAUUUUUCGAGCUUCACAUAUAACUCUACCUAUCCAUCAACAUACAACUCCAUUCCUUGAUGACAAUGCAAAAUCCAUUGAAUAAUCCACUUCUAAUGCUCGGUGGCAAAAUAAUCGAUUGAUUCAAUGGCAAAUGACCGAAUAGUUAUGCAUGAAUAUAGACCUAAUUGAUAUUUCUAGAGUAUUAGCACUUAUAUGUGGCUUAAACCAUAUAUGUUUGAUACAAAGUUGAUUCCUCACACUUACUAAAUCAAAAGAGCAUUUGUUAAGUGCUCGUCGACAAAAGUAUUAAGAAUAUAUUUAAACCAAAGAUUAUAUUGAAUGCAUAAAUCAUAUACAACUAGCCAAAUUAAGAGUAAUACAUAGAAUCUUAGAUAUUUACAUCUAAUCCCAACACGAAAGAAAUUUUAGUUACAUAUGGAGAGCAUAACUACAAAAACAGGUUAAUUAAUGUUGGAAAAGCACGAAUAAGCUUUAAUCCAAGCUUUCUAGCCCUCCAAUGUUGAACACACACCUCCCUCUUUGUUCUCUCUCUUAAAGUAUUAUAUUACAAGUGAUAAAAUGAAUAUUCUGACUACACUCUUUGGAGAUGGAGUUUUUGCAAGUGUAUGUUCGCUAGGUGAAGUGGUGCUCGCCGAGCGAAUCGAGCUUUCUUUUUUGGACGGAAAAGUUAAUUGUCCUUUGUACUUUUCAGAAACCUUCUUAUUUCACCUAGCGAAUGGACUUUAACAUUUCUCUCUAGAUAUCUCUGUUUUGGCUCGCUUCCACUUCAGUGCAAUCAUAUCAAAAACCUACAAAAAAGCGUUCGAAAAUUUGAACUUUUACUUACACUUGGUAUUUGGUUAAUAAAAGUUACACUCAUUUAAUAAAUGAGUCAAAUUUGAGUAACGAACUUUUACACAAAUCAAAUUCAAACUCUAAGUGCAAGAUUCCACUCGUUUACACACCCCAUUAAUACGUGUACAUAAAGUUAGUGAAUUUUCAUUGUUUCAACUAAUUAUAUUUUUUGGUAUAGAUCGUGUAUUUUGUACACGCAAUUAUAAAGACAAAGAUCGUAAGAAAAAAAUUAUGAAGACAAAGCCGUCAAGCAAGGUAUAUGAUACCAAUUGAUAGCCAAUAUGAUCUCUUAAGAAUUUUAACUUUCUUGCAUCUCUAAGACCAAAUUUGAACUCGAUAAAUGAAUUGAAUCUUCUCAUCUAAACUCUCCUUUUUUUUCUUCUUCUUAAUCUCAUUGCAAAUAGUAGUUUUUAUCUUGGUAGUCAUUCUCUAUAUCAUUUUGAGGCCAUAAUCCUCAAGCCUGCAUGAUAUUUCAUUCUUUUGACAUGGGUUUGAACUACCUUUCAAAUGAGUGACUACAAUAAUAAAAUAGACUUAAGACCUACUAUGAGUGUUGAGACUAAUGAGUGUGUUUCUUACUUCAACUGACCCCUCCGUUAGUAGGCGUUGACUAGAUAUCGUGUUUCCUAAACCAAGAUUGCAAUAGUAUGUAAAGUGAUCUUACAAAUAAGCUAGCUAUAUUAAACUUAAAUGGUUAAUAGUGUUUUUCACCCCUGUAAUAUAUGUCAUUUUCGAUUUUCACCCUUAUAAAAUUUUUGGUUUGAUUUGCACUAUUGUAAUUUUUUUUUCUUCGGAAAACACCCUUAAUAGGCCAUUCAAAAACCAAAAUUUCUUGAAAAUGGCCUAUUAGAGGUGUUUUCCGAAAGAAAAAAAAAUUACGAGGGGGCAAUUCAUCCCAAAAAUUUUAUAGGGACGAAAACAAAAAGUGACUUCUCUUACAGGGGAGAGGAAGACUCUGCCAACAAACCCCCACAAAGUGCAAAAACAUCCCCAUGUGACGUUUUUCAGGUCCCGGGAUUCCCCAGGACCCCGGAUCUACAACGUUGAUGACCCAAAAGUCAAGGAUGGGAUAUGCCCGGGAUUUAAGCUGAUUUGAUAUUUUGUUCCAAACAAAUCCCGGAACAAACAAAAAAGACAAACAAGGUCCCACAAAGACAACAAAAAAAACAACGUUGCCCUAAGACGACAAAUUCCCGAAAGAAAAAAAAAAAUAGAUGGGAAAAUGAAAAAUCACUUUUUUCAAUAAAAGGGAAAAAAAAAAACGGGGUGGGGGGGAUUUGGGGCCAAAAUUUGCCCCUUUGAUUUUUGAAAAAAAAAAAAAAAAAAAUGGACCAAAAACCCCCCCCCUUUUUUUUGAAAAAGGGAAGAAAAAAAAACAAAGGUUUGGAGAACCCCCCCCAAGAGAAAAAAAAAAAAAAAAAAACUUUUUUUUUCUUUAAAUAGAAAAAACCCCGCCAAAUAAGGGGAAUUUUUCCUUUUUAUUUCUUCCAUUUUAACAGCCUUUUUUUCCAAAAAAAAAAAAAAAAAAAAAAUUCCCUAAAAAAAAAAAAAAAUAAAGAAUGCGGAGGGAAAUCCCAAUUUUCGGGGUGCAACCCCGGCCUUUCCCUUUUUUAGAAAUUAAAAUUGGGGGGGCCUAAAAAGAGACAGAGGUGGGGAAGAAAAGAAAUUCGCAGGGAUUUUUCCCUUUUUUUAAAGUUGGGGGGGAAAAAGGGGUUUUUCCACCCCGGAAAAUAAAUGGGUUUUUUUUUUUUUUCCCCCCCCAAAAAAAAAUUUUGUGGGGGAGGGUGAAGAACCCGGCAAAAUUUUUUUUUUUUUUUUUUAACCAGAAAAACCCCCCCCAAAAAAAAAAAAAUAUUUAAAAAAAUUUUUUGUUUUUUUUUUUUUUUAUUUGGGAGAAUAAAUGGGGGGGGGGGUUGUUGCGGGGGGGGGGGAGCAAAAGAAAAAAAUAAAAAACAAAAAAAAAAGAGUUUUUUAUUUUUAAAGAGUGGCGCCCCCACCCAAAAAAAAAUUUUUUUAUGGGGGGGGGGGGAGANNNNNNNNNNNNNNNNNNNNNNNNNNNNNNNNNNNNNNNNNNNNNNNNNNNNNNNNNNNNNNNNNNNNNNNNNNNNNNNNNNNNNNNNNNNNNNNNNNNNUUGUUUGUUGUUGGUGGCGUUUGUUGGGCGUCUCCUUGCACUCAACGAAGGCGCAGCGGGAGCGGAGGGAGAGGGGUGAGGUAAGAAAGAAGAGUUAAUUCUCAACAAAAAAAAGGGGUGGGCGCACACUAUUAAAUAAAAAGAUAGGAGGGUGUAUAUUUGUGUUUUUUUUUCCCCCCCCCGGGAAAAAAAACAGCUAUUUUGCUGGUUUUCCCCCCCCCUAAAAAAAAUUUUUUGGUGUUUUGUUGGGCCCACACUUGAUAAAUUUUUUUUUUUUGGGGAAAACCCCCCCCCUAGUGGCCGCCUUAAAAAAAAAAAAAAAUUUUUUUAAAAAAGGGUCUUUAAAAGGGGGUUUUCUUGGGAAAGAAAAAAAAAAUAUUGGGGGGGGCAUUCCACCCCCAAAAUAUUUUUUUUUGGGGAAAAAAAAAAAAUGACAAAAUUUUCGGGGGGGGAAAACACCCUUUUUCCCCCCUCACUAAGGGGGGCAAAAUCCCCAAGAAGGCUUUCUUGCCCCCCCCUGUUCCUGGUAGCCCCCCCCAUCCUAAUUUUUAAAAGGGAAAAGGUCCCGGGUUGACAUCAAAAAUUGGGAGGCCCCUCCGGUUUUUUAAAUUUUUUUUUUUUUAAGGAAAUUUGAUUUUUGUUUUUAUUUUUGGAAAAAAAGCCUGGAAAAUGGAAGAAAAAAAAGGGAAAAAUUCCAUUUUUUUGGCCGGGUUUUUUUCGGAAAAAAAAAAAAAAAAUUUUUUUUUUUUUUUUUUUUUUUUUGGGGGGGGUAUCAAAACCCUUGUUUUUUUUUCUUCUUUUUUCAAAACAAAAGGGGGGGGGGUUUUGGGCAAAUUUUUUUUUUUUUUUUAUCAAAAAUCAAAGGGGCAAAUUUUGACCCAAAAUCCCCCCAACCUCGUUUUUUUUUUUCCCUUUUAUUGAAAAAAGGGAUUUUCAAUUUUCACAUUUAUUUUUUUUUUUUUUUUGGGAAUUUGUUGUUUUAGGGCAAAGUUGUUUUUUUUGUUGUUUUUGUGGGACAUUGUUUGUUUUUUUUGUUUGUUCAGGGAUUUGUUUGGGUCAAAUUAUCAUAUCAGCUUAAAUCCCGGGCAAAUCCCAUCAUUGACUUUUGGGUCAUCAACGUUGGAGAUCCGGGGUCAUGGGGAAUCCGGGGACUUGAAAAUCGUCAAAUGGGUAUGUUUUUGUACUUUGGGGGGGUUUGUUUGCAGAUUCAUCCUUUUUGAUGUUAGGGAAUUUGCAUUGUAUCAGUAUACUCUAUCAAUUUGAAAGAAAGAAAAUCAUUUUUAUUAUUUACCUUAAUAGGCCCUUCAAAAACCAAAAUUUUUUGAUUUUUUUUUUUUUUGAAAAUGGUCUAUUAGGGGUGUUUUCCGAAAGAAAAAAAAAUUACGAAGGUGCAAAUCAAACCAAAAAUUUUAUAGGGGCGAAAACCGAAAAUGACAUAUAUUACAGGGGUGAAAAACACUAUUAACCCUAAACUUAAAUGAGUGCAAAAUCCUCAAGACUGCUAUCUUGUCACACCAUUGCUCAUGAUAGCGCACGCAAUCAUAAUUCAUAAAUGAGAAAUGAUGAUGGUUUGACAUCAAAAUUUGGAUGUCACAUGCGAUCUUUUAAUUUUUAUUUUUUUACUUAUUUUUUUAAGGAAUUUUGAUUUUUGUUUAUAUUUCUGAAAUAAAUGCAUGUAAAUUGAAAGAAAUAAAAAAAAUAAAAGAGAAAUAUACAAUUAAUAUGACAGAUAUUUUUCAGUAAUAAGAAGAUAUAAGUUAGCCGGCCCUAGUUUUUUAGUGGGAGAAACUCCAACUUCUCUCUAAACUUUCUUUCUCCUUCGUUCAUCGAGGAGAGGUGGUUUUAGGUCAUUUUUUGACCUAGAAUCACCCCUCUACACCUUUUUUCCCAUUUUCUUUCAAUCUAAAUAAGUGGUUUUCACAUCUAUCAAGUUUUUCCUUUUGUGUUUUUUGUGAUUUCGUCGUCUAAGUGCGGCGUUGUGUUGUUCGUCGUCUUGUGCGGCGUUUGAUUUUGUGUUUUGUCGCGGUGUUUGUUUAGUUCCUCUUGAAAGAUCUACAUCAGUCAAUUACAAAUUCAACCAAUGAUUUGGACGUCAACGUUGCAGAUCCGGAAGCAUGGGUAUUUCGGUGACUUAAGUUUUAUCAUAUUAUUUGUAGGCAUUUUGCCGUUGUAUGCUAUUAACUUGGGUGCUGUGAGUUUGUUUGCAGAUUCACCCUUUACGUUUUUAGCGAUGUUUGUAUUUGAUGUACUCUAUCAAUUUGAAUGAAUGAAUAUCGUUUUGUUUUUGUCAAAAAAAAAGUAAUAAGAAGAUAUAAGUAUCCUCUCUCUUCUCUUUCUCUCUUGUGAGCCGUCAUCAAAACCUUAGUUUAUAUUCCUUCAUUCAUCAAAUACAAAGAGGGGGUGUAUUUAUGGUCUAAUUUUUAUUUUUUUUUUUUUUUAUCAAAAAUCAAAGGGUCAAAUUUUGACCCAAAAUCACCCCAACCUUGUUUUUCUCUUUCCCUUUUAUUGAAAUAAGUGAUUUUCAAUUUUCACAUCUAUUUCUUUUUUUCUUUCGUGAUUUCGUCGUCUUAGUGCAACGUUGUUUUAUUCGUCGUCUUUGUGCGACGUUGUUUGUCUUUCUUGUUCGCUCAGGUAUUUGUUCGGAUCAAAUUAUCAUAUCAGCUUAAAUCCAGGGCAUAUCCAAUCAUUGACUUUUGCGUCAUCAACGUUGUAGAUCCGGAGUCAUGGGUAUUCCGGAGACUUGAAUAUUGUCAUAUAUGUAUGUUUUUGUACUUUGUGUGAGUUUGUUCGCAGAUUCAUCUUUUUUGAUGUUAGUGAAUUUGCAUUGUAUCAGUAUACUCUAUCAAUCUGAAAGUAUGAAUAUCAUUUAUUUUUGUAAAAAAAAUAAAAAAAAUGACAGGUAUUUUGAUUUUGGACUACUCAAAUAACUCCCAUGCCAAAUUAUCAUUCAUUGUAGAUCAUACCAAGCAACGAUGGUGGUGCCAGUUGACAAAUGAAAAGCGACGACAUUUGCACUAUUAUGAAAAUAUGGUAUUCUGAUUUUUUUUUUUUUUUGUUGAAUCAAAGUGACCUAAUCCCCAAAAUAUAGUAUUUUGAUAUGUAGAGCCGUGGAAGACUCAAAUAUAAAUACUUUUUUAAUAUUUUUUAACAAUAAAAUUUAUUAAUAAUCAAGUUCAUACAAGACGAAUAGAUACAUGCAGACAAACAGAAACAUGUAAGAAUUAAACAACAUAGCAAAUGACCUCGUGUAUAGGUAGAACACUCAAAAGAAGAUCCAUACACGUACAUCAAAAACAAAAUAAAAACACAUAAGCAAAUAAAAACUAAUUACCAAAAUCAAAGUCAAGCCCCCCUGGGCAACAUCAUAAACAAAACUUGAAUCAAAACCUCAAACUCUAUGACGAGUGACCACAAAAACUACUUCCAAACACAUACAACCUACUUCUCACACAAAGCCCUCCUCCAAAAUAACCACAAAAAACGACCAAAUACUCUUAUAACAACACCUAUGCUUCUGUUCCCAAAGUGGAGCCCAAAUAAACACCUAAAAAUCACAUAUUUAAACGCUAAUUCAGAUUCCACCACCGAUCAAAAAACAAAGCAAGGCAGCCCCCCCCACUCAAUACCUCUAGAAGAAGACAAAAUAGCACUCGUCAAUAGAAGAAGAAAAGUUCUCACCUAAUCGCAGUCACAAUCAAUGACCAUUGGGCACCACAAAACAACCCACAUCCAGACCAAACAUCCUCAUACAACACGUCCCCACUUGAAAAAUACAAACCACCCUAAAGAACCAACGUGAACAGAGAGUCCAAAUCUAGAACACAAGUUGUCCCUCCAACACCCUAAACCAACACUAUUUCGAACCACCACCAACCUCUACUUCGCUAGAGAAGACACUAUAACAAGCCGAAAAUCUUGAAUCUAGAAUUUGAAUUUCGAUCUCGAAGCAAAAGCGAUCGAUCCACAAAAACCCAGAAACAUAUCACUAGGGCAGUCAACAGUGACACACACAUAACCAUGUCAAAGAUGGGUCUAUAUCGAAAUCAACCCAAAAUCGAACCACAAACAAAUCGAAAAACACCCAAAAAAGUAAAAGAGCUAACGACGGCUGAUAUGAGCCCAAUUCAGAGGUCACCACGGGCAGAAAGUGAAGGAAAGAGCCCAACAAAAAAGUAAUUAAUUUUAUAUAAUAUUUAUGGUACAAUUUUAUUUUAUAUUUUAAUUAUAGAGGAAAUAUGUUUGUUUAAAAUUUUUAAAACAUUGUAAGAAAGAUGAAAACAUUGAAAAAUGAAUUGGGUUUCAUUUGAAACGUGGUGGCAUGGCCAUGGUUGGUAUUUUUAAAUUGAUUAUGUUUUUUUUUUUGAGAUGAUUGAUUAUGUUUUUGUAGUGUUGUUGUCUUGAUAAAAAAAUGUUUUGUACUUUCCCUUUGCAUCUGGUCAGAGGAUAUCGAGAAGUAGUCUAUUGAACCAAUUAAUAAAUACUACUAAUAAUAAUACUCCUAAAAGGAUAUCAUCAGUGACGUUAAAUAAAAGUCAUUAAAAAUAUAAAUUUGAUUUUGGAAAAAUUAUAUUUUUAAUGACUUCUAUAAAAUAAUACUAUCAAUUUUGAAAACGCUAAAAAGGUUUAAUCUAAAUUAUAAUUGAAAAGUAGAAAUGUAAAGACUUAAUUGAAAAGGUUUAAUAUUUUUUUUUUUAUGCAGGGGUUCAAACCUCAAAUCUUAUAUAUAUUAUGCAUUAUUUAACUAAACUCACGAGGACCGCGUAGUGUAUGUUUAUGAGUAUGGUACCAGGUUCGAUUUAUAUUUCAUUCAUAAAAUGUUACAAAAUGUUACUACCAUAUACGACAUAUCUUUCUCCCUUUUUAAAAAUUUGUCUUUAUCUUUCAUUAAUUUCUAUAAGUUGUUAUUUUCUAUGUUCACACACUCAUGUUUUGGAUCACAGCUGUAAAUGAACUUCUUUCAAUGGUUAGUGGUAAUUUGGAAGGCAGACAUGAUCCUACUCACGUGAAAUUAAUGCACAUUAAAAUUGGAUCAAUGGCUAUGAUGUAAUAUAUGCUGAAAAAAAGUACAAAGGACUAACAAAGAAAGUGAAUAUUUAGUAAAUCAAAGAGGUUACAUUACAUAAUGGUUAUGGAGUUGAUAACUGAGGGAGGGGAUAUGUGGUAGAGGUCGCAUUGUGAGUUGUGAAUCUUUACUUUUAUUUUCUCUGUUUGCUUUCAUUUUCACCAUUCCCGUGUGACGGAAAACUUGAGGUGAAGGAAAUCUGUCUGGAAUCAAAUACUAACACUUGUAAAGAUAUCAUUAUUUAUCUUCCUCUAAGAGGAUUAUUAGUAUUACAUUGUGAAUGUCCUUGUAAACAUAUAUCGAUCCAUAAGAACAUUACAAUAUGAUACUCGCGAGUUUAACUCAAUUAAUAGAACAUUACAUAAUAUAUAUAAAGGUUGAGGUUCAAACCCGAACAAGUCACUUAUUUACCUUAAAAAGUGAAUAAUAUAACCACUAUAUUACUCAGAAGAAGAAAAAAACCGUUGUAAUAUGCAGAUGUAUAUGUUUAAAUUUGAAAUUCUUCACUUAUUUACUUUCAAUGAUGAAGUUCUAAGCACUAUAUUAUUGUUUGGGAAAAGAAAAAAAAUUACCUUAUUCUAUUGAGAGGAAAAAGGUAUUACGUUGUGUACUUGUAUUCGGUAUGGCAAUAUUUUGUUCCAUUUAGGGGAGGUUUUAUUUACGUACUAGUAGUAUGUCAUAUCUUCUUGGAGCAAUAAAGUACUAAAUACAUUAUACUCCAUCUCUCUGAAAAUAAUAUUAACCGUUUAUGUUUUUGUCAUUUUCACAUAUACCAAAUUGUUCAUAUAAAAAAUAAAACUAAAUGGUAUAUUUAAUAUAUCUAAGAUUGAACAUUUUAUUAAAAUAUCUAUUAAAUAUAUUUUUAUUAAAAUAUCUGCUUUUUUUUUAGGGGUAAAAUAUCUGCUUUUGUCUAUUUUGUUUUUGUCAUUUUCAUAUAAACAAUUAAUUUAACUUGAAAGAAGAAAAUUCAAAAUUAGAUGUUUAGUAUUUUUUUUUUUAUUAUAAGAAUUCAAACUCGGACCUUUAUUUCUCAUCUCCUUUAAUCUUUUAGCUCAACUAUGUGAGCUACCCAUCUUUUUAAUCUCUAAACUCAACUACAUGAACUACUUAAUAUUUUGGGGCACACCUUUCAAAGAUGUUUAUAACAAUUAUUUAAAAAAAAAAUCAUUUUAUUUGACUAUAUUAACAAAAAAAAAAAAUUGUUCUUGUAUGUUUAGCUCAGGGACCCCACUUAUUCACCUUAAAAAGGAGAAUUUCUAACCACUUGACCAAAAAAAAUUACAAUUACAAAAUUAAUCUUAUUAGAAUUAAUAAUUAUCAUAAAUAUUUAUUAGAGUACUCCAUUCGAUCUUAUAUGUGAAUUCUGAAAAAUGACAAUGUAAUAAAAAAAACAUAUAUUAUAAUAUUGUGAAAAAUUAUAUAACAUUUCAACCGCAUAAAAUUAAACUUUUAUGAUAAAUUACUGAUUAAUUAUGAAUUUUUAAAGCGCUAAAAACUCAAAAAAUAAAAAAUGGAAAUUUCAGCUGAGAAAUUGAAUUUUGAGUUGAUUGUUUUUAGAGAUAUCUAAUAAAAUACAUAGAAAUGAUCUACAAAAUUUUAUAGCAUUUCGAAGACGCCAUGGUUUAUUUUGAUUUUUCAACAAAAACUUGCUAAGUUUCAAUUUUGAUCGGAGUAAACAUUAAACUCUUGAGUCAAAUCAUGUCCUUUAAUUUUGUGGUCAUGGUUAAAAUAUCGUAAGAACCUUCAUCAUGAAAUUUUUAAAUAAGGGACGACAUAAUUAUGUAUUGAUUAAGAAAUUCUCAAUUACAGGGAACAAAAAUUCAUAAUUAAUCCUCACUUUAUCGAAUUUUUUUUUUUUAUGGGAAACAAUAUUUUAACAUUCUAAAUAUGCUUGCUAAAACAUCAUGAAAAAACUCAACCUCUAAAUCACUUCUCUGAUCUUCGUGUAUAUUAUGUGGUAAAAAAGAAUGUGAAUAUCAAAUUAUAUGGAUAUAAUAUGAGAAAUAUGUUUUUUUUAUUUUACAAUGUCAAUUUUCAAACUUCGCGUAUAUUACACGAUCAAAUUAACUCAAAAUAAUAAAAUAAUCAUGCAAAUUAUCAAGCAAGUGCAUGGAUGGCUUUUAUGAAAAUAACAUGGGUUAAUGGUGCUUUACCCCCUGUAAUAUAGGUCAUUUUUUGUUUUCCCUCCUGUAAAUUUUAUUUUUUUUAGAAUACCCCCUAAUAGGUCAUAAAAAAAUGACUUUAUUUUUUAUUUUUUUUUUCUAGAAUUUUUUUCGUUUUUUUAUGACCUAUAAAAAUUUACAGGGGGGUAAAUCAAAAAAAAUAUUUUACAGGGGAAAAACCAAAAUGACCUAUAUUACAGGGGUAAAGCACCAUUAACCCAAAUAACAUUGAUUCUCUUUCUACCUUCUUUCCAAUUUAUGUAGGGCUCACCAAACUCAGUUCUUGCAUUCCAAAUAAGGGAAAUCCAAUUCCAAUGAUUUUUCUUGUCCUACAUGGAUCUUUUUAUGCAAAAUUAAGGGAAGUCCCCUUUUAAUUCUUUCUACUUUAUUUUUAGGCAAAAUUAACAAACACCCCUGUCUUGGACGCAUAUGUACCGAUACGUAGAAAAAUAUCAUCAAGUGUUUCACAUCAAAUGUUUUUUUGAAGAAUACAUCAAAAUAUUCAUAGUUUUUAGCCGGAAACCAACAUUGACAUCUAUCCAGCUCAAUAAUUAGGAUUAUGUGGUAGCCAGUAGUGGAGUCAGAAAAAAAUGUCAGGGUGGACCACUAAAAUUAACUAUUGAAAAAUUGUUUAAAGUCUCACAAAUUAAACCUAUAAUUGAAUUAUUUAAAUUUUUCGGGUGGACCACUAUACCAAUUUGCGGAAAUUUGGAUCAACCGAUACCUAAAACCGACAUAAAUUUGUAUAAAAUCUCACAAAAUAGACCUAUAAUUGAAUUAUUUAAAUUUUCGAGUGGGACACUACACCUUUUUGUAGAAAUUUGGAUCAACCAAAACAUAAAACUGAUACAAAAUUGCUUAAAAUCUCGCAAAUUAGACCUAUAAUCGUUGAUUUUUUAAUUUUUCCGGGUGGGCCGUGGCCCACCCCAGCCCAUGAAGGGCUCCGCCACUGGUGGUAGCCAAGUAUGUUGUACUUAUCCUCUCAAAAAAAAAUGAUGUACUUAUAGUUAAUACAUCUUAAUCAUUGAAGAAGAUUAUUGCGUAAUUUUAUUCAUAUAGUUGACUUUAUUUAAUGGAAUAAGAUUUAAUUAUUGUUGUAAUGGUGAUUGUAUGAACUUCGACUUUGUUCAGUUCGAUUUAGACAGACAUGUUGAAUAGUUCUCACCAUUUAUUAAUAUAUUUCAUCUGGCUUUUUUAAAAACAAAUGUGGAGAUAUUUUCUUGACAAGAAGACACCAAGGCUAAGAGCACCCUACCUAGUAGAACAACCUAAAGAACUUGGGCCCCACCCAAACUCUCAAAGCACAAAUCAAAUCCAUCUCCAACCAACACACCGAACCUUAUUGGUUUCAACAAGGACGAGCUCCACCUUCCACUUAUAAAGUAAUUACCUGACAAGACCCACUCCCAACCUAACCGCCUGCAAAUAUCGUACCAAACUCUCGCCACAACUCAACAUGACACAAAUAAAGAUCCACCGGCUCCAACCCUUUCCACAUAUCCCACACCAACACUAACUAUAACCUAACAAUUGAAAAAAUUAUGACGCGAAGGGACCUUAUAUAUGAGAAACUUCCUAGAAAAGACCUGCAGUAUAUAGGGGUCCCAACCCUUCAUCAAUUAUUUAUAUUCUGAUUUCACUUGAUACAAAAAUACAAAUUCAAAAUAGGAUCAACCUAAUCUUCUUCAACCAUCCUACAAGAAUAUAAGUUUAUUGGAAAAAUUACAUGUUGCUUUACAUCAAACCAAAUCCCUCUAUCAAUAACUCUACAUAAAAUGACAUAACACACAACCAUUACGUGAAGUGAUUAUAUUUGAAAAAAGAUGUACUAAAUUGGUUGAUUUACCACACGAGUUUUGCCCAAGUUAGCACAUUGUUGAUCAAAGUUCCUCAACUAAACUCUCGUCUCCUUAUAAAUGCAUUUCGAUUCCCCCAAAGCUAGUAGAAAAAUUAUUCAAGAGGUAUUUUUGAAAUAGUAUAUGCGAGGGAGUGAGAAUAUCAAAAUUAUAGGGUGCGAAUAACAAACGUGAAAUAUGUUUAGAAAUUAAGAAUAGUUGGGGUCAUAAGAUUAUAAAUUUUUUACAAAAAAAAAAAAAAAAAAAAAAAAACUAAAGAUGCUUUACAACAUGUAUCUUCGAAGAUUUGACUAAAAAAAAUAAAAUAAAAAAAAAACCUUGUAUCUCCAAAGAUAUUAAGCUCAUACAUUAGUUAAACUGAAAAAUAUUUUUGUAAUAACCAAAGUGAACUACCAACCAACACAAUUAUAAAAUUAACAUAGUCUGAAAUGUAGUUAAAGCAUGUUGCUGACCUUAAAUUACAGUAAUCUUUUUUUUAAAAGCUACAGCAUAGGGUUUGCAGCUUAGUGAAUAGCAUGAUCAGAAGGAGAACAAGUAAGAACACAAGAAAUAGCAAGCCAGUUUAGAAUUUGCAUCCAAAUGAUCCCAAAAAAUUCAUAUUCAAAACACAAAUUAUUAACAUAUUCAUUUAUCUCCGGAAGUAGCACAAUUGUUUCUAAUACUUUUUAUAUGUUAUCAUUACAUUUAAACUUUGAGGUUAAGUUCAUUAAGGAAUAAGCAAAUAUGGUUGCUCAUAUCCUUAUAAAGACAACAAUUUCAUGGCUGGUGAAUGUAGUUUUGAGCUUGUUCAUCCUUAUAUUCAAUAUGUGUUGCGUGAUGAAAUGAGUUAUAUAUGCUUAUUUUGGUAUAAAAAAAAAAAAAACUGGAAAAAGAAAUACUCAACUUAGAUUAGGUCCAAACAAAACUGAAAAAACAAACCAAAUCAAAGCAGAAUUACCCAUUCUUUUGAAUUUUGAAAUCCAAUGAAUUGAUGAGUUAUAAGUUGUUGUUUUUUGAAAUAUAUGAUAACCAUGGACCCAAAAAAUUACACCAUGUUAAUUUUUAUGCUCAUUACUUACGGAUACCACUUGUGUACCAUUAAGGUACCAAUGUUAUAUAACAUUGACCAAUAAGAGUGUGCCACAUACCAAUGUUACUUUAUAAAUAUUUUAUUUGAUAUAUAUUUUUUAAAGUAUGUGCCACAUGUCACAUCUUAAUUGGCUAAUGUUAUAUAACAUAAUGAUACGCAAGUGGUAUCCCAUUACUUACACCCACCAAGACUUAACCUAGGGCCAAUAUGAAAAUACAUUACAUUAAUGGCUUCACACGGUCUACUUCUAUUUUCCGAUUCAAUCUUUUUCUCAAACAACACUACUCAAAACAAAACCCUAAAUUUAUCAUCUCUCGUUGAUCUAGUGUCACCACUUCAAGCUCCAGUGUCGCAGCUGUUAGUAUCUCUUUAUGUUUCAAGCCUUAUAUCUUUGUGACUAAAUUUAGUUUUCUACUUUGUUUUCACCUCCUUCCGUUUAUGAAGUUUUAAAUGGUGAUAUUGCAUGUUGCAGUUGUUUUUACGUUUCUACGCACCUUCGUUUGGUUUUGCAUGUUUUCCUAUCGAUUAUGUCUUUUUUAUAAAGUUUGCUUUGUUCCUUGAAAGUUGAUUUUAAGAUUGAAACUCUGUAUUCAAAAGAUGUUGUAUUUUCAGGUGAACUGAACAUCAAUUUAGUUUGGUUUGCUACAACUACUUAAAAAGAGUUGAAAAUCAAACCAAAUUGAUAUAGAUUCAGUCGGUUUCGUCAUUUUUUAAAUUGAAAACUCAACCAAACGUUACACCAAAGUUACCAAACAAUGUGUCUAGAAUUGUGUUUGAAACCUAAAACAUAUUGACUUUUACUUUUUCCAGCCUACGCUUUACUCACACACCCAAUUUUUUUUUUACCAAAAUAUUUUUGCUCGAAUUCUUUAAUCCAAACCAUGUUUCAUACUCCCUCCGUCCCAUUUUAAUUUAAUUGAACCCUUGGCUCAUUUCACACUUAUUAAGAAAAAGUGUAAAAGUGAAAGAGAGAGAAAAAUGAGUUUGAGUGUCCUUAUCAACUAUUGGUGCAUUCUCUUUAUCAUAAAUGCAAAGUAGAAUAUAUUGAAUUGGGAGUGGUGAAAGUAAUAUUAAUUAGUUUUAUAAUCGAAAAAAAAGUAAUUAAUAUUGUAUUGAAAAGUGAAAUGAGUCAAUUUUUCCUGAAACAAUAUUUUUUUGAAAAUGGUUCCGGGGUAUUAUAUAAUCUGAAUACUUGUAUUGCUCAAGAAGACAUAAUUUUUUUGUAUGAAAGGUCAACGGUUAAAGCUCAUUGUAGAAGAAAAGAGGAGAGAAAGUGAGAUGGGAUGAGAAUUUAUGAAGAAUGAGUGAGUAUUUAAGCAAUUUCUAUGGUUCACCCAAUAUAUUUGAAGUGUAAGUGUGUUUUCUUGCGCUUUCUCCACCAAAAAUCAUCAAGAGUAAACCGAUCUAUUGUUGGAUCAGAUUUAUUAACAUGGCUAGUUUUGAAAUUUGAGUCUUCUGUCGUGGUUCUCGAUUCAUAUAUGUUGUUGGAAAAUAGUAAUUUUUGGAAUUGGAUGAUUUUCGGUUUGUAUUGUGGAUUGAAAGUUUAUGAUUUUUCUGAAAAUCCAAAAACGUUUUCAACCUCAUGGAUUAUGAUUAACAUGAAUAAUAUGCAAUUCAAUGAAAAAAAGGCCAUAAUUGUAUGAGAUUCAAUUCAAUAAAAUAAGGGUAAAAAAUGGUUUGUAUGAGAUUCAAUUUAAUCAAUUUUAAAUUUGCAAAGAGGCACCAUGAAAAGAGAGACGAUGGCGAGCAAUGGUUGAAAGGAAGUAACAUGCUAUGAUUGUAGAAAUUGAGAAGAAACAAUGUGUUUCCUUCUUCUUCUUCUUUAUUGAAAAAUCAUUCCAUAAUUAUUAAGGUUUUUUUGUACGUAGAUGUAAGUUGAAGGUUUCUGAGAAUUACAUAAUAUCAGGUAAGAAUAUGUAGGGGUGAAUCCAUGGCUAAUUAGGAAAUGUUAAAAAUGAGUGAAAAAAUAAAUGGGUUAUAAAAAGGGUAAAAUUGGAAAUAUAAGUAUUUUGUAGGGGUUAAGGUAUAAAUGUAUGGGUAUAGGGUACAAUUUCCUUUAUCAAAACAUACAAAGCAUUGGGCUUUGAUAGCAUAUAUCACAGCUUGGGCCUUACAAAUGGAAAAAAAAAUGAAAAUUGCUUUUCAACACCUUGAUUUUCUUUUUGAUCGGAUCGUAACUUUCGAUCAGCUAUUUUUAUGUGUUAAAAGCCGAUCGAGUGUAACUUUGGCAAUGUAUUUUCAGCAAAGCAAGGUGCCUAAAAAGCAAUUGUCGAAAAAUAUUUUUCUAAUCCCAGCAUGAGUAUGUAUGGUAACGACAAGUUGGGCAUCCACUUGUUUUCUUUUUCUGAAGGAUUGGGUAUCUACUUGUUGCGAAGGCAAAACUGAUAAAUAGAUGAUGCGUGAAACUUGAGAAAGAUCUUACAUUAAAAAAUGUUUAUGAAAACACAAGCAUUUCGUCAAAGCUAAGCUUAAGCCAAGUUCUCAUAUUUUUGGAUCUCACGAGCUGAACAUGAUUUUUGUCUACCAAAAGUAUGACCAAGUUCAAUUUAUUUGCACAUGAAGAAGCAACCUAUCAUAUCCCAGCAUUUGUUACUUGUAUGGACCAUCCUCGUGGCAAUAAGUUUAUGAUUAGAUAUAGAUGUAAAAGCUUAGAAGAAUUUUUCUUUAUUAUUGGGAUUUACAAUAUUUUAAAUUUUCAAUAAAAAAAAAAAAAAAGUAGUCCCACACUCAUGAGCAUCACCUAAAAGGGUUCCAAAAGUGGGCGCAAAUUAAGGAAAAUUCCUCAAUAUUCCUCAAAAGUGAAAGAAACGGCCUUUGGUCCAGCCAUAAAGAUUAAAAUUAUGACUGUAUUCAAUGGGAAUUUUCCAUAGCUUAAAAAGUUAAAUGUCAAAUUCUUAAUAUAUAUCUCACUGUUUCUUUGUUUCACGCAGAUGUUGCUUCCAUAUUUUGCUACAUAUAUAUUUUCUCAAUCUUUCAUAAAUUUCUGAUUCAGAUAGGGGGUGUAUUUCACCGGUAGUACUGCUAGUAAAUAUAGAUUUUAUAACUAAAGGAUUCAUUGAAUCAAAUAUGGAUUUUAUAACUAAGUGAUUGAGUUCCUCUGAAUUUAAUUAGUUAACAUAUUUACUUUAUAUACAAAUUGUUUGAAUAUGUUCCCUAUAAAGAUAAAUUGUUUCAAAAAUCCAAGUUUAAAUUCUUGUUGUAACAUUUUUUUGUUGGACUUUGUUUUUUGCUUCUCAGAGAUGACUUUGGUUGUAACAAGAUUUUACGGUAACAUUUAAUAAAAGAAAAAGAAAGAUUUUACGAUGAUGAUUGUUAUUUCUAGUGUUUGUUAUCCCUACAAUUUUUGGGGGAAAUGAACUAUGAUAAUCCAGAGUUCGACUGAGAGGUAAGUAACGUCUGAUAAAAACUGUUCUGCACAAAAAUUAAACUCAAACUCUUCUAGACAAUUUAUCAGCAAUUACUUGGUUACGAUGACGACGAUAGAAUCAUAUAAAAAUAUCAAUUUUCAUGUGAUAUAUACGAUGUAAAAAUAUUAACAUAGUCUCUUGAGCUGACACUAAUAAUAUAUAAUUCUUAUAUAGUUAGUUCAAUGCAAGUCAGUUAAGGGUGUGUUUGGUAACACAAAAAAGCUAGCUUAUAACUUGUUGGACUAGCUUAUAAGUUUGUUUUGAUAAAAUGAGAUGUGUUUGGUAAAAAGCUUUUCUCACUAGCUUAUAGCGUUUUUUAAGAAGCUAAUCCAAGUAGCUUUUUAGCUUAUAGCUUGUAGCUUUUUAUACUUUCUUCCCAUUUUAACCUUUUCUUAAUUUUAUUUUAUUUUAUUAUAAUAAAAAAAACUACCCACUAUCUUCUUAAACUAACCAUGUUUACCAUGUAUGGCUUUUUAAAUUUUCUUGUCCACUUUUUGUUUUUUUUACUUUGCUCAUAAUUCAUAUAAUAUAUAAUUUUAUAUAAAAUUUAUAAUAAAUAGUGAAGCAAGUUUAGUUAAAUAAAAUUCAUAAAAAUAAAAUAAAAAUUGUUAAAUAAAAAAAUUCGAUUGAAUUCAUAAAUAUAUUUAUUAUUUUGGAGAUGAAAAUAAUUUGAAAUAUAUUUAAAUAUUUAAAAAUAAAUGCGUUAAGUGAUAAAAAUUAUAUAUCAUAUAAAACAAAUUAAUCAAGCAUGUCCUUUUAUGUCAUUUUAUAUUUAUAGUCACUUCAACAGCUAAUUUUACCAAACAUUUUUAAUUUUAAUCAGCUAACUUUUCAGCUAUAAGCUAUCAGCUAUCAGCCAUCAGCUAUAAGCUAGCUUUUCAGCUAUCAACUAACUUUUCAGCUAUCAGCUAGCUUAUAGCUUUUUUUUACCAAACACACCCUUGUGGAAAGAAUGUGACUUCUAUAAAUCUAAUAUGACAGUUGUAAAAUGAUAAUUAAUAUUAGUAUAAUAAUAAUAAUAAUUUUCUCCUUUUCAAGCCAGAAGCCAAACUAAUGAUGGAGAUGUUGAGAAAGGUCUCGUGACAACAAGGUGAAUAAAGUACUAUUAGGGCAUUAGUUUAACUGAUUAAAAUAUGUUAGAUGUGGAGGUGCAAUAGAAUUUUACUACCUUGCUGAAUACUAAGGUUAAAGUGUGCAGAAAUAAUUGCACAGUAGGGUAAUUAUCGUUUUUUAACUAAGAACUCAAUGCUGCAAUUAUUGAAUUCAUUCAGCUCCAUCCCAUUCCAAAAUGGUUAAUAAGUAGGCUUUUAUCUUUUUUUAAAUAAAAUUGCAACUAAAGAAACACACCAACUUGUACCCAAAAUAAGAAAACCACACACAACUAAUAACCGUUGAUUGAUAUAUUAAUUAUAUAUACUAAAAAUAAGCACACCCAUAUGUUUUCCGUUGAAGAUGCAUAUACUUUUCAUAUCCAUUAUCUUGUAUGAAUGAAUUUCCCACAUUUAAUGCAGAAUGGAGUAGAGCACAUGUACACUUCUAUAUAAUAAUGAUUUUGUUGGAAGUAUAGAUAUAUAUAAGUAUAAAGAAAUGAAUAAAAACUGAAUGAUGACUUGAACUAUUAUUGAUGAGGAAUAGAAUAUGUAUACAAAAAAAAACUGAUAAGGUUGAACACCUAACCAACCUACAAGUAAGAUAACUACAAUAACAUAAUAAAAGGAACCCCUAACAAACUAGCUAGUGAAUUGUUCUUUUAUCCAAUACCCCCACAAGUUGGAGUAAAUGUCAAAAACUCCAAAAUUGGACGUGAAAUGAUGAAAAUGUCAAUAACCAGAUUAAAAAAAACAAGAUAAGGUUCUUUUUUUUUUAGAGGCGGUAAGAUAAGAUUCUACUAGAAUUUAUAAAGAGAAGAUACAACUAUAAUUUUAUAAAUCGGUUUUAUACGGAUGUGUUCGAUCCAUUAUAGUCAAUUAUGGAUAGCGAUGCGUAGCAAUCGAUCCUAAAAGUGGGAUAACGCGAUAGCGUAAACAAUAUGAUAAAUAGCGGUCAUCGUAUUUUUUGUAUAAAUUACAUGAAUAAUAUUAUAAAAAGGAAAUGCUAAUGAGUGCCCUUGGAACAUCAUAGAAAAUAUGGGGGUUAGGAUUGGAUAAGGACGCUCUAGCAAUACUAUAAGCAACCUUAUUUGCUUGCCUCCGAACAUACGACACUACAAAGUCGGGUUUAUCUAACAAUAGAUUCCUACAUUGUGAUAUGAUAUCUCGGAACUCAUUGCUAGGAACAUUUGAAACAGAAAGUGCAUCAACUAGGGACUUGUAAUCUGAUUCAAAGCAAACAAUGUGCAAUCCCUUUGAUACUGCCAUUUUGAUAGAUUCAAGCAAACCAAUGGAUUCUGCUUCUAGUAUCGUGGCGGUGAAAUGUGACACAUCUGAUUUUUCAAAUAAUAGUUGACCUGAGGAGUCUCUAAAGCACAUACCGUAUCCCAUGAUAGAGUUGUCGUUGAAGGUAGCUGCAUCGACGUUACACUUUAUCACACCAAUCGGAGGUUUUGACCAAGUAAAGGUAUGAUCUAAGUUGUGUUCUUGAAUUUUGGCUCUUUGCAUACAAGUCCAUUCAUGGAGAGCAUCCUUGGCACGGUUGACAAUGAAGGUGGGAGAGGUGUCAGUGGACUCCCAAAGUUUAGUGUUGCGGCUCUUCCAUAGGCUCCAAAGGGUCAUAGCGGUUAGUGUUUGUUGUUGCGUCGAUAGCCUGCCAAGUAAGUCAAACAACAUUACAGUAAAGUCAUUAGCCUCGUGGAGUAGCUCAUAUACAAUAUUAUCAAUGCCAAUUAUGCUCCAACAAGCUGCAACUUUUGAACAAACAAAAAAUGUAUGCAUCUGCGUUUCAGCCAAGAGAUUGCAAGACAUGCAAGUAUCAUCACAAGGAAUACCACGGUUGAUAAGAUUGGUGCGUGUAGGAAGACAUUGGUGACCUAAGCCCCAAAGGAAGGAUCGAACCCGGUGUGGAACUUUUAGGUUCCGUAGGAACUGCCAUGGAACACUACCUUGCAUAGGGACGGAUGCAUGAAGAAGGUCGAUACAGAUUCGGUAAGCGGACUUGACCGUAUAGGACCCAUCUGUUGUUACCUUCCAAAUGCGAGAAUCUUCUCUUAAGCGUGCAUAAAUAGGAGUGGUGAGAACAGCAGCUGCAUCCGAUUGAUUAAAGAUAGAAUUUACCAUUGCAUGAUUCCAAGAGUUCAAACCCGGAUUCAACAAAUGAUUCACUGUGAGAUCUUCAUAAUAAAGUGGUGGACGAGUAGAAGGCUUGAGGGAGGGGAGGUUACGGAUCCAAGGCAUAUUCCAAACAUUAAUUUUCGUACCGUCACCAAUUUUCCAUCUAUAACCCAAAGUAAGAAAAUGUUGAGUACUCCAAAGAUUCCUCCAAGUAAAGCUUGGAUUAUGACCGAGGGAGGCAUCCAAGAAAUCCCUUCGUGGGAAGUAUUUGUCUUUGAGGACACGAGUAAGUAAGGAGGUAGAGUCGGUCAAGAGUUUCCAACUUUGCUUACCAAGCAUAGAGAGAUUAAAUGCUUCCAUAUCACAAAAGCCUAGAUCUCCAUGACUUUUGUGUAGAGUACUCACAAAUUUAUAAUUUAUAUAACACUCAAAUGUCAUAAAACAUUCAUAAAUCAAAGCAUCAAAAUACAAAAGACAGAGGAACAAUUAUUAACAAAAAAAAAAAGAAAAAGAGGAACAAAUAAAAAAAAAAAUCAUAAAAUAAGAGAAACAAUAAAACAAAAGAAAACAUAGGAUGAAAAAAAUUGAGAAAGAAAAAAAUGAAAACAAAUAAAGAGAGGACAAAGAAGAAGAAAAUAGAGAAAGAGAACAUAUAUCAUGUGAGUUGAGAACAUAGAAAAGAGAGAAGAGAUCUCUAAGUCGUGUUUUCCAGUUUGUUGUGUUUCGAGGCACAAAUGAGAAGAUAGAAAGAUUUGAAAAAAUGUUAGGGUUUACGAAANNNNNNNNNNNNNNNNNNNNNNNNNNNNNNNNNNNNNNNNNNNNNNNNNNNNNNNNNNNNNNNNNNNNNNNNNNNNNNNNNNNNNNNNNNNNNNNNNNNNNNNNNNNNNNNNNNNNNNNNNNNNNNNNNNNNNNNNNNNNNNNNNNNNNNNNNNNNNNNNNNNNNNNNNNNNNNNNNNNNNNNNNNNNNNNNNNNNNNNNNNNNNNNNNNNNNNNNNNNNNNNNNNNNNNNNNNNNNNNNNNNNNNNNNNNNNNNNNNNNNNNNNNNNNNNNNNNNNNNNNNNNNNNNNNNNNNNNNNNNNNNNNNNNNNNNNNNNNNNNNNNNNNNNNNNNNNNNNNNNNNNNNNNNNNNNNNNNNNNNNNNNNNNNNNNNNNNNNNNNNNNNNNNNNNNNNNNNNNNNNNNNNNNNNNNNNNNNNNNNNNNNNNNNNNNNNNNNNNNNNNNNNNNNNNNNNNNNNNNNNNNNNNNNNNNNNNNNNNNNNNNNNNNNNNNNNNNNNNNNNNNNNNNNNNNNNNNNNNNNNNNNNNNNNNNNNNNNNNNNNNNNNNNNNNNNNNNNNNNNNNNNNNNNNNNNNNNNNNNNNNNNNNNNNNNNNNNNNNNNNNNNNNNNNNNNNNNNNNNNNNNNNNNNNNNNNNNNNNNNNNNNNNNNNNNNNNNNNNNNNNNNNNNNNNNNNNNNNNNNNNNNNNNNNNNNNNNNNNNNNNNNNNNNNNNNNNNNNNNNNNNNNNNNNNNNNNNNNNNNNNNNNNNNNNNNNNNNNNNNNNNNNNNNNNNNNNNNNNNNNNNNNNNNNNNNNNNNNNNNNNNNNNNNNNNNNNNNNNNNNNNNNNNNNNNNNNNNNNNNNNNNNNNNNNNNNNNNNNNNNNNNNNNNNNNNNNNNNNNNNNNNNNNNNNNNNNNNNNNNNNNNNNNNNNNNNNNNNNNNNNNNNNNNNNNNNNNNNNNNNNNNNNNNNNNNNNNNNNNNNNNNNNNNNNNNNNNNNNNNNNNNNNNNNNNNNNNNNNNNNNNNNNNNNNNNNNNNNNNNNNNNNNNNNNNNNNNNNNNNNNNNNNNNNNNNNNNNNNNNNNNNNNNNNNNNNNNNNNNNNNNNNNNNNNNNNNNNNNNNNNNNNNNNNNNNNNNNNNNNNNNNNNNNNNNNNNNNNNNNNNNNNNNNNNNNNNNNNNNNNNNNNNNNNNNNNNNNNNNNNNNNNNNNNNNNNNNNNNNNNNNNNNNNNNNNNNNNNNNNNNNNNNNNNNNNNNNNNNNNNNNNNNNNNNNNNNNNNNNNNNNNNNNNNNNNNNNNNNNNNNNNNNNNNNNNNNNNNNNNNNNNNNNNNNNNNNNNNNNNNNNNNNNNNNNNNNAAUUUUCAAAAUGUAAAAAAAAAAAGGUUUUUAAAAAUAUGGUCAAUUUGGAAAUUUCCUAGUAAAAUCAAAUAGUCGCUGAAGCAUCCGAUUUCUGCUCCAUUCUGACGUUAUAGCACCUGAAGUGGCCACUAUUUGAUUUUGCACUGCUAGCGGUUCAUCGCCGUUAUGCCACGUGCGACCGUUAUUGGUAGUUAUUGACUACUUUGGUUUGACCCAAUAUAAAAACGUCAUAUAGUAUCAAGUUUAUGAAUAAAAACCUUGUGUGCCAUCAAAGCUUAUCGAAUCGGAUCACCGUCCAUUUAUAUACACGCACCAAGCUACAUUGAUAAAAGAUAAGGUAUGAUUAGUGUUUAUAAUGAGAUGUACAAAAAAGAGAGUUUAUAAUGAGUUACUGUAACACCCCGUUUUUCCAACUUAAAAAUUUCAUAAACAUUUAUCAGAGUAAACAACAUAUCACGGGAUAUCACACUUCUUAAAAAUCUUAAAUAGAUAAAUAAUAAUUUAUCCUUCAACAUAAUUCAUCAACGUCAUAGCAGCGGAUAAAAUCAUCAUAAAUUGUCUUGGCACGCAGGCCUCAUAAAAAUCAUCUCAUAAGUUCAGUUAAACAACAUAAAAACAUAGCAUAUACGCAAAGGAAAGAGAAAUAGCCACUAAAGAUCCCCUCUCGUUACGUAUCAGAGCAACCUAAGACUCAGUGAGGAAAGGCCACUCACGACAGCAACCUAUUCUUGAUCACCUGCAAGUUACUCAUACGAAGAACAACAUUUCCAAGCAGAAGGGGUGAGAUUUCACAAAACAAUAAUAUUAAGCAUAUAAUUCAACAAUUAUAUUUAACAACAUAAAAACAUCUUAUUAUUCAUCAUAGAUAAUAAUAUAUCAUAAAUCACUUCGUUAACAAUUCAUAUGAGUAAUCACAACUUCACAACUUAUCAUCUUCGACUCGACAAAUGCAACUAUCCAACUUAGACCUCUUAUAUGCAUGUGGUACCAAUACAGGGCAUCAAGCUCUCAUCGCUAUUUGAGUAUUAAUAUACUUCCAGGGCAUCAAGCCCCCAUCACUAUUUGAGCUAAAGCUCCAUCCUGUUGAGUACAAAGCUCCAGGGCAUCAAGCCCCCAACAGUGAAAUGCUAAUGCAUGGACUUGACCUCUUAAACAUCUUAAUUCGACAACCUCUUAUAUAAUCCAAUAAUUUGGAAACAUCAUCAUCUUCAUCAACUUAGACCGACUCAUGCAGCAUAGUUAAAUAACAAUAGCAACAUAGGCAGUAUACAAAACAGCAUGACAUAUUGAUAUCAAAUGCAAGUCAACAACAUCUUAAAUAUUCAAUUAUACUUCAAAUAAUGUACAUAACAUUAUAUCACAUCGUAAUCAACAUCAACAUAUCUUAAACAACUUCACAUAUUAUAAUUAACAUCAUCAUUAAGUCUUAAUACUACCCCAAGGUUCAACUCUCAACAAAUCGUGCAACAAAGGUCGCAAAAACCUAACAAGUCACUCUGUUUCUAGGUCACUCGCGAGGCGAGGGCCUUUGCUCGCUGUGGCGAGUUCAGGUCAGAAUCCCACAAGUUUCAUUCUAAAUCUUUCCAGGUCCAAUCUCAUCCUACAUUCUUUCCUAAUCAUUAUUAGACAUGUUCAGGCUUUCAAAAGUAUCUAAGGAUCAACUCAAAAUUCAAAAUCACGAAAUCUUGCAUGCUCUCUAGUCAAUCUCGCAAGGCGGGGAAAGGUUGCUCGCGUGGCGAGCGAUGAAGUUCAUCACUCGCCGUGACGAGGAUCGUGGCUCGGGAGGCGAGCGAUGAAUGUCGCUACGGGCAGAAGUGCAGUUUUUCACAAAAAUCACCAAUUCUCAUGGUUUUAAGCCUAACAUUGAUUCCAGAAUUCAUCAUAAUCAUUAUCUAAGGUCUAGGGACAAUUUCUACAUCAAUCUAACAACUUUUCACCGUUUAAUCAUCAAUUCUAUAGUUUUGACCUAGUUUCCGAUUCCUCUUAAAUUCAUCCUAAAUCAUGUUAAACCUAACCAUUGAAUCACAUACUUAAUAGAAUUGCAAAGUUAGUCUCACCCUUACCUUAGAAUGUGAAAAUCGCAGCCCCUCUAGGUCUUCUCCCUUAUCUUGGCUUUUUCUCCCUUUUCUCCAAAAACGAUCGUACGUACAAAUGUUUUUCUCUAAACUAGGUUUCCCUAUUUAUAUAUCCUCCAUCUAUCUUAUCUUAUUUCUCUUUCUCCCCCAACACUCUCUAAAAUCUCAAAACAACCCCUAAACUCAAUAUUUAUUUUAUUUUCAAAUCUUAUUUUAUUAAACAAUAAAAUAAGUCACAACUCCUCAUAAAUCUCAUAAAAUCACCUCCAUCAUAUAAAUCAUAUAAAUCACACAUAUAUUAUAUAAAUAUAAUAUAAACUCAUCUUAAUAAAUUCUAGACUCAAUUAAAUAAUUAAAUAAUUCGAAACGGACGUUAUAGUUACAUUCUUCAUACUCUCACCAACCGAUUUUGUAAGAGUAAGUUAGGACUAAUAUAAAGUCUUACGGUGGCUACAAGUUCACAAUAUUCGACUUCAAACGAGGAGGGAGAUACAAUGGUUUAUUUCUUUGACUUCUAUGAAAUGGGAGAGUUGUCAAGGAAGAUACACCAGCUAGUGGUAGAUCGACAAGUUUUAGGGAAGUAGGCCAAUCAAAACCACUAAAAGCUUUGAGUUGAAUUGAUUUGGAUAGGGUCAUUAAAAAUGAUGGAAGAAGCAACUAAUUGACCUUAGUUUUAAAGAACCGAAGUAAGAAUACAAAAAUUGUGCGUAGGGAAUGCAUCAAAAAAGUAAACCCUAUCUUAUCAGAAGUUUCAUUCUUUUGAGUAAGGAUUCCAAUCUAAAAUUUGUGUCAAAAAGUAAACCCUAACUAUUGUUGUGCGUGCUUGAGUCCAACAAAAAUGAUACUUAUAAAUCAUAAGAAUGAUAACAAGUGGAAGAUAUGAGAUGUGGCAUUUCUAGUUUGUCGGUGGUCGAGGGGAAGGCGACCAUGGGGGAAGAGGGAGGUUGUUGAGAAGUAUGGUAGAGCCCGAUAAAAAGAUAAAUAUAUUGAUUUAAAAAUUAAUAGAAUGAAGAAGUAGAUUACAAUGAACAUUGUAUAUAGUAAUCCUAAAAUAACUAAUAUCAUAACCAACUAACAACAAAUCACAACUAACUUUUAACUACUUUAAACAAUGUUAAACUAAGUAUACCAAACCUCUAAUUGUAUUUAAUAGAGUAGAUGGUCGAAAAAAUAUUAUGAGCUUCAGUUAAGAGUAUUUUCUUAAAUCAUUCUUCUAUGAUAAAUGCUCUUAUUCAACAUGAGGACUGUCAUGUCCUUCCUCAUAUUUGUGGCAUCCACCGACUGAUGAUUAUAUCAAAGUUAACGUGGAUGGUUCUUUCUUUGGCAACCAAGGUAAUGCGGGUUUUAGUGGCCUCUUGAGAGACUCUAAUGGGAUUUGGAUUCAUGGUUUUUCUGGUUCUUGUGGUACAACAUCUAAUAUAUUUGCUGAACUCUCAACCAUUUGGGUAGGUCUUCAGUUGGCAACGGACAUUGGUCAUAAAUUUAUUAUUUUUGAGUUUGACUCUAAAAAUGUUAUCGAUUUGAUUGAAGAUGUUCAUAACUCUAAUUUUCAUCCUCGUUGGACUAUUCUUUCUCUCAUUAGAAAACUCUCAUCUCCUCUAUGACACACUAUUUUACAUAUGCCUUGACGGAAGGCAAUGAAUGUGAUGAUUGACUAGUUAAAUUUGAGGCUACAAAUGUCACUCAUUAACCACAUGGACUUCUCCUCCGUCCUAAUUAAUUCUCACUCUAUUACCCAACUCCUCCGAAGUCUUUAGACAACCAAGUUGACCAGUUUGUCUUUCUUUUUCCCAAUGAUAAAAGAAAAAUAUUUAAAAACAAUGUUACUAAAUGAAUAUAAUUCUUAAAUUUUAUGUAUUUAAAAAUUAAUUAUAAACUAUAAAUGCUUACGAAUAUGGUUUGAUUAGUUUAUUAUUUUUGAUGUUAUUUUGCAAUAGAGGAUCAUUUUUUAAUAUUUGAACAUGACCUCUGAUUCUAUCAGAAUCGCACUGUUCUUUACUUUAACCUUCUUUUCUCUAACUUUCAUUCCUUCCAACUUUUUUUUCCGAUCUAAACAAAGCCUAAAACCAAACACUCCUAAUAAAGAUCAUAUAUUACUGAAAUUAACAUACGAAUUUUGAAGAACUAACUUUAUUCCUUAGUCAGAGUUUCACAGAUUUGUAUUAUGUUUCCAUAAAAUCGCAUAAGUUCACCAACAAAAAUUCGUUACCGACAAGCAUAGCAUUGAUGAUUGACGUACCAUCUCACUAUUUGUUUGUUAUAUACUUUGCUCCCUUUCUCUAAAAAAGAUACAUCACUUGUGCCACAAACCAACAUAAAUCCAAACUUCAUAAACAUGAAAACCGUUCUAUUGAAAGUUAUGUUACAUGAAUGAAAUCUAUGAAAGUUAUUUUAAUUCCUAUCCAUAAAACUCCCUAAAACAUUUCCUAGACAGAAAAACAAUGAUUAAGAAUUGCCUUGUAUUUCAGCAAAUGUUAACAUCCUCUUUGGAUUCACCAUUAGUAGGGUAGUUUUUUACUUUUUAGAACUCAUCAUCAUCUCACUAUAACCUAACAUUUUGGAAGUUCUUUUUGGUAUAAUCCUACUUUUCCAACACAACUUUGCAUUUUAAUAGUUUUUGUUCAGCACCAUGGAAGCAUAACCCCACUACAUAGUGCGUUACAAAUGAAGAACACUAUGCUAAAUCUAGACAACCUCUUCACUGACAAUUGUUCUUAAUCUUAUGAUAGGAUAUUGAUGCAAUUGCAGUGUCAGAUCAGAAAGCAGAAUUUCACAUGCAUUGUCUUUGGAUAAGAUUAGAAAGUAAAAUUCCUAAAAACAGGAUUAGACAUUAACAAUUGUCAUUAUCUUUUCUAACUAAUCCAACCGUCAUUUUCAUUAACUAAUUAAUUGAGCUAACAGCUCUUACAAACACACAAAAAGUGCUGUUAAUUUAUACACUAAUUUUUUAUCCUACAAUAUUGAUUCAGACCUUUGAACAGAAGCUAGUAUUAUUAAUUGAUAUUUUGAACACAGAAUCAACUUAGGAUUCUCAAUUUAAUAUAUCUAUACUAUUCUCUGAACAGAAUACUCUUUUGGAUCGAUGUGAAUUAAUUGCAUGAAUAAAUUUUGGGUUUUUCGAAAAUUAUAAGAGUAAGAAGUAAAAUGACAAAGCACAAGAAAACAAAACCUCAUAGCCCAAUCAACUUCAUGUGGGUUCAUUCUGCCAUGCUCUGCUAACUAUACAGGAAAAAAGGGUAUAAUCGUCUGCUAACUUUUGUCACUAUUAUCGCAUAAGAUUUUUAAGUCGGUCCAUCAAAAAUAAAAAUUUAUAUUAUAAUAUUUUUCCCUAUGCACAAAAAUAUAUAAAAUUUAAAAAUAAAAUUACAAUUAGUGUCUUUUUUUUUCUUUUCUUCUAAUUCUAAAAUCUUGCAUUCUCAAAGCCAUGUAAAUCACUAACUCUAUUCAUAGACUUUCUCAUGAUAGCAACUUUAGCCAAUCUCUCAGCAGCUCUCCAAGCCGAUGUCGGCGUAAGUGGCUCUAAUUUAUCCUCAGAGCGACUAUUCCUCCGCCUUCGAUUUUGCCCUUGAGUUCGUUGUUGCUCUCGACGCUUUUGAAGCUCAGCUUGCUCAACUUCAAGCCAACGCAAGUAUUCCUCCUCGACCGGCUUGGUAGAUUGCAAAAGUAGAGCUCGAGCCGAAGAAAGCAAAUGAUAAGCUCCAGACACAUCGCUAUGUUGAGCGAGCCGAUUAGACUCGGCUACGGCUCGUAUAGUGACAUGGAAAUUUCUCAGCCCUUCGAUCUGAGAAGAUCGAACGGCGUGGGGACGAGGAAUCAACAUUGCUUGCUCAAAGGGUUUCCCAAUCUCACGAGUUACUGUGUCACGGUAAGAAGAUAAAACUGUUAAAACAUGGUGGGACCCAGCUGACACAGCCGGCACUUUAAGCUCCAAUAAUAACUCCCUUUCUUCUUCAGCGUAUAAAUCACCAAUUAUAAUUGAACCCGGUUCAAUUGGAGCGGGUUUACCCGCGAGUGAGUACACUGCCGCAAUCUCAACCGGACGCGCGCGUGAAACAAUCUUUAACUGAAUCUUAACAUCCUGAGCCACCACGGUUAAUAAACAGUUUAUACACUUCGAAAGAAUUUCAUCUGGUAGCGCGUGUGUACACUCGCUUUCUUUAGGAAAACGAACCGCGUGAAUUGGAACCUCCAUGUUCGAAAGGCGCGUGGAUGAAACCAGUGAUAUUUUCUGAAACGACGCGUUCACGGCGCGUGAAUCAACAAUAUCAGAGAGAACAACGAUGCAGGCGACGGGGUUUUUUUCACGGCGAUCUUCAAGAACUUUUGCUGCCUUUUUCAACGCAUCAUUCUUCGCUGGAACAGCGUCUCUAAUUUGAUCAAUAGCGGCGAGUGCUUCGACAAUUCGACGCGCCGAUCUCUGUCCACCACCGGUCAUUCUUUUCAACGGUAACAAUCUUUUCGAUCCACCGGAAAAUGCCACAAUCGAUAAACGAUCAGUAGCAUUCAAAGAAGAAAUCACAAGUCUCAUCGUAUUCUUCAUCAAACGAAGCUUCUGACCUGACAUAGCUCCACCAACAUCAAGAACAAUAACAACAUCCACCGGAGCACGACGCAAAACCUUCACCGGCGCUGGCGCCGGAGUUUUCAACUUCAAAACAACAACAUAAGUCUCAUAAUUCCGAUUCGCAGCAACAACAGCAGUUUCCGGCAACAAACACACCUCAAGAUUCUUCCUAACCACCGGCGAAGAACGAUUAACAUUAAAACCUUGAAACUGAACAUUAUCAUCAUCUUCAUCUUCUUCAGUUUCGUUUUCCGAUUCAGGAAUAGGAUUGAAUCUCGAUAACGAAGUUGGUGACAUAAGAGGUUCAUCAUCAUUGUAGACUUUGAAAUUUCUUGAAUCUCUGUUUUCGUUCUUUUCGUGUUGAAUUGAAAGCACCGGUAGUUCCUUCCAAUUCGUACCACAAACUGGACACACGUGCAAAGGUUGCUUCGUCACGUGAGUUGAUAUACAAGGAAAAUGAAAAGUGUGAGAACAUUCAGCUGUGAAAAUUGCUGUUCCUUGACCACUUUUCACACUUUGCAUACAUAUUCCACAUCGAUUCUGCACAAAAAAUAAACAACCAUGAUUAAUAUUAAACAUCAGAGUAUAAACAUUAAACAUGAUUAAUUUGAUUUAGGAAUAAGAUUAGGAUGAAUUUUGUUUUAACUUACUUUGGAUAAGCGUAGAGUGUUUUUGAGAAAUGAGAAACUUGAAGGUGAUUUGGGUGAAUUGGGAUUAGUGAAUGAUUUAGGGGUUUUUGGGUUAUGAUUAUUGCAUUGGAGUUUAGGACUAUUAGGAACAGAACAAGUUGUUGAAGAAAUUGAGGUUUUGCAACGAAGAGUGGAGGAACCAGUUGAGGAAGGUUGAGAUUGAGUUCUAGGUGUUGAUGGGUUUGAGAAAAAACCAAACUUGGAAGUUAUUCUAGGACUUUGAUUUGUUGAGGAAUUUUCACAAUGUUGAUGAUGUUUUUUCUCUGUUGUUAUUUUUGGUUCUUUGUCUCUAGGAAUUGAUGUGCAAAAUGCUUUUCUCCAACCGGUAACCAUUUUCACUCUUGUGUGAUUGAUUGAUUUCAAAUGGGUUUUGUUUUUGGGUAUUGAAGGUGAAGAGUGGAUGAUAUAAUGGGUUUAUGAGAAAAGAAGUGUGUUAGAGAGAUAUAAAGAGGAUGAAGAGAAAUGGAUUAGAUUCAAAGAGCCUUUUCAUGUUUCUCUUUUUCUUCUUUCUAAUUCAGUUCCUUGUUGUCUAUUUAUCUAUGUCUUGACCUAGGUCUAUUUUUCUAUAUUUCCGUUUUGAGACCCCCAAAAACGGGUUAGGAUCCUCUCCAUUUAUGUGUUUCUCCAUUUCUUCAAUUUGGAGAGAUAAAGACACAUAAAAUCUUAAAAAAAUAAAAUAUAAUUAAUGAUGGUGGGACCCAUUUAGUGGUAGGACUCACCAUCUAUUUCUUGUGUCUAUCUCUCUCCAACUUGCAAAACUCCAUUUAUUUUGCCAAAUGGAGAGGAUCUUCACCCCCCAAAAACACUACCCCAAUGAAAAAAGCCUUUUAGGCCACACCAUUUAUUUGGAUGAAAUGGUAGGCCAUUUUUAAUUUAUUGUAUUGCACAUAUUUAUAUUUUUACUUUUGGUUAAGAAAAAAUUACAUAAUUAAAGUGAACUAACCUUUAAAUUUGAUUUUAAGUGCUUGUUUGGUUUGGUGGUAAGGAGGGCAAUAUCACGUCCCUAGGCACAUUUUGAAGAGGGCAAUAUUCAAACCAUUGUUAAACACUAAAAUAUAUUAAUUGGUUAUGCAGUGACAAUAAUUAAUUUUGAAUAAUUGAUUAUAUAAAAUUGAUUUAGGAUAAAAGCGAUUUGAAUGUGAAAGUGGAAUUAACAAUGAAUUUAAGAUUAAAAUCAAUUAUAGAAGUAAAAAUGUACAAAUUCUUAUUUCAUAUAUGAUAAAAUCAAUUCUACCACAAAGUACAUUUUUAACUCUUCAAAAUUAAAACUAAACAUGUGUUAAAUUUAAACACCUGUCAAUAAUAAUUUGAAAAAAAUUGUUUGAACACCAUAUUGUGUAGUUAGCUUUUAGAAUCUAAUCAAUUUUGUAGAAUCCAACUUUCUUUGGUUUGAAUAUGUUUAAAAGUAGAUAAUUUUGCAGUCUGAUGAAAAUUAUUUCACCAUCAUUAACGGCGUACUCCCUCCGUCCUAAAUUGUAUGUUGCUUUAGGAAAGAAAAAUUGUUUCAAAUUAUAUGUCGCUUUACAAUAUAUUAAUGUUAUUCUUUCUAUUAUAACCUUAACUAUUUAUUAAUCUUUCUUCUUUCAAUUCUUUCAUUUAUCUUUCACAUACUUCCUCCGGUCCUAUUUAUAAGAGAAAUUUAGGUCAACAAAAGUGAAUGUAUUUGGACUGAAUUUUUAAAUAGAUACAUCAACUUUUGUUGACCCAAAAUUCUCUUAUAAAUAGGAUCGGAGGGAGUAUUAUUUAUUAAGGACAAUUUUGUAAAUCAAUUCAUAAUAUCUCUUUUGCACACAAUAUUAAUUGUGUUUCUUAAUAUGUGUGAAAUGCCCAAAACGUCAUGCAAUUUGGGACGAAUGAAGUAGUACACCAACUUAAGUAGAAGGGUUAAGGAGCGUGUUCACAUGUACUCCAUAUUGUGCAAUGAUAAUCUGGUCUAGACAAAAAUAAUGAAGACAACUUCUCUUACUAUCUUAAAUGACGUACUUCCUCCGAUCUUAUAUAUAAGAAAAAAUUCUUUUUUUAAAUACAAUGAAUAAUUAUGUAUCUAAUUUGCAAUGAAGAUUAGAUACAUUAAUUAUUAAAUAUAUUUAAAAAAAUAAUAUUUUUUAUGUGUAAGAUCGGAGGGAGUAUUAAUUAACAAUAACAACCAUUGUUAACAUCUAGAAAAACACAAACUUUUUUCCAUAGUUGGCAAUAUUAUUAUCCGGGUAAAGUGAAAAAAAUUGUCAUUGGGAUUAACAUUAGUAACUGGCAAAUAGAGGUCAUUAACUAGAGUAAGUAAAGGUAUAAGUCAACCCUUUUGUCUUGGAAUUGUACAUCACUAUCCUAUUCCCACGUUAUGGUCACCACCGACCCAUGCAAACAAAUCUUGACCUAAAAAUGUUCAAAAAAAUCACAUUCAUUUUCUUUUGCUAUGCACGAUCAUAGUUUACCUUACCCCAUGAAUCAUGAUUCAUCCCUUUCGCCUUAAUCUUCGUCAGUUUUUCUUUUUUCCACUAAACAAAAAACCAUGUCAAGGAUUAUGAUUCUGAUUCUUUCCUCAAUAUUUUAUUUAACUUAGGGUAAUAAAUUGAUUGAUGGGUACCUGCAUGAAUCACUGACCAAAAUUGAAAUUUCAAUGAGCUGUAUGUAUGGUAAGGGUACUGUAAUGUACUACUAGCAUUAAGUUGUAGCUGAACUAAGUUUGAUACCUAUGAUCUGGUUCGUUUUUAGUGGGCUCCAUUUCGUUGGCAAUUGUGUUAUUACAAUAUGGUGUGGGAAAUUGUGAUGUUCAGAAUAUAGACCAGUUCUUCUCUAGGGAAGGGUGUAUUAGUCAUUUCAUCUCUGCAGUUCAUUUAUUACUAUGACAAUAAUUAUUGAUUUUUGUGUUAUAGUCGUCGAGAUAUAAUUGAAUAAAAUAACGGCCAUAAGAUGGGUAUGAUAGUUUUUAGUGUUUUUAAAUAGCACAUCAAUCCCUAGGACACGCCCAAGCAAAACACUGUAGAAAAUUGACCUUAUAAUCUUUGUUCACCCUAAACUACUCCAACUUAUUUUAACGUCAAAAUUAAUUCAUGAUGCCAUUAUCAAAUUGUUGAGCCCCCCUAUUGCAGCACAUAAGCUAUUUAUUGUUGAAUUUUGGCACUAGGGAUAUUGAUGACAUAAUAACGCAGUUGUAUUCAGCGCAGCUUUUAUUUAAUGGGAUUCAUGACGUAUUUACCAAUGGUUCGAGGGGUGAUAAUAAGUUGGGGGGGCAAAUACUCCGUAGUACUAGACUACUAUUAUUGUGUACCAAAAACAAAUGUAGUUUUUUAGCCAAAAUUAUUAAACAUACGAUGAUUCCGUGGUUUGGAAUGAACGAAAUUAUCGGAAAAUAUUAUAAAAGAAAAUUAGGUAAUCAUCUCAAUAAUUCGGGUAUAUAUAACCAAGUUUACAUGGAAAUUAGGGUAGCCGACUUUGCAUGAAAAUUAGAGUAUUCUGUUUGUAAAGUAUUAAAUAAGUAUAGAAAAUAUUGUAAAAAAAAAGGCAACAUGAUAGAAAUGAAAUAAAGGCAUGAAAUACAAAAUAUUGUCAAAAAAAUCCAAAAAUAGAAGGUAUCAAACGUGAUCAUUGAUAUGCUCAUAGUUUCUAGAACAAAAAAGUAUAAAAUAGAAGACAUCAAACGUGAUCAUUGAUAUGCUCAUAGUUUCUAAAACAAACGUGCAUCAUCAAAUAAGUGUAGAAAAUAUUUUCUUCAAAAAAAAAAGGCAAGAGAAUAGGAAUGAAAUUGGUGCGAUGCAUUUUUUUAGAUGAAAUUUGUUAGGUUAAAUAAAUAAUUGCAAACCUAAUAAAACUAAUGAGCGGAAAAAAAUUAGAUUAAAUUGCUGCAGACCAUACAAAAUUAAUAAAUAAGAAUUUUUCUAAAUAAAGAAUAUAAAUAAUAAUACUAUAGUGAUGAAAUAAAUAAACUAAUUUAGAAAAAUUCUAAAAAAAAACUUGAUUUGAUUUGAUUAGUUAGGAUAAUAGUAAAACAAGAAUCCAAUAUUUUUGGGAGCAAUGGAAUUUUGACCUUUCACCAGGAUCGGGCUAUUGAAGUCUGAAUGUUUAGCUGCUGAGCACAUUUUAAGGAAACGCUGACUUGCUUAAAAUUGCUCAUAAAAACACAGGUCUAUGAGGGCAGGCCUUGCCUCACUGUGUAAAGUUUGAACUCUGAUUUUCCUGUAAAGUUUCCAUCAUCAUCAAAGUUUUUCUUUUAUGAUUUGAUUUGAUUAAAAUUUAUAUAUUUGUCUUUCACCUUCUAUAUAAUACUAUAGAAAAUGUCUGAGCAUAUGAAGUAUCAGAUUUAUAAAAACAAAUCUAUAUUACAAUAUCUGUUUUAUUUUCGGAUAAAAAUUUAUUUAGAAUUAAUUUAUUAUAAGCGUAUGGUUUUUUAGAUCAAAAAUAUAUAAAUAUAUAGAUUUAGUGCAUGAUUUAGUGAAUUGAUUUUAUAUGAAAAAGAGUUGAAUAUAAAAUGAUAUAUUAUUUUUUGGUAAUUAGAUAAAAAAAAAAGAGAAAGCAAAAAGAAAACUAAACUACGGUCUUAAGAACUGCACUCUAGAUAUAUUAGCGAGAAGUAAGCUUCCAAACUCGGGAGGGGGUUCUCCAAGUAGCACCAAGAAGAAUUGUGACCGGCACAAUGCUUAGUUAAAAUGUCUGCACACUCACUUACCUAUUGAAAGGUGUGGGUAAGAUGCACAUUCCAAGGAAGAUUAAGGAGAUCGUUAAUAUUUUUAAUGAUAGUUGUAUAAACACGUCAAACAUUAGGAGGAGCUUGAUUCAAUUUCAUGGCAUGCAGACAACUUCAAACCAUACAUGAUUGCAAGUAGUUCGAAAUAAUAUAUAUUUAAAUGUAUGUAUGUAAAAGUGGAUUUAACAAAAUUUACAGUUAAAUCUUAUGGUUAAAAAUUGUUGUAGAAGUCAAAAACUAAACAUUCAGUUUCAAAUAAUCAAUAUACAGGCGAAUAAAUUUUUCUUUAAAUCAUCUAAAUAUAAUAAAAUAAAAUAUACAACAUUUAGAAUCAUUAUUAUCUUCUAAAAUCGAAACUAAACAUAUGCUUAAAUGCAUCUUUUCUCCAAAUAUUUUGGGUCAACUCAUAGUUUUGGUUCAUCAUUUAAAAAAAAAACUUAAUCCAUACUUCAUCCGGUGAUAUUUAUAAACAAAAAACUAUUGUUUAUGUUCUUUUUUUAAAGGUAUUCUUUAUGUUCGAUGAAUACCUAAUGUAUUUUUGUAUUUAAUAUAAGGCUUAAUUGCACUUUUGGCCCCUAUCUUUUUUAGCCUCCUAACUAAUUAAAAUACAAAACAGCCCCUUAUGUAUUGGAUCUUUGACAGUUUUAGCCCCCAAUGCCACUUUUGACUUAGUCUUAACUGACGUGACACUCAUAAUGGUCGACAUGUGACACCUCUCACUUAAGGGAUAUGUGUGAGCAAUACAUGCAGUUGUUCCUCGGACGAUCUUGCCACAUAAUACACUCUUGGAAAGAGAUGAAGAACUAAUGGUUCAUGGUUCAAGCAUUCAUGACAAGAUAAGUCUCAUUGCGAGAUAAUGCAUCUUUGAAACAAAAGCAAAAAAUGCAUCUUUUUUUUUAACUAGUUCCACUUCCCACCGGGGAUGUGUCUUUAUCAAAUUCUCCAUCAAUUAUGUGCAUCUUAAUUUGUUCACCACUUCUUCUACUACUAUAUUUGGGGAUUAAAAAGGGUUGGAAGUAAGAAACUUAAUGUACUUCUUUUUCCCCCUCAAAACAUAUAUUCUCUAAAGUAAUUACUCCUUCUAUGAUAUAAACACUUGUUUAUUUAUGGAAUUGCAUUCCCUAAGAGUCAAGAAUGAAUAAGUAAAGGUAUGUGGCCAAAAUCUCAUAAUGCUGUGAGAAGGACUUUGAGGGUAAUCAACCAGCACAUAGGGUCACUUAUAUUGAGAUGUCUUCAAUUAUUCAAAUCUAUCCAAAAAAUUUAGGUAAAAAAUGAAUGUGCCUUAUAGCUAUUAACUUAGCCAUUUAAUAAUUGGUAUGCUUGUGGUAGGGCCAAUGCCUACUAAACAAUGCAAACUAUUUCCUAAUUUGAUAAGUGGCUUGAACCUGUCCUUGUAAAAAGAAAAUCUCAAUGUUCUUAAAUAUUAAUUAAUUAGUUUACUGAAAUGAAGAAACACAUUGAAAUUUAUAGAGUAGGAUUUUCUUAAAAUAGGAAUUUUUUUGGUUACUGUCCAUUAUUGAUCCACACAGUUUUCUUUUUUAUUUUCUUCUUUUUCUGUUAAUCAAAUGGCAAAAUUAUGUUUUUUAUUUUUUAUUUUUAUAAAGUGGUAAGAUUAUGUUUAAAAUGCCAUCUCCUUCUUUUCUUAUUAACGAAAAAUGCUAAUAAUGUAUUUAUUUGGCAAGUGUUUCAUUUAUACUUCCAAAUGCAAUUUUGUCUUAUUAACUUUUAACCAAUGUCUCUCUAUGACAAACGUUAAAAUUACUUUUUCUUAUUAAAAAAGUGAUGAUCUCAUGUCAAUAUUUAUUUAUUUUUUAAAAAAUGUCAAUAUUUAUUUGAAUUUUUUUAACAUUAUACUUUAUUCAAUAACACUCAUUUUAUGGAACAAAUCUUCGUAGAAGGUCAUGAAAGAGAAUUAAAACACCAAAGGGCGAUGAUUAUAAAAGCUUAAUUAGUCUUCAUUAAACAAUUUUAAUGUCAGGUUCCUAAUGGAAUUAGAGGUACCUGACGUGGGAAUAAGCUUGUAAAUUAUGGUCACUCUGAUAAGGAGUCAAUUUGAUUGAAGAUUUUACUACUAUUUUUUAGGGAGGAUUUCUUUAGGGACCAGCUUAGUCAGUAUGUCUAUGAUGUUUGUCUUUUCUCUUAGUUCACGAAAAAACAAUUUUGAUGUCAUUCCCAGAAGGUGGUCAUUGGUGUGGCCUGUGUAUCGGAUGCCAUGAGUGAUAUUAUUGUCUAGAGGGCAUUGCAAGCAAUGUCUCUUUUAGUUAGACACAUCCUAUUUUGCAUCAAAGUAGGUGGUAUCAAAUAAGUCUUUUUUUUUUUUUUUUUUAUUUUAAAAUUCAGUAUCCGAUCCAAGAAUCGACUAAUUCGAGGGGAUCAAUCCCACCGCCCACUUGCGGGGGCCCCGUUUAAAGCCAUACUUGCUCUGUAUGAACUUAGCCCAUCAAAAUUGGCACCAGAGGGAAUCGAACCUGAGACCUCUGGAGGAGCAAACUCCAAGAUCCCAAACCAACCACUAGGCCAACCCCAAAUGGGUUACACUUGAUUAAAUGAGUGUGGUUAGUAGCUCUUUUUAGAAUCGGCUAUAAUUAGGCGUAGAUUGUAUAUGGUUUGUAUUUGAUCUCUGGCUAACCUCUUAGUUAGUUCUUAUCCAUAAACUUCUAAUUAUAGGAAAAAGAAAACACUCAUUUUAUCUUUGCUAAUUAUGUAACAAAUCAUAUUACGCACCCAACGAUUAAUACUAUGCAUAUAUAGUGACAACUUGUUGUUUGCAGUGAUUUUUGGUUUGAUAUUAAAUCUAUCUAAUCCAACAACAAAUAUGAGUGAACUUCAAUGCAUUUGUGUUAAUCUUAUUGAUAAAAGAAUGACUAAUUAGAAGAAGAAAAAAAAUCAACGCCACUUAAAACAUUGAUGUAUUGUGUCAAAGUUACAAUCCAUUAUCAUUAAUAACCUUACUAAAAUUUGAUCAAAAAGUAUUAACCUUACAAUUUACAAUAGCGAUCUUGUGCACAAUUUACAGUAUUUCAUACAACUGCAAUGUCAAGUUUAAAAAAAAUUCAAGUGUAGUAAAGUUUCACAUACAUAAAUUUGAAUGAAUGAAUGAUAUGUUUGUUUAUAUAAUUAGGGUUACACAAGGUGGAAAAAAAAAAAUAUCAGAAUCAUUCCACGCGUAAGUUACGAAACUGCUUCUUCAACAAUGACCAAUAUGAGAUAUUUGCCUUUCAAGUUUCUCUUAAAGUUUUUUGGUUGAUUACAUGCCAUGGACAUUCACAAUAAUGUUUUUAUCCCAAAACACGUGAAUUGUAUUUCCAACUCUAAAAUCUAGUUCAUCUCAUUUGUGGUUCCCUACCUUGAUUGAGAUAAAUAACAUCUUCUUCUUCUUUUCUCCUGUAUAAAGAGUAUAUUUCACUUGAAGAUAAACCACUACAAUGAUUUCUCAAACUCUCAUUUGAAGUUAAACCACUCCAAAAAUUUCUACAUGUCGAAAAGCAGACUAAAAAUUAUGAUGAAACUUCCGUGUUGAUUUUCUUUAAAAGCCCGUUUGGUGCGCAGGAUAAAGAGACAAAAUAUGAUUAGUAUAUCCUAUCCUGUCUUAAUCCAUUGUUUGGUGCGCCCAUAGGAAAUGAUAAGUUUAACAUAUUUCUAAUUAUAUCCUAUCCAUCCUUUAUUAUUUUUAUCCUUAGUUUUUGGUGGGUUAGAAUUUUCCUAUCAUGAUUAGCAUUAAAAUCCUUAUUUUACCCUUUCUCUCCAUCCAUCGACCUCAACCUCUUCCUCCAUAACUCUUCAAGACCAUCUCUUCUAUUUAUCACAGAUCUAACCCCAAUUCGAACCUACAAUCACUUUUUUUUUCCAUCUGCUUAAUUUUUUGUUUGUUUCUUUAUUGAUUAUCAAUUUUCUAUUCGUGUCAAUUUUGAAAAGAAAUGAAACAGGCUGGAGUUACACAGGUUGGAGUUAUACAAGAAGGAAGAAGAUUGUAAACGAUUUAUUUUUUUUAAUUCAAGAAGCCGUGAUUUUUUGUUUUAAUUCAAGAAGCCAUGAUUUUUUUUAAUUGAAUUAUGUAAUUGAAGAAGAAGACGGCACCCCUAAGAAAAAGGAAGAUGAUGCCAUUUUUUUUUAAGAGACAAUUUUUUUUUUUAUAAGAUCGUAUAAUUAAUAAUAGCUUGAUUACAUUUAAUUAAAAAAGUUAGAACAUAUAAUUAAUUACAAUGAUAAUUUUGUCAUUUAAUUGUGAUGUAUAUGAUAUUAUGUUUGUUAUCAUGUGUGCAUCAAACAUAUGAUAGGAUAAAUGUUUAUCUUGUCUAUAUCCUUUUAUAUCCUUAUCCAGUUUUUAUCAUAUUUUAUCUCUAUCCUAUCUUAUGCACCAAACGAACCGUAAAAAUUCUUCGGACCGUAACAUUGAGUUUGAUGAAGCGUUAUCUUCACCUUUCAAUAUUCCUUCUUCAAGAAUAAUUUUUCAGUCAACUUCAUCAUUGUUCAAAGUUUCUUUCUCAUAUAUCUAAACAAGUUUGAUAUGCCCAUAAAAAUAUGAAAGCCGCAUCUCUGACCAAAAAUUUGAAGGCAUAAAAUAUGAGUUAUUUUUUUAUUCAUCCAACAUUUAAAUUAAUCAUAUUUAAUGUCCAUUCACACUUAAAUCCUUCUUUUUAAUAAUGAUGAUGAAAGAAGUCCUUCAACUAAGAUUAAGAAAAUAAAACAUCCUCACAUGGGUAUGACUGACUGACCCUUUGAAAUAUUUUUAGAUGACCAAGAUUUUUUUUCUUUAAAGAAUUCAAAAUUGCAUUGAAAUUUAGCAAGAUUUGAAGAAACUCUUCUGCUAUAAGACUGAGUGGCAUAGCAUUCACAUAGGGUCAAGCACAUUACCACUCCUUAUGGACUUCCAUCGUUAAAUUUUAUUUUAAGGGACAAUUAGGAACCUAAAAAUGUACAUUAACUCAACAAAAUCUCCAUAUAUUUUUUAAUACAUAUAGGAGAAAAUGUCAAAUUUUGUUUAAUUUACAUGCAGUGUCAUCUUGUUUCAAGUUGCAUGUUGAAAGCAUUUUGGCAGUAUUAUAGGAGUGAAUAUCGAAAGAAUCCAUCAAUCCAAUCAUUCAAAAUAUGGUUGUACCGUCCGAUAUAUACCUCCAAAAACGACAGACACCAAUGAUAGGACCAAACAAAUUGCUUGACCAUGACAUUUCUAACUAAUUAACAUGCGAGAGAAAUAUAUUCUAUGAUAAUACUAUUGUUCUUCCCUUGACCCUUUUAUUUUGUUUCCAUUAGGGCGCACAUGAUUUACGGUUAGUGUUGUUAAUAAAAAUUAUUAUUAUUAUUCUCAUAAACUGUCAGUGGAGUACUACUAAUUUAAAUUCGUAAGAAAAAAUAGACAAAUUAUUUAGAACUUCUAUUUAAUUCAUGAUCGGAAUUCUCAAAUAAUUAUUUAGUCAAACUUUACUUAUAUUAAGAUCGACCUCUCAAUUACUAAAGUUUUCUUUCCUGUCCUAUACAUUUCCCAACUUUAGUUCAUGCUAUUAUUCUUCCCUUGACCCUUUUAUUUUAGCAUUGUUGCUAUUUUAAUUUGUUUUUAUGUUUAAACUUUGAGGUAAAAUUCAUUAUAAGAUAAACGAAUAUAAUUACUCGUAUCUUUAUAAGAUGGUCAUUUCUUGGAUUAACUACCGCAAUUUCGAGUACUACUUCUUUAAUGCUACGCGUUAAGUUUACUUUGAGAAAAGAAAAUCGAAGGGUUAAAACUAACAAAUAAGAACAAACAUAAUCAUCUAGGUUCCACCUAAUAUCUUGAGGCCAAAAAACAUUUAAUUAAUGUUUGCACAAUGAAAGAUUUUUUUUUUCAAAGGAUGAUGAUUGGUUGUGUGACCAACAUUAUUGGGGUACAUGCCAUGACUCAUAAAUGCUAGAAUCCUUGCCAACCGAUUAUAAUUAAUAUUAAUCUCACAUUGCAUAUAAUUGACCAUUCAAAAUACUGUACUACUCAUUCAGCAUAUGGGCAUGCAUGGCAGCUUGAAUUAUUACCUCACAAGUAUAUCCCCGUUAAAAAGCCAAAACAAAACGCGUUUAACUCAUAUUACACAAGGUCUCUUAGGUUAAAUAAUUGAUUUUGGAUUUUAAUUUAAAUUUAAAAAAUACUGAAACCGUUUGAAAAUCAAGUGUGAGUAAUAAUGUCUCACAUUGAUUAGAAUCGGAGCAAAAAUUAGAUAUAUAAGUGAGGAGACCCAAAAACCCAUCGUCUUAGAGUUUUUGGUAAGAGUGUGAUGUCUCUCUCUUAGCGGGUCCUAGACGUUUAACCCAUUGUCGCUCCAAGCGCUCCCCAACCUCCCCAACUGAUGUUUGAGUCUGGUUAGGCUUGUUGGGGGAGUGGGAGUGGAAUCAUAUUGUGGGCCUUCCUAGUGAUGUGGGUGAGUCACACUUGAGAGGGGGUUGUUGGAAAUCAAGUGUGAGUGAUAAUAUCCCACAUCGACUAGAAAUAGAGCAAACAUUAGAUAUAUAAGAGAGGAGACCCAUAAACCCAUUGCCUUAAGGUUUUGGAUAAGAGUGUGGUGUCUCUCUCUUAGCGUGUCCUAGAUGUGGGUGAGUCACACUUGAGGGGGGGACUGUUGGAAAUCAAGUGUGAGUGAUUAUGUGCCACAUCAACUAGAAAUGGAGCAAACAUUAGAUAUAUAAGAGAGAAGACCUAUUGCCUUAAGGUUUUGGGUAAGAAUGUGGUGUCUCUCUCUCUUAGCGGAUCCUAGACAUUUAGCCCAUUGUCGCUUCCAACGCUCCCCAGACUCCCCCAACAAACUGGUAUCAGAGCCUUCUUAGGCUUGCUGGGGAAGUGAGUGCGGGAUCCCAGUUGGAUCUUCUUAGUGAUAUGAGUGAGUCACACUUGAGGGGGAGAUUGUUGGAAAUCAAGAGUGAGUGAUAAUCUCCCACAUCGACUAGAAAUAGAGCAAACAUUGGAUAUAUAAGAGAGGAGACCCAUAAACCCAUCAUCUUAGGAUUUUGGGUAAGAGAUUGGUGUCUCUCUCUUAGCAGGUCCUAGACAUUUAGCCCAUUGCUGCUCCAAGCGCUCCCCGGACUUCUCAACAAAAACGUUAAAACUCUUUAACGAAAAAUUUACGAUUUAUAUAACCCUAUUCAAGAAUAAUUGUCUGUUUGAUAACGCAUCCCAACUUUAUUUAUUGUGUCUCAAUGUAUUUUGACCGUGAUUUUUCUUAAGCUACUAAUACUAGUUUCUAAGUUUCAUGCAUUUGAAUGAUGUUCCACCGUGAAAACAAACAAAGGCGAAGUCUUUGCCUAACCGAUAUACUAUGGUAUAAAAACUGAAUUUCACAGUUCUUUUCAACCAAUCCUUUUUUAUGUAAAAAUCAUGUCCUAUAUAUUUUGAUAGAGAUAGUAUAAAUACUAUGUACUAGAAUGAUAAACAAUAAAAACGGUUGUUCCUCCAAUUAUAUGACAUUGAUUCAAUCCAUUGAAUUUGAUCAACCACACCAAAAUGUCAUAUAAUAUUGUGUGUAUUUAAUUUCUGAUAGUGGCACAAGUGACAUGUGCCUCACAUACAUGACAUUCCAAACGGAGUGGUAGUUGAGGAGACGCGUACAAUCAUUAUUAUUGAUGAAGAAGAUCACGAAAUUAAUUGAACAAGAUAUUUGCUACCCUAGCUUAAUUAACGGUCGAUGCAUCAUGUUCGUGUGUGCAAUGUAGCAGUCUAGGCCAUAAGAAUGUAACAUACCACGAUGUUGAUAUGUGUCAAAGUGCUCUAGAUAAUGAUCUAAUCUUCAUGCAUCCUAAAUACAAGAUCUUCUUGAGAAUUUUUCUUAACGGUUUUAAUAAGAUUCCUUUCAGAUUUUCAAUUUCAUUAAUUAUUUCUCUAUCAUAACACUGUAAAUUACUUUACCUCAUUUUCUAUAUUUAAAAGUAUGGGUGGGUCUUUGCCGUUCGGUUUGGUUUUGAGUUUAAAAUUCAUCUGAUCCGCAUGAUGAAAAACAUGCGGUUUAAUUUGAUUUAAUUGAUUUUUUUUUAAAUCGAUCCAAACCAAACUAAUGCCGUUUGAUUUAGUUUAGCUAGUUUGAUUUUUUGCAAGACAACAUAUAAUUUAAAUAAUCUGUCAAUAAUUUUGAUUAUAUUAGUUACAACAAUUAACUAGUUUGCAACGAUUAACAAUUAUUUACUUUAUUUUAUAUAAAUUUGAAAUUAGUUCGUAAUCAUUUACUUAAAUUAAUUGAUUAAUGAAAACGCCCAAUUUAUCAAGGUAGAUGAUUAAUACAUUCAUUAAUGAAAACGCUCUAUUGAGAUAGAGGAAUAAUUAGUAUUUACUUAUUUUAAUUUAAAUUGGAAAAAAAGAUGUUUUCGUAAAUUUAUCUCAGUUGGUAGGAAUAAUGCAUAAUAUAUGCAAGGUUUUGGUUCAAAUCCUAGACACAAAAAAAAAAAAAAUUGGAAAAAAGGAUUUGCUCAAAAAAAUUGGGGUAUAGGUGUAAACACGCAAUUAACAAAACAAUAGAAAAGCUUNNNNNNNNNNNNNNNNNNNNNNNNNNNNNNNNNNNNNNNNNNNNNNNNNNNNNNNNNNNNNNNNNNNNNNNNNNNNNNNNNNNNNNNNNNNNNNNNNNNNNNNNNNNNNNNNNNNNNNNNNNNNNNNNNNNNNNNNNNNNNNNNNNNNNNNNNNNNNNNNNNNNNNNNNNNNNNNNNNNNNNNNNNNNNNNNNNNNNNNNNNNNNNNNNNNNNNNNNNNNNNNNNNNNNNNNNNNNNNNNNNNNNNNNNNNNNNNNNNNNNNNNNNNNNNNNNNNNNNNNNNNNNNNNNNNNNNNNNNNNNNNNNNNNNNNNNNNNNNNNNNNNNNNNNNNNNNNNNNNNNNNNNNNNNNNNNNNNNNNNNNNNNNNNNNNNNNNNNNNNNNNNNNNNNNNNNNNNNNNNNNNNNNNNNNNNNNNNNNNNNNNNNNNNNNNNNNNNNNNNNNNNNNNNNNNNNNNNNNNNNNNNNNNNNNNNNNNNNNNNNNNNNNNNNNNNNNNNNNNNNNNNNNNNNNNNNNNNNNNNNNNNNNNNNNNNNNNNNNNNNNNNNNNNNNNNNNNNNNNNNNNNNNNNNNNNNNNNNNNNNNNNNNNNNNNNNNNNNNNNNNNNNNNNNNNNNNNNNNNNNNNNNNNNNNNNNNNNNNNNNNNNNNNNNNNNNNNNNNNNNNNNNNNNNNNNNNNNNNNNNNNNNNNNNNNNNNNNNNNNNNNNNNNNNNNNNNNNNNNNNNNNNNNNNNNNNNNNNNNNNNNNNNNNNNNNNNNNNNNNNNNNNNNNNNNNNNNNNNNNNNNNNNNNNNNNNNNNNNNNNNNNNNNNNNNNNNNNNNNNNNNNNNNNNNNNNNNNNNNNNNNNNNNNNNNNNNNNNNNNNNNNNNNNNNNNNNNNNNNNNNNNNNNNNNNNNNNNNNNNNNNNNNNNNNNNNNNNNNNNNNNNNNNNNNNNNNNNNNNNNNNNNNNNNNNNNNNNNNNNNNNNNNNNNNNNNNNNNNNNNNNNNNNNNNNNNNNNNNNNNNNNNNNNNNNNNNNNNNNNNNNNNNNNNNNNNNNNNNNNNNNNNNNNNNNNNNNNNNNNNNNNNNNNNNNNNNNNNNNNNNNNNNNNNNNNNNNNNNNNNNNNNNNNNNNNNNNNNNNNNNNNNNNNNNNNNNNNNNNNNNNNNNNNNNNNNNNNNNNNNNNNNNNNNNNNNNNNNNNNNNNNNNNNNNNNNNNNNNNNNNNNNNNNNNNNNNNNNNNNNNNNNNNNNNNNNNNNNNNNNNNNNNNNNNNNNNNNNNNNNNNNNNNNNNNNNNNNNNNNNNNNNNNNNNNNNNNNNNNNNNNNNNNNNNNNNNNNNNNNNNNNNNNNNNNNNNNNNNNNNNNNNNNNNNNNNNNNNNNNNNNNNNNNNNNNNNNNNNNNNNNNNNNNNNNNNNNNNNNNNNNNNNNNNNNNNNNNNNNNNNNNNNNNNNNNNNNNNNNNNNNNNNNNNNNNNNNNNNNNNNNNNNNNNNNNNNNNNNNNNNNNNNNNNNNNNNNNNNNNNNNNNNNNNNNNNNNNNNNNNNNNNNNNNNNNNNNNNNNNNNNNNNNNNNNNNNNNNNNNNNNNNNNNNNNNNNNNNNNNNNNNNNNNNNNNNNNNNNNNNNNNNNNNNNNNNNNNNNNNNNNNNNNNNNNNNNNNNNNNNNNNNNNNNNNNNNNNNNNNNNNNNNNNNNNNNNNNNNNNNNNNNNNNNNNNNNNNNNNNNNNNNNNNNNNNNNNNNNNNNNNNNNNNNNNNNNNNNNNNNNNNNNNNNNNNNNNNNNNNNNNNNNNNNNNNNNNNNNNNNNNNNNNNNNNNNNNNNNNNNNNNNNNNNNNNNNNNNNNNNNNNNNNNNNNNNNNNNNNNNNNNNNNNNNNNNNNNNNNNNNNNNNNNNNNNNNNNNNNNNNNNNNNNNNNNNNNNNNNNNNNNNNNNNNNNNNNNNNNNNNNNNNNNNNNNNNNNNNNNNNNNNNNNNNNNNNNNNNNNNNNNNNNNNNNNNNNNNNNNNNNNNNNNNNNNNNNNNNNNNNNNNNNNNNNNNNNNNNNNNNNNNNNNNNNNNNNNNNNNNNNNNNNNNNNNNNNNNNNNNNNNNNNNNNNNNNNNNNNNNNNNNNNNNNNNNNNNNNNNNNNNNNNNNNNNNNNNNNNNNNNNNNNNNNNNNNNNNNNNNNNNNNNNNNNNNNNNNNNNNNNNNNNNNNNNNNNNNNNNNNNNNNNNNNNNNNNNNNNNNNNNNNNNNNNNNNNNNNNNNNNNNNNNNNNNNNNNNNNNNNNNNNNNNNNNNNNNNNNNNNNNNNNNNNNNNNNNNNNNNNNNNNNNNNNNNNNNNNNNNNNNNNNNNNNNNNNNNNNNNNNNNNNNNNNNNNNNNNNNNNNNNNNNNNNNNNNNNNNNNNNNNNNNNNNNNNNNNNNNNNNNNNNNNNNNNNNNNNNNNNNNNNNNNNNNNNNNNNNNNNNNNNNNNNNNNNNNNNNNNNNNNNNNNNNNNNNNNNNNNNNNNNNNNNNNNNNNNNNNNNNNNNNNNNNNNNNNNNNNNNNNNNNNNNNNNNNNNNNNNNNNNNNNNNNNNNNNNNNNNNNNNNNNNNNNNNNNNNNNNNNNNNNNNNNNNNNNNNNNNNNNNNNNNNNNNNNNNNNNNNNNNNNNNNNNNNNNNNNNNNNNNNNNNNNNNNNNNNNNNNNNNNNNNNNNNNNNNNNNNNNNNNNNNNNNNNNNNNNNNNNNNNNNNNNNNNNNNNNNNNNNNNNNNNNNNNNNNNNNNNNNNNNNNNNNNNNNNNNNNNNNNNNNNNNNNNNNNNNNNNNNNNNNNNNNNNNNNNNNNNNNNNNNNNNNNNNNNNNNNNNNNNNNNNNNNNNNNNNNNNNNNNNNNNNNNNNNNNNNNNNNNNNNNNNNNNNNNNNNNNNNNNNNNNNNNNNNNNNNNNNNNNNNNNNNNNNNNNNNNNNNNNNNNNNNNNNNNNNNNNNNNNNNNNNNNNNNNNNNNNNNNNNNNNNNNNNNNNNNNNNNNNNNNNNNNNNNNNNNNNNNNNNNNNNNNNNNNNNNNNNNNNNNNNNNNNNNNNNNNNNNNNNNNNNNNNNNNNNNNNNNNNNNNNNNNNNNNNNNNNNNNNNNNNNNNNNNNNNNNNNNNNNNNNNNNNNNNNNNNNNNNNNNNNNNNNNNNNNNNNNNNNNNNNNNNNNNNNNNNNNNNNNNNNNNNNNNNNNNNNNNNNNNNNNNNNNNNNNNNNNNNNNNNNNNNNNNNNNNNNNNNNNNNNNNNNNNNNNNNNNNNNNNNNNNNNNNNNNNNNNNNNNNNNNNNNNNNNNNNNNNNNNNNNNNNNNNNNNNNNNNNNNNNNNNNNNNNNNNNNNNNNNNNNNNNNNNNNNNNNNNNNNNNNNNNNNNNNNNNNNNNNNNNNNNNNNNNNNNNNNNNNNNNNNNNNNNNNNNNNNNNNNNNNNNNNNNNNNNNNNNNNNNNNNNNNNNNNNNNNNNNNNNNNNNNNNNNNNNNNNNNNNNNNNNNNNNNNNNNNNNNNNNNNNNNNNNNNNNNNNNNNNNNNNNNNNNNNNNNNNNNNNNNNNNNNNNNNNNNNNNNNNNNNNNNNNNNNNNNNNNNNNNNNNNNNNNNNNNNNNNNNNNNNNNNNNNNNNNNNNNNNNNNNNNNNNNNNNNNNNNNNNNNNNNNNNNNNNNNNNNNNNNNNNNNNNNNNNNNNNNNNNNNNNNNNNNNNNNNNNNNNNNNNNNNNNNNNNNNNNNNNNNNNNNNNNNNNNNNNNNNNNNNNNNNNNNNNNNNNNNNNNNNNNNNNNNNNNNNNNNNNNNNNNNNNNNNNNNNNNNNNNNNNNNNNNNNNNNNNNNNNNNNNNNNNNNNNNNNNNNNNNNNNNNNNNNNNNNNNNNNNNNNNNNNNNNNNNNNNNNNNNNNNNNNNNNNNNNNNNNNNNNNNNNNNNNNNNNNNNNNNNNNNNNNNNNNNNNNNNNNNNNNNNNNNNNNNNNNNNNNNNNNNNNNNNNNNNNNNNNNNNNNNNNNNNNNNNNNNNNNNNNNNNNNNNNNNNNNNNNNNNNNNNNNNNNNNNNNNNNNNNNNNNNNNNNNNNNNNNNNNNNNNNNNNNNNNNNNNNNNNNNNNNNNNNNNNNNNNNNNNNNNNNNNNNNNNNNNNNNNNNNNNNNNNNNNNNNNNNNNNNNNNNNNNNNNNNNNNNNNNNNNNNNNNNNNNNNNNNNNNNNNNNNNNNNNNNNNNNNNNNNNNNNNNNNNNNNNNNNNNNNNNNNNNNNNNNNNNNNNNNNNNNNNNNNNNNNNNNNNNNNNNNNNNNNNNNNNNNNNNNNNNNNNNNNNNNNNNNNNNNNNNNNNNNNNNNNNNNNNNNNNNNNNNNNNNNNNNNNNNNNNNNNNNNNNNNNNNNNNNNNNNNNNNNNNNNNNNNNNNNNNNNNNNNNNNNNNNNNNNNNNNNNNNNNNNNNNNNNNNNNNNNNNNNNNNNNNNNNNNNNNNNNNNNNNNNNNNNNNNNNNNNNNNNNNNNNNNNNNNNNNNNNNNNNNNNNNNNNNNNNNNNNNNNNNNNNNNNNNNNNNNNNNNNNNNNNNNNNNNNNNNNNNNNNNNNNNNNNNNNNNNNNNNNNNNNNNNNNNNNNNNNNNNNNNNNNNNNNNNNNNNNNNNNNNNNNNNNNNNNNNNNNNNNNNNNNNNNNNNNNNNNNNNNNNNNNNNNNNNNNNNNNNNNNNNNNNNNNNNNNNNNNNNNNNNNNNNNNNNNNNNNNNNNNNNNNNNNNNNNNNNNNNNNNNNNNNNNNNNNNNNNNNNNNNNNNNNNNNNNNNNNNNNNNNNNNNNNNNNNNNNNNNNNNNNNNNNNNNNNNNNNNNNNNNNNNNNNNNNNNNNNNNNNNNNNNNNNNNNNNNNNNNNNNNNNNNNNNNNNNNNNNNNNNNNNNNNNNNNNNNNNNNNNNNNNNNNNNNNNNNNNNNNNNNNNNNNNNNNNNNNNNNNNNNNNNNNNNNNNNNNNNNNNNNNNNNNNNNNNNNNNNNNNNNNNNNNNNNNNNNNNNNNNNNNNNNNNNNNNNNNNNNNNNNNNNNNNNNNNNNNNNNNNNNNNNGAAUUCUAUUGUUGACGCCUCCCUCUAUAUCGCCAUCUUUACUUUGUAUGAUGGACUCUAUCUACAAUUUUCAUCUUUAAACUUGCAUUCAAUAUACUGUUGUCAAUUUUUUACUUAAGCAGAAACCAUGUGUUUCACAGGCUUGUCUCCACAUCUAUAUCUUUUAGUUUAUUUCUUUUAUCGGCGGUCUAGCCAAGACUAUAUCAUCUAUAAAAAGAAUACAAUUUGGCACUACCUCUUCGAUAUUUUCAAUAAGAAUAUCUAGAACCAAGAUAUAGGAUUAGAGCUCAAAGUUGUGAUCCUUGAUGGCUACUUAUAGUAACACCAAGCUAUGUUGUACCGACACUUUAGAUCGAAGGCGUGUCUUGUGUCCGAGACUGACACAACGCCGACACAUGUGAUUACAUUCAUUGACUUUUAUUUUCUUAAAUUAUUACUGGUGUUUUGUGUCGAUGCCGUGUUUGGUGUCCAUGUCCAUGUCUGAGUAACUGUUUCAUAGACACCAUGUGUCAGCUUUGAGUCCUUAUCUUUUGAAGUUAUAGAUGUGCUUAACGAACCUAUCCAAGAGAUGGUGCCACGAUACGCAUUUUUAUCAGAUGACAUAAUCUUGGUAGAAGAACCAACAGAAGAAAUAGAUGAAAAGUUACAGUUACCAACAAAGUAAACUUAAUAUAAAUGAGAACUCGUGACCAAACCCUUUACUCCCCCACUCCCGAAAGGAAGAAGGAUCAAAUCCAUGACUACAUAAUUUUCUGAUAUUUUACUAAUGCAUUAGGCCAUUGCUUACUAUAGACAUCAAUGACAGUGCCUUUGCUCCGAGAUGCAAGUGUAAAGAUUCUCUAAAUUAAUCAAGUAAUAUUAAGGUGAAAAACUAGUCCAAGGAACUAGAUUUACUAAAAAGGGGGAAAACCAGGUAGAUAAAGAAAGCCGCAAUGACUUUUUGAAUACUAUCUUGCAAUUUUUAUAGAGAUUAAACGUGGGUCGAAAAUAAAGAAUACAAGAGUAAGAGAACACCUUCAAAAUAUUGACAAGUUGUGUAUUGGUGUUGUCUUGCAGACGAUCAGGACAAUGAAGACUUGAAGGAUCGAGUCCACAUAAGGCCAAUUUAUCUGGUUGCUCGGUACCCUAUAACAUAUAUAGCACAACCAGCGAUUACAACACUGACAUGAUCGAUGAAGACAUUAACUCCGUUACAAACUAAAUGUAAUUUUCUUUCCAAUUAAAAGAAAAUUCCAGCUUGAAGAAGUAUCAAGAUUGAGAAAACCCAAUAUAAAAUGCAUAUCCAAUAGGGAAACAUGUGCAACUAACUUGUGAAUUGAAGUUGUGGAUUGUCAGUAAUAUUCUGGUACCUCCAAGUCCCUAAACAAAACAAAUGAUUGAAAACAUUGCAAGUGAUUUUGAUUUUGAUUUUAUAAAUAUAAAAACCAGAAACAGAAGAAUAAGAUGCAAUGAUGAUUUAUGUCACAACACACAAUCAGUCUUUGAAGUUAACGUUUUUCUCACAAUAAGUUCAAAAUGUAUUUUUUCUUUUUCUUGUUUAAGUAUAUCUGCAUUACCCUCUAUCAGAGACAAUAUUCUCCUAAUAGCAGACGCUUUAUAAAAAAUAACACAAAUUAUGAAAAUUAAAAUUAAGAAAAGAUACCUUGUUUACAAAUACAUCCCAGAAAAGAGGGGCAACAAUGGCAGUCUCCCAGUUAUGUAGAUGCAGUAUAUCAGGCUGCUUCCCACAUUUUACUAUAUAAUCCAGUGAGGCACGACAAAAGUAUGAGAACCUGACGGCACAAGAUUUCAACAUCAAGAUUAUUGACAAUUUUUUUAUACAUGAUAGAUACAAACAUAUCAGAGUAUAGUUUUUUAUAUCUCUUUUAUAAGACAGUUUGAGGGCACAAAAAAGAUGGUCACAAUGGAUUCCAAAAUAUCACAUGAUCAAAUUACACCGAUGUAAUGUAAUGCUUGAAUGCGGUUACACAAAUCAAUAACUUUUUCCCAGAUAUUUGUAUCACAAAACUGUUACUACAUUUACCUUUCAAAAUCAUCCGGGUAACCAUAUAUCAUCUCGCGGCUGAAAAACGAUGAAUGGUCCAAUGGCUCGAUCAAAGUGACUCCCACGCCAUAAACAACACUGUCACACACUAAGGGUAAGUAUAAAGGAAAGCAACAUCAGUAUAUUUUAAACAAGAAACAAGACUUGAAACAUUAGCUCUAAUAACUUUCAUUAAUUCUUUUAUCACCGCCGGUACAUAUUAUUUAACAUUCCUAUUAUAUGCAAAACUAUGGUAAUAAAAUAGGUGAACAAAGCCAAACUAACCCAGUCCAAAUUCUGUUUCCGUGUAAUUGACCAUUAAAAUAUGAGUAAACCUCCACAUUAACUUCACGCAAACCUUGCACUUCAUCUAGGUCUAAGCAUGCAUACCUACAUGGUAGUUUUAUAAUCAUACAUAAAGAUCACAAAAUAGCUUAAGACUCUCAUGUUUACUUUGGUUGACUUUAAAUUGAAGGAAAUAACAGAAGAAGCGAUGAAACAGAUGGACAUUAAUUUCUUAAUUACUUGGGCAAUAUAACCUCUGCAAGGUGACCUUUUCUUUGAAGUGCACGAGCUAUGCCGGUGACAUAUGAUGCUACAGAUCCUCUAGAGACCAAUGGUGUCAUUUCUGUGCAAAUGUGAAUAAUAUGAAAGCCAUUCCUGAAUGAAGUUUAUACAAAGAAUAACAAUCAUAUUUCCAAAAAACCAAUCCAAGAAAGCAAAAUCGAAGAGCAGGAAAAAUUAACAGACAUUUAAAUGUGAAAAAAAUAAACGAUCAACUGCAGGAAGGAUUUACUUUUUGCUUUGAUCUGAGAAGUGACGAAGUUCUCCCACCAGUUCAGAAUCUCUUUUAUGUGAGAUAACAUUAAAGACAUCAGCAACACUCACUUUAUGGUGCAACACCAAACUUCUAAAGUCAGAUGCCUCUGCAAGGCUAAUCACGUUGCCCAGGACCAUUGAGUCUAUUCGAAGCAGCAAUUCGGAACAAAUUGAUAGCUUAUCUGGUUUACAAAAUGCAGACAGAAAUAAUAGUUUAGUUAAUCAUUCUAGUGAUGAAUUGUAUGCUUCCAAGAAUAUAUAUAUAAACACAUCAUUGCUAAACUCAGAUUGAUUUUAAACAUAUCAUUGCUAAAAUCAAAUCGAUCAUCAUAGGUGUGUGGUCACUCGAGUGGAGCGAAUGUUAACCAUAUGUAACUCUAAUUGUGAUCGACAGAAAUCACAGUAGCAGCUCUGCUGACAGAAACAUAUGGACAAUUGGCCGAACUACGUGAUCAACUCAUGUGUCCACUUUAUCAAAUUUUUCGUUAUCUUGUUAAUCUUGGUUUCAAUUUGUUGUUUACAAGCACAGUUUAAUAGUAUAACAGAAGAUGGUCUAGAGGCUGUUAAUAACAAAUAAUAAGCACUAAUAUACAAUCACUUUUACCAGCACUCUCCUGCUUUACUGCUUCCAAUUUUUUUAUCUUAUCAAGUAUGGACUGUUUUUCUUUCUUUAUUUUGUUAAGUUCCUCGAUGGCACCUAGGCGUUGAUUGUUUAAGUAUAGUAUGUCUGCAUGAAAUAAGAAAAAUAUACCAAAAAUUACUAAAUAUUCUUCUACAAAACCACAAUUAUGAGUGUGAGGAAAGAACUAACUUUGUUGUGCUUCUCUGAACAAUUGCCAAAUAUUAUCAUGUUUCACAUUCUGGCCAUCAUCAGAUAAUGACUAAGAAAAAAAGGAAGGAAAAAAGCAACAAUAAGAAAGCAAUGAAACACUAGAGAAAUUAAGAUAGUAAGAGUAAAAGGGGAAUGUAAAAAACACUAUUGUUUGGUCUUAACCCUCAGAAAUCCACGGAAAAGGGCCCUGGUAAUCCAAAUUUCGGUCAGAUUAGUAAAACUUGGCUAAUGAUUAUUUAGCCAGAGUUCGAACUCAGGUACUCCCGAUCGAUUCAAUCUUAAUUUUAAAACAUAACAUAUUUGAAACAAAAAUUCAUACCUUGGAAAUGUCCUCAUUUUUGUUAACCUCUAACCUAAGAUACAGAUAUUCCAAAAUUAGUUGCCAAAUAGCCUUGUGUGUGAAGCAGCUGAUAUAUACAAUUAAAAAGAAAAGAAGGUUACCUUUGUUCAUGUAAGCCACUGACAUCUCCAUUAUUCCUGAAAACACAAUACAAAGAAUGAAAUGUGAAGAAUAGGCUAAAACCAAGUUAAAUUAACAUGUAGUUGAUAAAAGCUUCUCCAUUAAAAUAUAAUUAUGAUUAUUGACUUAAAAUAAAACCCUUAAUAAAUUUUAGAAGUGAUUAAAAAUUAAAAGCAAAUUCCACAUUUAAAAAAAUGUUCAAAAAUUCUCUAGUAAUUCUAAUACACCUAAUUUUUUUAUAUAUAUAUCAAUUAUCAACAGAAAACCAUAGUCUAAAUUAUGAAUUAUUUGAUUGAUGAACUGUAUAAAAUAUUAUGAAUGAUGAAAGUUAUUGAAAAAGUGGGAGUAGAAGAAGAGUAACCUGAAACAAGAAAGAGCAGGAAGUGAAAUGGGUUUUUGAAGAAAAGAGGAGGGAAUUCCCAAAAUAGGCAUAGUUGAGUUCAACAAUGCCACCAUAAUAAUAUCUGAACUGAACUGAUUUCAGCUUAUGUCAUGUCAUGAUACUGCUAAGUAAUAAUAAUGCAAGUGAAGAGUGAUAUUAUGUUAUUAUUAUUAUCAUCAUAAAUUGUUGUCAUAAUAAAAAUAUCAUCAACGUCAUCAAUGUUUUUAUUUGGAAACUUCUACGGCCAAAAAGAACAAGACAACAACAAACAAACAUGCAUCCUACACAACACUUGUUCCAGUUAAAAUCAAGUGUUACAAAGAUUGGUUAAGGUGGUCUCACGAUAAAUUAGAUUUGUUAUGAGGUGAACAUUUUUUUUCCUUCUGAUUAUAUAGGUUGGUUAUGAAGCGAUAGGGGGUUUUGGACUAAUUUUUUUUACAUAAUCAUCUAAUCGUUAUAUUACUUUGUUAUAUUAUUUUCAAAAAUAUAUUUGAACAAAUAUUUUAUGAUACAGUACAAUGUGUAAAACAUUUUAUUUUUAUUUUAUAUAUGUUUAAUACUUGAUUAAUAUACAUUUAACUAAACUAUUUCUUUCAAAAAAAAAUUGAUCAAUAUUUUUGAAAAUAAUAUAACAAAGUAAUAUAACGAUAUAAUUUAACUAUAUAUAAAGGGCUGGUCUUCGAAAGAGGGCGUGGGUUCAAAUCCCACUUCUGACAUUUUUUUUGUCAAAAAAAAUAUAUAUAAAGGGAUAGGGGUUUUGGAUUAAAUUUUUAUUAUUCCAAUUAUACCCCUAUAUUGAUGUCACAUUGUUUGUGUUAUUAAAAGGGUAAAAUUUUAUAUUAUAUUUGUAGAAUUAUUGUUGUCAUUGAAAAAGAUAAAUAUGAUGUGUUAAAUUUGUUACAAUUUGAAAGUCAAAAAUAUUUUUACUUGUACUUUUAAUUGAAAUCAAAAUUUAACACAAAAUACCGUUAAUAAUUUAUUGACACAUGUUAGCACAAUAAAAAGAGCGGAAAGACGGGCACGCGAGUCUCCGUCUUUCUGUUUGUAUAAUUAAAAAGAGUAUUUCAUAUAAUUAGUAAGUAUUUUAGUUUUUGUUAUUAGUUAUCACGUAGAGUUUAUUAAAAUUACUUAAAAGCAGUAUGUGAGUUUUUUCUUUUUUUAAUAAAUCAGUAUGUGAGUUUAUUAAUUGCCCUAGCUCCUUUGUCUGGUUCUCAUGACUAAUAUCUCUGAUUAAUCAUAUGGUCUAUUGAAGUUAAUCGGAGUUCACGAUUAAGAGGGUUGUGUGUAUUGAAGUUAGGGCAGAGUGUCGGAUGGGUUCAAUUCAAAACGGCUCACCUGAGAAAAAUCAAAAGUGCAAAACUCUUGCCCACUUUCUACCGUUUUAGACUUCAGUUUUGUUUGGUUGCAAUUUAUUCGAGUCGCGGGUUGGUCGAAUGGAUUUAAUCAGAUUAGCACAUGAAUAGAAAAAAGAUAGAGAGAAAACUCAAACCUUUGUUAAAUAAUAGAAUCAUUUGUUAAGAAGUCUAAAGAAAAAGUUGUCUUGUAAACGAUGCAUUUAAGUAUUCGAUAAAUUGAAAGUUUAAAAAGUAACUUUACUUUAUAAAAAAGUUUGUCUUUUACGUUUAAAGAACACUUGUCAGCAAGACCAAUAUCAAAAAGCUCUUGAAAGAACAAGUAUAUUAAACGAAAAUUAAUUGCUAUAUUAAUUUUAUUGACCGUUGAUAUUGUUUCACAACUUUCAGAAAAAAGAAUUAGCUAACGUUUCUUUAAAGUAUUUUAUCAGGAGACAAUUAAAUAAUGUUGUCUAUUUAUGCUCAUUAUCCUAUAUCAAUAUGCCAUCUUGUAUUGAGACUAUUAUUAUUACUUAUGAGAUGAGUUGAUUUUGUUUCUACUUUGAAGUUUGAAAGGUCUCAUACGUACUAAUGAGUAAUGACCAACCUAGUUAUUGAACUCAAAAAUCAUCUCAUCUAAACAAUUUACCAAAUACUUUAAAUUUAUGGUUGAAGGCCAAAUCAUCACACUAUCUCCCCAGCAUUUGCCCUCUUCGUAACAUAAAAAAUUGCAAUCAUUAGUUGUAUGAUUAGCAUUAUUAUAAAUAAAUUACAAAAUAUAAUACAAACUAGCUUAACAAAACAUCAUCCCCAUUGGACUGAAUUGAGCAAGUCGGAUUUCAUGAUAAUCAAACCGAUAAUCUCUUUGAUGUUACAAGCCAAGCUUACGCUUCUUUAACUUUCGCCUCCUUGCCGCCUCCUUUUCCGCCGCCUCCUCCGCCAACCUCUCACGUUCAUCCUCCUCUCUACCAAUUUUUGCACUGCACACACGUAAUAGCCAAUCAUCAGCACAAGAAAAUAUUACAUUUUUUUGGUUUAUUUUUGUUAGCUCAAAAGAUUGCUUCAUAACAUUUUCUAGCAAAAUAUUUCUUAUUUUUUGCUUAGCUACAAAUGAGUUAUUUUGUUUAAGGUUAAAGCUUAACAUUGAAAAGAACUUCUUAUAUCUUCACUACUUCAUAUAAAAAAAUUUAAAAAUAGAAACCAAAGUGGAAAUGUGUUUUAGUAAAUAAAUUCUAUACAAAAUUUUAAAAAUAAAGACCGAAAUGGAAAUGCGUUAGUAAAUGAAAUUAAACAACACUCCCUAAAUAUGAGAUACAAGUAAAGAACAUCGCUGACAUUUAUAAGUGCAAUCAAUAACAUCAGAAAAAUAAAAGAAGUCUCUCCCACACAGCACAGCAGCUUUUAAUUAAAAUCUUCCUAUUUUUGCUUAAUAUUCUCCCACACGAUACCUUCAAUCAUAUUUUUGCUUAAUAUUUUAUAACUUGAAAUACAUAUGGAUCUCAUUUGCAUUUAAAUAGAAAAGAAUGUGUCGAGAUGUGGGUGCUAGUCUGUUAGUGUGUACCUAGCACUCAUCUUUUCCUAACUACUAAACAAAGAAAGUGACAUGUCAAAAAAACUAAAGGUGUUAAAUAACUUUGUUUCCCAAGUGUGAACAUUAUUAUCAAGUCUUAGGAGUGUUAUUGAAAAACUACUUGUCAAGAUUAGCAUUACUCUGUAUGAAAAGAAAAAGGGAAGAGCGAAAAAUGGACACAUACAAAAGAAAUAAAUGGAUGAAAGUUAAGUCAUAGAAAUAAAUAGAUGAAGGUUAUAAGUUUUAAAUAAGCAUAAACGGGCAACAGAAAGACGUCCUGUUUUCAGAAAGGAAUGGAAGAAAGGUUUUUAUUAUCAAGUAAAUAUCAUAGUGUAAGCUUUAUAGAAACCAACCUCUUCCUUUCCUCCUUCAUGAUAUCAUCAAAGCCUGCCUCCAUAUUGGCGUCGUCAUCGUCAUCGGAAUAAUUCUUGGGGUUGUAACUACAAAAAAUCCAACAAAAUUAUCAAUAUCAAGUAUAAUAAAUCAUAUGAAAUGAAAGGACGAGGUCCAUCAGUCAAUAAAACGAGACUCCCCCAUUUGGAAGUUUACAAUUAUCAGUACACACGGCACAGAAAUCAAGCAUUAACAACUAGAAAAAAGGGGACUUAAACAUAGAGAACUUACCCAAACAUAUUUCUGAUCUCUCUGCGCCAAUCAUCCACCACAGGCUCAUCAGGGCGGCGUUUCCUCACUAUACUCUUGGGGCGCUGAUCAUGCAAAUCAGAACGCUUAGGAAUUUGUUUAAGUGGUGGCUUACUUACCUGUUAAACAAUUGAACAUAAAUAAUGAUAAGGAGCGGUGAAUCAAAUUCAUGGGUUCUUGUUGAGUAAGGGGGUUUAUAUAGUAUUAUACCUGAGUUUUUGAUGAUGAAACUGGUUGUUUUGGUACUGUUCUGGGUUUAUACUGUUCUCGUACAUCUCUUCUUUGGUCCACGCCCUGCUUCGGAACAGAUGAUGGAACCUUUGAAGGGGCUGGCUUCUGCACACCAUUUAUAGGAUUUCUCAUGCCAGGUGUGACCGAUUUACUCACCGAGGUAUUAACAUGCAUCUUUGAAGGCAUGCCUUUGGGCAAUAACGGCCGGCCUGGUCCAUUCACACUGUUGUUACCCAGCUGUUUUCUAGAAUCUACUGAUACCUUACUGGCCUGACUCGUAGAACUUAACUUGUAAUUGGAUCGUGGUUUAGGAGCUAAGUGACGAGCUCCAGCAACAGGUUUCCGGUUCUCACCAGAACCACGAACGAGCUUGCCACCAUUGCUAAGAGACGGUUUACUCUUUCCUGGAACUUGAGCUGCUUGUCCCACUUUAACAUCAGCAAAAACCCUGUAUAAGUUUCCUUAAUCACAGUAAAAAAUAUUCGAACCCGCCCCCAAUUGAACAGCACAAAAUAUAAACAACAACAUACCAGAACUGCGCACAGAUGUAUUCCUGGAGGGAGGCUCUUUUGAUGGAACAGGAAGAUCCGCAUCAUCAGACAAAAGAAACGAGUAAUCUCUAGUAACCUUGAGUUUCUCAGCUUUAACUAGCUUCUGCAUAAACACAACAGUUCAUCGUAUUAGAAUAGCAGAUAAUGACUUGUGUGUUACAAAAGCAAAUUGUAUACAGCAGCUACAAUACCUCGUUGACUUUGGGUGGCUGCUUCUGAGCUGAAGACUUCAAUACACCAUUAGAUACUUUACUUGUACUUUUGUUCUGUACACGGGAUAUUUAUGAGAAAGUUGCAUAACGUACGUAACACAAAGCGAAAAAGACAUCAAAGCAAUGUUGAUAGCAAGCAUAUCCCAAGCAAUGUGCGAUGAGCAUAAAAAAUAAAAAAUAAAAAAAUCUAUUAGAAUAAUGCUAAAAAAAGGAUUCACACACAAAAUUAAGAGAAGUUUAAGAACUUAGAUAUUCAGCCACAUCAUAAGCAGGAACAGAAUUGUCAUAUUUCUGACCAUAUUACACAUCAUGAAUCACUCCUAGAAGGAUUUUAUAACCGGAAGUGAAGCUUAAGGAAGUAAAUAUCAAUGUGAAAUAAAUAGUGAAAAAUAUGUUGUAGACCAUGAGAAAUUCUAGCAUCCCACUGAUUGUGUAAUCACUAAUCAAACAAGAACAUGUUCAAUAAGCACUUAUUACAUAGGAGCGUAAGUAUAGUGUUUCUACAAUCGUGGAGGAUAUGAGGGUAAACUAUACAUAAACACUCCAUAAGUUGUUUCUAUAAACUAUACAUAAACACUCCAUAAGUUGUUUCUAUAAACUAUACCAAGAGCUUACUAAAAUAAACUGAAAACAGAUAAUGAACAUAUCAUAAGAUAUUUUAUAAGCUAUUCAAUAACUUACACAAGUUCCUACGUCAUAAGUUAAGUCUAAAUAAGUUAUUUGUUCCAAACGCUUGCAAAAUGAUAAGCCCAAAUAAGUUAUUAUUCUAAACACCCACUAAAUGAUAGGAAGUGAUGACCAAUAGAAAAUUAAACUCACUAUAGAAGAUAUGAGAAUUAUCCUAUGGAUAAGUUGAUACACCAAACAGUCUAAGAUUAUAUAUACAGCCAUUAGAUAUAAAAUCAGGAUUGUUUUCACUAGAAAAGAUGGUAGAAUCACAACUUGGGUAGUUUAGUCAUGUGUAAAUAAUACUCAUAGAAACGACGCUGAAGAGAGCUGACUAAACAAAUAAGGUUCAAUAGUUAAUAAGUAGAGGGAGGUCAACAGAGUUACAAUAAAUGUAAAACAUCUAAGUAUUAUUUGAUCCAUAAAGCUGACCCCAACAAAUGUAAAAAGGCACAAUGUUGUUUAUUAGUUUAAAUUUUGGUUGCAUUUAUUAGUUUAAAGCCACAAGACGCCAUAUAUUUAUUUACCACACAAAAUCACAUUUAAAAAAUUCCACAGAUUAAAUUAUUAAUCAUAACACCUUAAAAAGAAGAUCGACAAUAUCACACAGAAAUUGAUAAACCAAUAUUAAAAGGAAAGUAGAAAAUAAAAGGUGUCGAAUACAUACAAUUUGAGGUGUGUUAGAAGGCAUGGGCACCAAAUGUCGGUUUUCUAGCAAUGAUUUGCUCUCUUGGAUUACUCGCUGUGCAAUAACCGGUUGAGAAGGACCAAAAAAAGACCCAUAACUGCAGCAACAAAUGAAUAUUGAGGACAGAUAUUUCAAAAUUAUUCCUCUUGGCAUAUUUCACAUAUUAUAUGUGCUAUGAAACAGCAAACCAUAUUAAAGAAAGAGGGCAAAACAUGCAUAACUAAUAGUUACACAAGCAAGACGAUAAAAAUAAUUGUGGCCUUACAAAUUACAAUGACAACAAGUUACAGAUAGGAAACAACAGACAUCUGAAAAAAGACACAUGUGCAACACCAACCAUGACGCAUUUAAAAAUACAAUUUCAGUUAAAACAAUAAAAAAACAUGGACAUGCAAUAGGGUCGUACAUCUAUGGGGAUAAUCAGAUCAUGAGAAAAGCCGCAAAUUUGUUAGAAAAGAAGCCUCCAAAAGUGAAGCAAAUAUGAAAAUGAGUUUGCAUUCCUGAAACGACUGACUUAGGGCCUGUUUGGAUAGGCUAAUUUUUUAGCUAAUGCAAAUAAAUAAGCUUUUAUGUUAAUUCAUAAGUUCUCACUAACGAAAAUGGUAACUUCAUAAGCUGUUUUUUCAUAAACUACCUUGACAAGCUUAUGAACAAUACAUAAAAGCUUAUUUAUUUGCAUAAGUUCUUUUACAUAAUAUCAGAAAUAAGCCAAUCCAAACAGGCCCUUAAUACAAAUUGCCACGCAAAAAAAGCAGUAUUUUUAACUCCCAUCAUGCUUCCAAGGAAAAGACAUAGGGUGGAGAGUAGAACAAACAAUAGGACUUUUUAAGAAAUGAGUAACAUAAAAUUGCAAUGCACUCAUAAACCAAAUCCCUAUUCCCUGAUUAUUUUGGAAUUGAGUCUCAUAAAAAUUAAUGUAAACAGAACCUAAGCAUUAUAUUAUGACUAUGUGUAUAUGGUUAAAAGAUGGUUUCAAUACUCACUUAUCACGUUGAAUUUGCUUCUUUCUACCACUUGAAUCUGCAAGGGAAGUACUAUUCUGCUUCUGCAUCUUUUUUCUGAUUGAUUCUUUCAACUUCUGCCUCAACUCAAGGUAGUCCAGUUCUUCCUUAGUGGGCUUCCGAGGCUCUUCUGCCACAUACUCUUCCCCUUCCUCCUCUUCAUAUCCCUCCCCUUCCUCCAGUUGUUCGUCCUCAUAAUCAUCGUAAUCCUCAUAUUCCUGAAAACAAAACACAACAAAAACCAUAUUAAAUUCAGAAAGAAAAAAACAAAGAUAACAAAAUCAAUAUAAGUAAUUGAAAUCUCAAAUUCUCAAAUCUUAAAGUUGAGAAUACUUACAUCUUCUUGAUCAUAGCCCCGCAUUGCGGCUUGAAUCAUAGCUACAGAAUCAAAUCAACAGCUACAAAAUAUCAAUAAAUCAAAUCAGAAUCCAAUUGACAAAAAAACACUAAUCUAUUGAUACACAUAGCAAUGCAAUUAACAUUAGAUUCAAACCUAAAUUUCGCAUCCACUGUAACUAACAGUGUUGAAAAAAACUGAAUUGCACAAAAAAACACCCCAGAAACAAAAUUUCUGAAAAUUAGUAAAAUUAGGGUUUUCAAAAUCUACGAUUGAUUUUUCCCCCAGAUUGAUACACACCAAUAUAAUCACCAACCCACCUUGCGGAAUUGAAAUCUCGAAUAGCGAAUAUGAAGAAAGACGUGUUAUAUAAUCGGAAAAAACUGAAUCGAAUGAAAAUUUGGGGCAAAAUUGAAAAAAAAAAUCGGGAAAAAGAAAAGGGGGAAAAGAAGAAAUUGGAAUAAUGGGUGAAGCGAUGAAGAAAAAAGAAUCAAAAUUUAGGAAGAAAGUACCGUGAUUGAUGAUGCGAUGCGAUGCGAAGUGAAAUUGAGCAGCGGUGGAAUGAAAUCGUGCGAAGAAUGAGUUGAUAAAGGGGAAGAAAUUAUUUUGUUGUUGUUCCAGAUUUUUCCACAGUCCCUUCCCCCCUCAAAGAGUUCAAUCUUUAAAUCGACAAAAGUGUAAUAAUUAUUGCAAGUGUAUUUGGGCUUUUACACGUUCAUUAGAUUGUUUUAUCUAGCCCAAUAAAAGUUUGAUAUUUUCUUUUUCCACCCGACCAACUUCUCAUGUACCUUUCAAAUUUUCUAAAAUACCUCAUUCAGAUUAUAUAAUUCAAACACAUUUUAAAUGAUUUUUUAUUAUAUAAUUUGAGAUAUUUUGAAACCCAUAAAACAUAUUGUAAUCGAUACAAAUGUCUUUGAUUAUCAUUGUACCAUCCCCGCAAAUAUUACACAUCAAUUUUGGAGAUGAUAUCAAUGGUUAGUAGUAACCAUGACAUCAUAACUCACUCUCAAAUGAAAAUUAAGAGUAAAUAAUGGAUAAAUAGGGGAUUUGCAAUGAAAAUAUAAAAGAAUGCAAGACUAUUUAUAGCCACAAACCAUCUUAAAGACUAGGAUUUGCUGCUGUAGUGAAACAACACAAUUUCGCACAAUUUUCAAUAGCAGUCGUUGGAUCUUAUUAAUUGGUACUGUUAUACUUUUGUCAAACCUAUCCAAUGACUAGAAUAGCAACUAUGUUGUAUUUUACAGCACUGAGUCCAUAUCCCAUCUUAAACUGUAACUACCGUCAAAUAAAACAUUUAAAAUGACCCAAAAUUGCAUUAAACACACCACCAACCAUUCAAACAUUUCUUGUAACACCACAACCCAUAUUUUGGACUACUUAGGGUUAAAUAAUUUGAUAUCAUUCCCAUAUAAGUUCAGAAUAUAUAAAAUGAAAUAUGUCCAGACUGUGUUAAACUUAAAACUUAAGCUUUAAGAGUUUGGAAGGUUUCAAAGUAUAUAAUUUGAACUGUGUCGAGAGCACAACAAAUUGAGAAAAACUACCAUUAAAUUAAAUUCUACAACAUACAUUAAACAUGAUAAUUUUCAACAACAUAACCACAAACAAGAUAAUUCCAACAAUAUAAUUCAAAAACGUAAAACAACAUAAUAAAACACAAACAAGAACUUGGGGUUGGUCAAGCUUAAUUCUUAUCCAUUCUAUUCAAGUAAGCCCUGAUUUAUCUGUAAGACUUGGACUGAAUUAAACUUUCAUGAAUAUCUCGUAAAGAUCCCACCAAGGAAAUGUAUAACUUGAUCGAUCCUUUCGAACUAUGUUGACUAAAUAUAGAUAACAUGGCUCAUCACAUCACCUUUGUUCUAGAACUUCAUAUGGGUAAACCAAAUGCGCCCAUCCUAGUCUAACGACGGAAGGCGAUACUCAACAUUGUCCACCAUUCUCGUCUCUACGUGGUAGAGAAGAUCGUUAAUUUGCUACAAUCGAUCCUUCAAAUUAGAUAGUGUGACAUCAACGUGGACCCUAAACAUCUUAGAUUUUUCCUCAUUGUAGUAACCUGCAACUAGCUUGGUGUUUAUAUCUAUUGGAUAAAUGUUAAUGGUUAUGUGGUGUGGUUUGCAAAUGAACUUAACAAACCAAUUUAUAGAAGGUUAUGUGUGUUGUGGACCACAAAAACCGUCGGUGCAAUAUAAACCACAAAAUAUCUUGUACUUGACUGGUUCAUAGUAUAUACUCUCAAUUGCAUCAAAUCCUCUAAAGUACAAGUUUUUACAUUGUCUCAACAUGCUUCAAAUUAUAUUCUCUGAACAAAUACUGGCCAGUUUUAGGAUUAAGUAAUCUGAAACAGUCCAUAAUUUGGACAAUGGCUUGGUCAACAAGUCUUUGGAAGUUCAGAUGAUUUCUGGGUCAAAUUGUGGUGUUUUACAUAUUUUGUUAACUGAUUUGACUAAUGAUACACUCUUUAUAGGGACUUUGCCUAUAAAUACACAACCAUUCUUCGCAAUUUUUCAUUUCAGCUCACAUUCUUUGAUUUCUUUCUUUUUCUAUCUUUCUUUUGUUUUAAGAGUGAAGUUACGAUGUUAUGGUAACAUCAGUGACCUUUCAUACACAUCGUCAAAAGUGACCUUUGUGGUAGUAGUUACGAGGUUAGUAAGAAUGGUCAAAGAUGGUUGUCACAUUUCAACUUGUAUUUCAGAUCUGUUUGGAUGUUUGGAUUUGAGACUGUUUCAAUCAAUUUCAACCUUCUCCUGCUCUGCCAUCUUGUUCUCCCAAAAUUUUCUAAGGAUGUCCGAAGGGAGUGACAAACAUUCUCCGCCUUCCACUUCCACAUUCUUCUACCACAAAUUUAGCUUUAGACGUCAAAGAUUUUGUAAUAAUUAAUGUUAUGUAUAUGUAAUUGUAAAUGUAUUUUGUUCGAUUAAUAAAAUGUGAUGAACUUUUACAUUUUGUUUAUAAUUUAUAUUAUAUCAUUUUAAAUUCUGUCAUUUACAAGUAUGUCAUUUUGAAUUCGGUCAAAAUUGAUUAAUCACAAUUUGAAUUAUAAAAUUCAAAAUACGACAAACACUCUUCGGACUAUAAAAUCCGAACAAGAAUAAAAAGGAUCAAUUCAAAGAGUGUGUGAGAAGAUGAUAGGGUGCGAAUUUUUUUUAAAGAAAUUAAAGUUUUAGGCCAUUCAAAUGAUUCAAUUAAAUUACAUCUGAUUAGUAACUUCAUGGACGAAAAUUCAAAUGACCUAUAUUUGCAGGGAUGAAAGACCUAUUUAAGCAAACCACCUCGCCCAAUCAUCACUUGUCACAUGGGCACCACGUCGCUAAUGACAGCCCACCUCAGCAAAAAAAUCUAAUUAGGACCAAAAGUCAAAUGAUUAAUAUUUGCAGGGGCAGAUUGGAAGGAUUAGUAACUUUAGAGACGAAAAUUCAAAUGACAUAUAUUUGCAGGGACGAAAGACAUAUUUAAGCCAUUUUUAAAAUAUCGGAAAAUUUGAGGACCUAAGUGUAAAAUUUGAAAAAUUAUAACACUGAAGAAAUUUGAAAUUUAUAGCAUUUAGGUGUAAUUUGAAAUUCCCAUAAAUUUUCAUUAUUUUAAAAAAAUUUCAAAUUAUUAUCCAAACAAUAGAAUUCACCUCAAAACAUUACUUUACGUCAAAACAUUCCCUCAUCCAAAGUCCAAACACAGUCUAAAAUUUAACUUAUAGGGUCAUCAUAUGUGUGUUUUUUUUUCUUUUUUACACAGGGUCAUCAUAUAUGUGUACCAUUUUUAAUAUAGAAAACUGGUACAAAAAUCUAAUUUACAACAUUUUUCUAAAAAAUAUAAAUUAAUAAGGUUUCCGAUUUGUAUAAUAUCUUAGAAAAUAUAUAUAAAUAUUUAUUUUUUGAACAAAACUCACAGUCAAGGAAACAUUUUUACUUAUUAAUUAGUGUAUUAGACAAAAAAAUAAAAUACUCAUAAAACUGCAGCUUAUUUGAACAAUGCUUAAGAAAAAAAACUCAAAUCAUUUGUUACUAAAAUCUAUGGAAAAAAUACAUUUAUUUUUUUUUGAGAGAAAGAAACUUAAAUCAUUUCAUUAAAGAUUAAAUCAGUAAUACAUGUUGGGAUUUCAUCAAAGAUACGGAAGCUAGAACUAGAUGUGGCUGCCUUAGCUAGAGUAUGUGCAACCUCAUUCGCUUGCCUCCUAGUAAACUCGACAUGAGAGUUUGUUAAAAAUGACCGACAGAAAUGGAUGCUACUGUCCAUUAUGGAACCAAAUUCGGUGACAUCUCCACUGCCUUUGUUGAAAUAAUCCGCUACUCGUUUCGAGUCAACUUCAAAAUCAACAUUUUCGAGUUGAAGUUCAUGGAUCCACCGAAUUGCAUGAUACAGUCCCAGCGGAGAGAAACACAUGAUUUUUGAUCGGACAUGGAAUCCUUUUGAAUCUCUAAUACACAUGCCCAAACCAAUCUUGUUGUUGACGUCUGAAAAAGAGGCAUCAAUGUUACACUUGAGUCUGCCACUUCUAGGUUUCCUCCAUCUGAUGUUUGAAUCUCCAUCUACUACCUGGUUAGUGUGAUUGCGAGGAAGAGUGGUAUCAAUGUGACUAUGAUUAGACGGAUUUUGCUUACGAUUAGCACUUCUCCAACCUUCUAAAAGAUGGAUAGCUCUUACCAUGAUUGUUGUGGUUGAAUCUGUCACUUGUUGCCACAACUUAAGGUUUCUAGCUUUCCAGAUACUCCAAAUAAUAGUGACAAUAUUCUCUAUUUGGGUUGUAGACAAUAUUCUCAACAAAUGGAAUAUAAUAUCUGAUGCAUUAUCAAACAGGACCAAAGAUGGAGAUAUCAGGUGCCAAACAUUAGCCGCAUUCCAAACAUCGACAGCUGCCUUACAGUGAAACAAAAUAUGAUAAUUGUCUUCAUGGGAUCUUCACACAUAACACAAUUUGAAGGGCAAUUAACACCUCUGCUUCGUAACUUUACCCCUUGUUGGGAAACAAUCUCUAGCUUCCAACCUUGUUUUCCAAGCAUAGCAACAUUAAAUGCUGCCAAAUCUUUGAAAUCCAUACCUCCGUAGUUAUGAUAUCAUCAAGCAACUAAUAUCAUCAAUUCAUAAAGUUUUUCGAAAAAGUCAUGUACGAUUUCGCCAUUAAUAAAGUAUAUUAGUCGUGAAAUUCAAGAGUUUGAUUUUCGCUACAAUCCGAAAGUUACUAAACGUAUAAAAAAAAAUCAAAAACCUUUUUUGAUAAUUUUUUUGAAAAAGUUAUAUUGAGUUUUAUGGUAAAAGUUAAAUUAAACAAACUAGAAUAUUAUUUAAUAAAUUUUCUGAAAAUUCUAUUCAAACACAAUAUUGAAACUUGAAAUAAAAUACUCCAUUUGUUUCACAAUGAGUGUCACUUUAACUAAAAAAAUUGUUUCAAAAUGAAUGUCAUUUUACAUUUCCAAUACAACUUUAAUUUUUUUUUUCCAACUUUACCCUCAAUAAAUACUCCAACUUUUCUCUUGCACAAUUUUCAAUGCAACUUUAGAUUUUUCCUUUUCUUGACCAGUUUAGUAAAAGUGUUGUGUCUAAUGAUUAUUUCAUUUCAUUCCUUAAUUUGUAUGCAAUUGGCUAAAACAACAUUCAUUUUAGAAUGGAGGGAAUAUUUCGAUGAAAAUGAAUUCAACCCGGAAAACUUGUAUAUUUAAAAAAAACUCAUAUGGGGUGAACCAUGCUAAAUUUAAAAUAGUUAAAGGUGAGAAUGAAAAAUGAAUGUGUAAAAAGUUAAAUGGUAAAAUUGACAUUUUUAAUGGUUUGUCAUGGUGCAUGUAUAGUUGUUGGGGUAAAAUGUAACUUUUUCUCCAAGCGAACAAGAGAACAUAUUAUGCGGUGGUCACACAACUUUGUAGUUUGUGGUCAUUCUAAUCAGAGAAAUGCUAAAGUGCACGACACAUUUUGUCGUGCAAAUCCCACGAACUAUUCAUUCUCUCUUAUAUGCGGCAGCCGCUCUCUUCAACACCAAAAUCCUCUUCGUUCCUUACCUCCACCAGGCAGUGAGAUAACAGUGACGGUGACAACAUCAACGGCGAUGGUCGACAACAGUAGCUACGACGUGGGAGAAACCGAUGAUAGUUAUAUGGAUGCGGAAUGAAAGUCUAGCUACUGAAAACACAUGUCGUGUUAAUUCGUGCUUGAUGGUUGUCGUGCCAUCUAGCAAUGCUCUUCUAAUCAUGACAGCACUGGAUUCCAUGUGAGUAACUUUGAGUUUUGUGACUUUGUUGUUAUAUCUCUCUUAACCAAUUAUUUCCUCUUAUCAAAAUAAUUUGUUCUAAUCAUUAAUCUAUCAAUUAGAUAUACUAAAGUCACAAAAACUCAAAAUCAUCAGGUAUUUUCAGAUGCACUACGGCCAGGGUCGGAAUCUUUUUUCUUUUAGAAAGGGGAAAAGUUUCUUGGUAUGGAAAAUGCAGCGACGAAAAAUAAACGAAUAUAUAUACGCCGUAGGAUAUAUUUUAGAUUGUAAAACAUUUAUGCUUUUAUUUAUUUUAAAAAUAUAACUCCACCGUCCGCAUUCAUCGUGCGAAUCCUGUGCUUUAGUUUUUCGCACUAUAUAGCGUUCCUCUUUGGAAAGACAUGGUGGUGUAAGACAUAAAACAUUACAUCUGAAAUUGCAACCAUACACAGGAUACAAUCCAUGUGAAACAAUUGGAACCAUUGCCUAGGAAAAUGGUUAAGCGUGGCAGAAUUGCAACAACCAAGGUACUUGUUCGGUUGAAGGACACUUUUUCUUAAAUAGGAACUUUAGAGUUUUAUUAUGAUCUUUGAUAUAGCAAAAUGUUCGAGGUCCUUAUGCUAUUAGCAAAUUGUUCGUAAUAAGAGAGAGUUAAAGAAAAAUGAAGGAUAUAGUGAUAUAAUUUAUUUAUAUACUAGAAUGAGGACAUGAAAAUGUAAAGACUAGUACAUAUGACAUAUGAAUAACACUCAUAGGAAAACAACUUCAAAAGCGAAGACAAGCACAAAUGUGAAGACUAGAAAUAUGAACCCGUCCCAACCAACCAAUAUAUUAUUAUAAAUAAGGCCACAUUUAUUCUACCCCCCUAACAAUCCUAGUCCCACACACAACACAACAUUGCUUCACUUCAAAAGAUUGGACCAGCUGCAAGAAUCUCUUCUGUGAGGUUGUCAUCACCCUUUCCAAUUUUGUAGUUGGUGAAGGUUUCAAAAUUCUUCUUGAACAAUCCACCCAGCUUCAACAAUGUCGCAUUGUAGGCGUUUUUGUCUGACCACUGGAAUCCAUCAAAAAUACCAAUUAUUAAUAUCCCGUUUCUAAAUUAGAAGUGUUUUAUUACCACGCAAGGUGAAUAAACGAACUGUUUUAGGAUAACUUACCGCAUUUAUAGGAUCCAGAAUUUCUGAAGGGACACCCUCCACUUCAGUUGGGGUCUGAAGGCCAAAAAUCUCACUCUUCUUGUAUUCUGCCCCCAGGAGGCUUCCAUUGUGAAUAGCAUCAAUUAUUUUUCUAGUAUAACUUAGUUUGAUACGAUUCCCGGUACCAUAGCUGGAUUAAUUUGACAUAGACAAGAACAUCAUGUUUAGCGCGAAAAAACAAAGAAACUCAACAAUAUUGCAAAGAGAAGCACUAAAAGCAUACCUGCCACCGGACCAACCAGUGUUAACAAGCCACCCUGUUGCACCAUGACUCUCCAUCUUUUCAGCAAGCAUUGCAGCAUACUUUGUAGGGUGUAACAUUAUGAAUGCUGCACCGAAACAAGCAGAAAAUGUUGCUUGUGGCUCCUUUAUACCAUCCUCAGUACCAGCCACCUACAUAAAAAUGGUUAGAAUCAUAUAACUGAAGCAACAUUGGUUUAGCAAAUAGUAAAAAUUAGUGAGAAUGAAAUUUAUUACCAGAGCAGUAUAUCCACUGAUGAAAUGGUACAUGGUCUGCGCCAGGGUUAGCUUACUCACAGGUGGUAGCACACCAAAUGCAUCACAUGCCAAAAGAAUAACAUUCUUUGGAUGAGGUCCAACACAUGGUAACUUUGCAUUUGGUAUGUACUCUAUAGGAUAGGCUGCACGAGUAUUUUCUGCAAUAAAAAAUUACCGCAUGUAACUAUCAGCAGAGAUAUAUUUUCUUUUGCGAUGAAGCACUAAUACACACACUAGACACGACGCUAAUAAUAAUUUUGAAAGAUGAAUUAAUUGAAUGUAGUCACAUGUGUCGGACACAUCUUCGAUCAGAAAUGUCAGUGCUACAGUGGUUUCUUGUAAUAGAUCAUUACAAUGUACAAAUCUAAUUAAAAAAAAUCAGCAGCUGACAAGUAGAGGUUUGACUUGUUUAUCUUUGAAAUUAAAAUAUUCGUCUCUUUAUUUAACACCGUCCUAUAAUCCUAUCCAUAGUGCCGUAUUACAGGAGGUUUGUAUUUUAAUUACAAGUGACCUUUCACAAUAACAUAUAGAUUACUUGUUACAUUACAUAUGAAGUACAACUUGUAAGGAUGUACGAAGUCAACUGUUAAUUGGCAAAGACAAAGUCACAGCUUAGUCCUCUUUUGUCAGCUAUAUUGAACAAAUAAUUUUAAAUGAAACCAUCUUAGUCUUUAUACGCAACAAAAAUUGAUGAAGUCAACCAUUAAACAAAAGAGUUAACAAAAUCCAAAUACUAAUCUUAAUAAAAAAAUCGUUGAUUACCUGUAACUGAUUUGUCAGAAUAAUCAACUUCUCUAGUAUGCUCAUCAAACACCACGUUUUCCAACACUGGCAAUGCAAAAGAGAAAACAAAUCAAAAAUAAUUUUCAAUGUUUCGAAAAUUAUAUACGCGGUUGGAAUAUAGACCGCGGUAUAAAAGUUUUUUAUAUUUGUCAAAGAUAAACAUAUACCUGUACCAAACCUAAUUGCAUUCCAGAUAUCAGGCUCUUUCUCCCGGGAGAGAUCGAUGCAUUUAGCAUAACAACCACCUUCAAUGUUGGAGACACCAUUCUCACUCCAACAAUGUUCAUCAUCUCCAAUCAAAUAUCUAUUAUGAUCAGUAGAAAGAGUUGUCUUUCCAGUACCUAUUUUAAAAAAAAAUAAAAAUCCAUUAGAAUUAUAAGAAAAUGAAAACAAAAGCCAUAACUAAUAUCCAUGGCUAAGUAUAUAUGAUAUAUCUAGUGGAGUAUAGGACAAGGAAGGGAACAUAUCGGGGAGCGCAUGGCUGGCUGGAAGAGGUAGCUACAUUGAAUACUAUACCUGAGAGUCCAAAGAAGAGAGCAACAUCGCCACCUUUGCCCAUAUUAGAACCAGAGUGUAAGGAGAGAAUUUGGCGCUUAGGCAUGAGAUAAUGCAUGACACUGAAAAGACCUUUCUUCAUUUCCCCGGCGUAUUGUGUGCCGAGGAUAACCAUUUCCCUUCUAGCAAGAUUAAGAUCAAUGCUAGUGGAAGAUGUCAUGUAGUGAGUGAAACGGUUACAUGGAAACUUUCCGGCAUUGUAUAUAGUGAAGUCCGGAGUACCAAAAUUCUCCAGCUCUUCAGGACUGGGUCGGAUACACCUGUAACCAACCCAGUUAUCGACUUUUUUUUACAUAGUUGGGAUGUUUUGCAUUAUUAUAGUGAUGCUUUUGCAUACCUUUUUAUUUAUACAUAUAUGAAUUAUAUACAAGGCUUUCAACAAUAUAGGAUACUUAUCUGGUGGAGCUUAUAUACCUACCUUUUUGUCUUCAAGGAACAAAAGAGAAACCAAACAACUAGUGUUGGCAAUUUUUUGUUAAGUAUUCUUUAGUUUACACUUACAUGUUGUGCAUGAACAAUGAAUGGUAUGCUCUGGCUGAUACAAUUCUGACUUUGAUUCUGUUCUCUGGAUCCCAAUUCAAGAAUUGGUCGUUCACAAACACCUGCGGUUACAUAGUCAUCGACAUUGUUAUUGUUUAUUUCUUACUUUUACUAAUAAGAUACUUGUGCAUUCGCAAAAGUGACUUUCUUUUUUAUGUAUGUUUAAAACAUUAUUAUAUCGAACGAAAUUUCGAGGAAUGCACUACUCUAUCUUGUUUGCCUUGAGCCAAGAUGACAUUAUAAAACUGAAAUUUAUUGUAAGAAUAAUAAAAUCAACUUGACCUCCCAAACUUGUCCAAUUGGAAUGAAUUAGUUUGAAUUAAUCAAAAAUAAAAUAAAAAUCCUCAUCUAAACCAAAAAGUUUAAUAAAUUUGAUCUUUAUCCAAAAUUAAAUUAGUCCAUCUCAACUUGUAGCCACCCUUAUUAUAAAAAUGGAAGUAAACUACUAAGUCUCUUUGUAGCAACAAAAUAAAUUCCUAAAUAAUCUUUCAACAAAAAGAUAACAAUGUUAACCAAUGAAUUUAUAAAUAAUUUGUUAAUUGAGAUAAGAGAAAAGAUAAUUAACUGAGACAAAGGAAGAGAUAGAUGCUUUUUUUAAUGGAGGCAAUCAACUCAUUGGUCAUAAUACAACAACACAUAAAAGGACAUGCCUUAGCACAGCAUAGGCAUGGUGCUCUAUACUGUGAAAGGAAUUAAAAGCAUAUAUACUUAUUCUCAGCAUGAUGAAUUCUGAGGCUGAGUAAUUAUUUUCUUAAAGAAUGGACACAUAUCUUUUAUCACUUAGCAAUAUGCAAAAUGGUGACAAAAAAUAUCCCCAUAUCCUACUAAAAUACAAAGCACCGCAAAGUAACAUCAUCAAGAUAAUAUUGUGUCACAUAAAGGGUCAAGUAAAACCCACUUGUACAAAAUGACAACAUGCACCAUUUCUAUGUCAUUAUCAUCUUAACUGCCAUGAAAUCUAAAUGUUUUUGGCUUGAAAAUAUUAAAAAAUGAUAUCACCAUUUUUUGUGUGAAAGUGAUGUUAUAUAAUCAUCACUUUUUAAAUAAAAUAUUAUUAAAAUUAUUAUAUAUUAUCACAUUUUUUUUGGAAAAAUAGGAAUCAUCACCUUGUCCAAAGAGUUCAAGUAAUCAACUGCCCUUUCUCUAUUCACCAUGAAAGUCUCCUCAUCCAUCUCAAUGUUAGGAGAACCCCUACAAAUUACAAAAUUUGCACAAUAUUAUUAUAGCAUUAAAUAAUACAUAAUAACCUAUGAAGCUCACACAGCAGAGACACGCAUAAUCCAAAAAGUAUAUGUAAUGAUAUGUGUCGGACGCCAAACAUAUCUAACAGAGACACGCAUAAUCCAAAAAGUAUAUGUGUUUCCUAAUAACAAAUAAAAUUGAAAGACAGAGAUAGAAGCAUCGAAUCAAAUAUUGUCCAAAGUAUGUACUUACUUUCCCCACCAAAGUUCAUUUUCAGUAACCUUAUCCUUAACCACACGCUUGUCUCUAGGAGAACGACCUGUCUUGGCACCAGAAAGUGUUGCCAUUGCUCCAUUGGAAGUGAUGAAUGAUCCUUUCUCAUACUUUAUCGCCUGCUCAUAUAGUUCUACACCAAAUCCAAACAAAACAGAAAACAACAAAAUCAAUUAUACAAUUUCACAUUAAUUAUUGCUACCAAUUAUAUUAAGGUAAGAAAGUGACAAUUUUUUACAUUAACUAUUGUCAGAUUUAUGAUUGAUAACUUUAUUAUCAUGUUGCAUUAUCUUUCAACUGUUAAAUGUAUAUUAAAUAAUAAUGACUUUGAUCAUAAAACGACAAGAUUUAAAUAACUAGCAAUAUUUCAAAUAAAUUUGUUAGAAGGUGACGUUUUAAACCAUUUCGUACACUACAUGUACAGAAUUGAAGAUUAUAACUAUAACUAUCAUCAUAAAUAAAUUAGUUAGAAAAACAUGACCAAAUAAAAAAAUCAUAAAGUAAAAAUUUAACUAAGGGAGGUUUAGAAAUGAAAUGAGUAUAGUACCAGCUGGGGAGAGAUUGUAGAGAACAUGUGUAAAUUUCAAAGCACUGUCACUAACAGCAAUGGUUGGAGUAGGAACAUGAUGGUGGUGAACAUGGUCAACCUUCUGGUUCUUGGCUGGAUCUCCCUUCACCACCUUUGGUCCAGUUUCUCUUGUCAAUGAUGCAAGUGAUGCACUGUUUCAAGAAGAAGAAAAAAAUGUUAACAUAUUCACAAUUUAUUUAAUAAACAUAUAAUUUACACCGCAAAAAAAAAUGAAAAUUAAUCUAGUUCAAAGUUCAUUUCAUAUAUCGUAUCCAAAGACGAUAGGGUGAUAAAUAUCAUUUAAAAUUCAGUGUCUCAGUCUAAUUGAUAUGAUCAAUCCAAAAAUAUCGAUUUUUUUAGGGAAAAAUAUCGACUAUUUUUUAAAAUUGAUUAUCGGGGAAUUUAUUAAAGUAUUUAAUGUGAAUAUUUGUUUUGCUAUUUUUUUUACAGAAAAAAUUAAUUUUCUAUGCAAACGUGUGUGUAUGGGAGAGACCCAAGAUGAAACGCUGAUUUGGUCCCACGCAAUCAGAGCAUUUGGCACCGUCAGAUCCAUCUCAUCAGUUUCUUAGUCAAGGCGCCACAUAAAAUGGGACCCACAAUCCCACCUUUUAGGUUGCCUAAACGGAUUUUCCGCUCGUCUUCAAUUGACUUAACGCUAUAUUGCAAUAAAUAAUUAGAUUUAGUGUAUUACACGUAUUAUAAAAUUUACGCCUUUUUUUCUUCUCUUUUUUGUAUUAAGAAGAUAUUUCUACGCAUAACUCAUAACUCCGAAGACUAAUUUUAGAGUUAGACACAACUAUGAUGUAAACUUGUAACAAAAAAAAAAAAACUAUGAUGUAAACUUCGCAAGAUUAAUACUUUAAUUAUAAGCAUUUUUUUUACAGUACCAAAAAAAAAAAACACUUUUUUAAGGAAGUUAUAAACACUUUUAGCAUCUCCAUCAAUUAGUAUAUAUUAUAACCUUUAAAAAAUCAAUUAUAAUAUUUGAUCAUUAAAAAAUUAAUUGUAGUUAUAACUACGUAAAAAUCCCACAUAAAUAAUUUAUGAUUUAUUGAUGGUAUAAAGUUUCUUAAUACAGUAUGAUCAUUCAAAAAAAAUAGUUUCUUAAUAUUUUGAAUUAAAAUUAGACUCAAAACAAACAAAAAAUUAAUCAUAAGCAAUUGCUUUUACACGUUUUAAGUGUAAUUUUUUAGUGUUUGACUGAAACGUGUAAAAACUUGAAAUUAAAGUGAGAUAAAUGCAGGCACACAAUUUAAUAAAAUCUAACUACAUCACCGCUUUACCACUUUUUCCCAUGACCAUGAAUCAAGCAAUUAUUAAUUAAAAAUGUGACAGAGAUAGUACCUAAUUGAUUGGAGUUGCAAUUUCUGGCGUUCUUGAUCAGAAAUCUGAGCAAAUGGAGUUGAAGUUCCUGUAUUAGGUGUAGAGGGUGCUGAUUUCUUCUUCUGCAGUGAAUGAAGUUCAUCAAUUGUUUUUGCAUUUACGGUGGGACCACUAUCAUCGUGACAAAUCCCGUUCACACUUUUCUUUGUCGUAAUUUUUGGAAGCCCAUUGCUCCCGUUCUCUGUUGCAAUACUUCCAUUUCCAUUUCUGUUUGAUGCCAUUUUUUUUCAAUUUUUUCUCUGCCAACCAAAAAAUAUAAUUAAAUAUAUCUAAUAUAAACAAUGCUUUGUUUGACACUUUCCAUGGUUCAAGAUCAAAGAUUCAAAGUGCAUGUGUUUGACAAAGUUUUGUCAAAGCUUUAAGUACACUUUUACAAAAUCACGGUGGUUUAACCCAAUUAUUUCAAACAUGCACAAAAUAUAUAUAAAGGAAAAAAAAAAAAAAAAACAUGACACUGAUACUACACGAUAUUGAUGUAGUGGUUACAUCCUAUCAUUUUAUCAGUAUUUAUGUGUCGUUGUGGUGUUUACAUAAAUCAUCCUUUGCAUGUUUGCUAUCACGGUGAAUUUGUCAGAACUACAUGUAAAGAGAACAACAUUGUACAGCAAAAUAAAAAUAGAACGAACCAAAGAAUUGUAGCUAUGGAUGUUGCUGAGGAAAUCUGGAAAAUGAGAAAACUAAAGAGAAACAAAGGAAAUAAUCGUAAAAACGACCAUAAGAAGUGCAAUAAUGAUGUAAUGUGAAAGACAAAUAGAUGAUGGAAAUUUGCAAUGUUGGUGAUGUCCUUUUAUAGGGUGCAGUAAUAGCUUCCACUUAACUAGAGUUAGAUAUUAACUAUGGUUAAGGGUAACCAUGGUUAAAUCCUAUCCCUCUUGUCAUCAGCGGUCAAUACUCGACUCAUCAUUAUUCGGAAAUAAGGGGCAGCUGGUUAGAUGACUCUGUAUGUGAAUGACCCAAAUAGAGAAGCCAAUCCUCUGUUUCUCAUAUCCAACGUAGCAUACACUCAUUCACAACUCAUAGUUACAAUAUGUUUAUUAAAUAAACAAGAUCAUGUUACCCUAUAAACAUUUUUCAAUCUUCUUUCUUUAUAACACUUGGAAACUUUGUCAAUAACAGCGUAUCCAUUUUUUAUACUUAUCUAAAACAUGAAAUUAAUAAUUCUUCAAAUACCCCCUCUAAAAUAAAAAACUUCAAAUACCCAACGGUUCUAUAUUUUUUUUUUGUCGGUGAAGUUAUGAUAUGAUUUAGAGCUUUUUUUUGAAGUUAACCUAUAUACAAUUUUUAAAAAUUUAUUGACAAAGACUAGUUGAAAGGGGAAUUGAUUUAUGACGAAUUUUGUUUAAAAAAUCUAUUUCAUGACCAAUUUAAAUUCAUCCUUUUUUUAAAAAAAAAAAUUAACAGCGUAAAAACAUCAAAAAGAAUAUAAGAUACUUCAAAAAAAUUGAAAUUUGUUAUAGACUUUAAUCAUAUGAGAGAGGGAGAGAGAGUCAAAUUUCACGCAUAUAAUGUUAUAAUGUUCAAUGUCAUUUUACUUGAUAUAUAUUUUUUUAAUUUGGUCACUAAAUUAUUUAGAAGUUUAUAUCGUAUAGAUUAUUCAUGUAAAUUUUUACAAAACUCUAAAAUCAUUUGAUAUAUCAUUAAGAUGCACCAAGAUUAACGAUGUUAUAUAAAAGUGUAUAAAUCGUUAAUCUUGAUGUUUUUCAACCACAUAUCAAAUGAUUUUAGAUUUGCGUAAAAAAAUUCAUUAAUGAUCUAUUUGAUAUAAAUUUACAAUCCAACGAUCAAAUUUGAAAAUAUGUAUUGAGUAAAACUCUCAAACUUACAAAUUUGUAUAUACAUACUCUAACCUGCCUUGUAAAUACUUAGAAAUACAUUCAAAAGAUAUAAAAUUUAGGUGUAUUGUGAUCAUAUAGUUUACUACUCUUUUAGUUUGUAGUAAACACACAAAGUUAUUUAUAAAUCUUAUAAUCCUCUAGGUUAAGGUUCGGAAGUCAUCUAGGUUAAGGAAAGAAAUUAUAGGACUAACUUGCCUUAGUGUUUAUUGUUGUAAAAUGUUGGAUUAUAUUGAAAUCUUUCGGUAGUGCGACAUGAUUGCACUAACUCCAUAUUAUGGAGCGAACAAGUAUAAUUUUUUGUGUCCUUUCUCCUUUUCCUUAACUCUUUACAAUAUGCACUUUAUAAUUUGUCCAAUGAUAAAAAGGAUCUUACCUAUCCUCGAAUAAUAGAAUAUAUUAUGCCAAUUUAUCAAAAAUAAAUUGUAUCGAACCACAUCGAUUGUGCUUAGUUUCAAUCGUACUUAAAUUUAAAGAAAUUCUAAAUCAAAUUUGUAAAAAUGUUUUGGUAGUAGGAUCACAAGUAAAAUAUGAUAAGUUUGAGAAAGUUGUGUUGGAAUUAGACUUAGAUAACUUCUCAUCUAAUGGUUCCUCUUAAUCGAUUAUAUAUUUUUCGAGCUUCACAUAUAACUCUACCUAUCCAUCAACAUACAACUCCAUUCCUUGAUGACGAUGCAAAAUCCAUUGAAUAAUCCACUUCUAAUGCUCGGUGGCAAAAUAAUCGAUUGAUUCAAUGGCAAAUGACCGAAUAGUUAUGCAUGAAUAUAGACCUAAUUGAUAUUUCUAGAGUAUUAGCACUUAUACGUGGCUUAAACCAUAUAUGUUUGAUACAAAGUUGAUUCCUUACACUUACUAAAUCAAAAGAACAUUUGUUAAGUGCUCGUCGACAAAAGUAUUAAGAAUAUAUUUAAACCAAAGAUUAUAUUGAAUGCAUAAAUCAUAUACAACUAGCCAAAUUAAGAGUAAUACAUAGAAUCUUAGAUAUUUACAUCUAAUCCCAACACGAAAGAAAUUUUAGUUACAUAUGGAGAGCAUAACUACAAAAACAGGUUAAUUAAUGUUGGAAAAGCACGAAUAAGCUUUAAUCCAAGCUUUCUAGCCCUCCAAUGUUGAACACACACCUCCCUCUUUGUUCUCUCUCUUAAAGUAUUGUAUUACAAGUGAUAAAAUGAAAAUUCUGACUACACUCUUUGGAAAUGGAGUUUUUGCAAGUGUAUGUUCGCUAGGUGAAGUGGUGCUCGCCGAGCGAAUCGAGCUUUCUUUUUUGGACGGAAAAGUUAAUUGUCCUUUGUACUUUUCAGAAACCUUCUUAUUUCACCUAGCGAAUGGACUUUAACAUUUCUCUCUAAAUAUCUCUGUUUUGGCUCGCUUCCACUUCAGUGCAAUCAUGUCAAAAACCUACAAAAAAGCGUUAGAAAAUUUGAACUUUUACUUACACUUAGUAUUUGGUUAAUAAAAGUUACACUCAUUUAAUAAAUGAGUCAAAUUUAAGUAACGAACUUUUACACAAAUCAAAUUCAAACUCUAAGUGCAAGAUUCCACUCGUUUACACACCCCAUUAAUACGUGUACAUAAAGUUAGUGAAUUUUCAUUGUUUCAACUAAUUAUAUUUUUUGGUAUAGAUCGUGUAUUUUGUACACGCAAUUAUAAAGACAAAGAUCGUAAGAAAAAAAUUAUGAAGACAAAGCCGUCAAGCAAGGUAUAUGAUACCAAUUGAUAGCCAAUAUGAUCUCUUAAGAAUUUUAACUUUCUUGCAUCUCUAAGACCAAAUUUGAACUCGAUAAAUGAAUUGAAUCUUCUCAUCUAAACUCUCCUUUUUCUUCUUCUUCUUAAUCUCAUUGCAAAUAGUAGUUUUUAUCUUGGUAGUCAUUCUCUAUAUCAUUCUGAGGCCAUAAUCCUCAAGCCUGCAUGAUAUUUCAUUCUUUUGACAUGGGUUUGAACUACCUUUCAAAUGAGUGACUACAAUAAUAAAAUAGACUUAAGACCUACUAUGAGUGUUGAGACUAAUGAGUGUGUUUCUUACUUCAACUGACCCCUCCGUUAGUAGGCGUUGACUAGAUAUCGUGUUUCCUAAACCAAGAUUGCAAUAGUAUGUAAAGUGAUCUUACAAAUAAGCUAGCUAAAUUAAACUUAAAUGGUUAAUAGUGUUUUUCACCCCUGUAAUAUAUGUCAUUUCCGAUUUUCACCCUUAUAAAAUUUUCGGUUUGAUUUGCACUAUUGUAAUUUUUUUCUUCGGAAAACACCCUUAAUAGGCCAUUCAAAAACCAAAAUUUCUUGAAAAUGGCCUAUUAGAGGUGUUUUCCGAAAGAAAAAAAAAUUACGAGAGGGCAAAUCAAACCAAAAAUUUUAUAGGGACGAAAACAAAAAAUGACAUAUAUUACAGGGGUGAAAAACACUAUUAACCCUAAACUUAAAUGAGUGCAAAAUCUUCAAGACUGCUAUCUUGCCACACCAUUGCUCAUGAUAGCGCACACAAUCAUAAUUCAUAAAUGAGAAAUGAUCAUGGUUUGACAUCAAAAUUUGGAUGUCACAUGCGAUCUUUUAAUUUUUAUUUUUUUACUUAUUUUUUUAAGGAAUUUUGAUUUUUGUUUAUAUUUCUGAAAUAAAUGCAUGUAAAUUGAAAGAAAUAAAAAAAAUAAAAGAGAAAUAUACAAUUAAUAUGACAGGUAUUUUUCAGUAAUAAGAAGAUAUAGGUAUUCUCUCUCUUCUCUUUCUCUCUUGUGAGCUGUCAUCAAAAUCUUAGUUUAUUUUCCUUCAUUCAUCAAAUCAAAGAGGGAGUGAUUUAUGGUCAUUUUUUUUUUUUUUUUUUAUAAAAAAUCAAAGGGUCAAAUUUUGACCCAAAAUCACCCCAACCUCGUUUUUCUCUUUCCCUUUUAUUGAAAUAAGUGAUUUUCAAUUUUCACAUCUAUUUCUUUUUUUCUUUCGUGAUUUCGUCGUCUUAGUGCAACGUUGUUUUAUUCGUCGUCUUUGUGCGACAUUGUUUGUCUUUCUUGUUCGUUCAGGUAUUUGUUCGGAUCAAAUUAUCAUAUCAGCUUAAAUCCAGGGCAUAUCCAAUCAUUGACUUUUGCGUCAUCAACGUUGUAGAUCCGGAGACUUGAAUAUCGUCAUAUGUGUAUGUUUUUGUACUUUGUGUGAGUUUGUUCGCAGAUUCAUCCUUUUUGAUGUUAGCGAAUUUGCAUUGUAUCAGUAUACUCUAUCAAUCUGAAAGAAUGAAUAUCAUUUCUAUUAUAUACCUUAAUAGGCCAUUCAAAAACCAAAAUUUUUUGAAUUUUUUUUUUUUUGAAAAUGGUCUAUUAGGGGUGUUUUCCGAAAGAAAAAAAAAUUACGAAGGUGCAAAUCAAACCAAAAAUUUUAUAGAGGCGAAAACCGAAAAUGACAUAUAUUACAGGGGUGAAAAGCACUAUUAACCCUAAACUUAAAUGAGUGCAAAAUCCUCAAGACUGCUAUCUUGCCACACCAUUGCUCAUGAUAGCACACGCAAUCAUAAUUCAUAAAUGAGAAAUGAUGAUGGUUUGACAUCAAAAUUUGGAUGUCACAUGCGAUCUUUUAAUUUUUAUUUUUUUACUUAUUUUUUUAAGGAAUUUUGAUUUUUGUUUAUAUUUCUGAAAUAAAUGCAUGUAAAUUGAAAGAAAUAAAAAAAAUAAAAGAGAAAUAUACAAUUAAUAUGACAGAUAUUUUUCAGUAAUAAGAAGAUAUAAGUAUCCUUUCUCUUCUCUUUCUCUCUUGUGAGUCGUCAUCAAAACUUUAGUUUAUAUUCCUUCAUUCAUCAAAUCAAAGAGGGGGUGAUUUAUGGUCAAUUUUUUUUUUUUUUUUUUUAUCAAAAAUCAAAGGGUUAAUUUUUGACCCAAAAUCACCCCCAACCUUGUUUUUCUCUUUUCCUUUUAUUGAAAUAAGUGAUUUUCAAUUUUCACAUCUAUUUCUUUUUUUCUUUCGUGAUUUCGUCGUCUUAGUGCAACGUUGUUUUAUUCGUCGUCUUUGUGUGCGACGUUGUUUGUCUUUCUUGUUCGUUCAGGUAUUUGUUCGGAUCAAAUUAUCAUAUCAGCUUAAAUCCAGGGCAUAUCGAAUCAUUGACUUUUGCAUCAUCAACGUUGUAGAUCCGGAGUCAUGGGUAUUCCGGAGACUUGAAUAUUGUCAUAUAUGUAUGUUUUUGUACUUUGUGUGAGUUUGUUCGCAGAUUCAUCGUUUUUUAUGUUAGCGAAUUUGCAUUAUAUCAGUAUACUCUAUCAAUCUGAAAGUAUGAAUAUCAUUUAUUUUUGUAAAAAAAAAUAUAAAAUGACAGGUAUUUUGAUUUUGGACUACUCAAAUAACUCCCAUGCCAAAUUAUCAUUCAUUGUAGAUCAUACCAAGCAAAGAUGGGUCUAUAUCGAAAUCAACCCAAAAUCGAACCACAAACAAAUCGAAAAACAACCAAAAAAGUAAAAGAGCUAACGGCGGCUGAUAUGAGCCCAAUUCAGAGGUCACCACGGGCAGAAAGUGAAGGAAAGAGCCCAACAAAAAAGUAAUUAAUUUUAUCUAAUAUUUAUGGUACAAUUUUAUUUUAUGUUUUAAUUAUAGAGGAAAUAUGUUUGUUUAAAAUUUUUAAAACAUUGUAAGAAAGAUGAAAACAUUGAAAAAUGAAUUGGGUUUCAUUUGAAACGUGGUGGCAUGGCCAUGGUUGGUAUUUUUAAAUUGAUUUUUUUUUUUUUUUGGAGAUGAUUGAUUAUGUUUCUGUAGUGUUGUUGUCUUGAUAAAAAAAUGUUUUGUACUUUCCCUUUGCAUCUGGUCAGAGAUAUCGAGAAGUAGUCUAUUGAACCAAUUAAUAAAAUACUACUAAUAAUAAUACUCCUAAAAGGAUAUCAUCAGUGACGUUAAAUAAAAGUCAUUAAAAAUAUAAAUUUGAUUUUGGAAAAAUUAUAUUUUUAAUGACUUCUAUAAAAUAAUACUAUCAAUUUUGAAAACGCUAAAAAGGUUUAAUGUAAAUUAGAAUUGAAAAGUAGAAAUGUAAAGACUUAAUUGAAAAGGUUUAAUAUAUUUUUUUUUUUGGCAGGGUUCAAACCUCAAAUCUUAUAUAUAUUAUGCAUUAUUUUUUUUCAACUGAACUAAACUCACGAGGACCGCAUAGUGUAUGUUUAUGAGUAUGGUACCAGGUUCGAUUUAUAUUUCAUUCAUAAAAUGUUACUACCAUAUAAGACAUAUCUUUCUUCCUUUUUAAAAAUUUGUCUUUAUCUUUCAUUUAUUUCUAUAAGUUAUUUUCUAUGUUCACACACUCAUGUUUUGGAUCACAGCUGUAAAUGAACUUCUUUCAAUGGUUAGUGGUAAUUUGGAAGGCAGACAUGAUCCUAUUCACGUGAAAUUAAUGCACAUUAAAAUUGGAUCAAUGGCUAUGAUGUAAUAUAUGCUGAAAAAAAGUACAAAGGACUAACAAAGAAAGUGAAUAUUUAGUAAAUCAAAGAGGUUACAUUACAUAAUGGUUAUGGAGUUGAUAACUGAGGGAGGGGAUAUGUGGUAGAGGUCGCAUUGUGAGUUGUGAAUCUUUACUUUUAUUUUCUCUGUUUGCUUUCAUUUUCACCAUUCCCGUGUGACGGAAAACUUGAGGUGAAGGAAAUCUGUCUGGAAUCAAAUACUAACACUUGUAAAGAUAUCAUUAUUUAUCUUCCUCUAAGAGGAUUAUUAGUAUUACAUUGUAAAUGUCCUUGUAAACAUAUAUCCAUCCGUAAGAACAUUACAAUAUGAUACUCGCGAGUUUAACUUAAUUAAUAGAACAUUACAUAAUAUAUAUAAAGGUUGAGGUUCAAACCCGAACAAGUCACUUAUUUACCUUAAAAAGUGAAUAAUAUAACCACUAUAUUACUCGGAAGAAGAAAAAAACCGUUGUAAUAUGCAGAUGUAUAUGUUUAAAUUUGAAAUUCUUCACUUAUUUACUUUCAAUGAUGAAGUUCUGAGCACAAUAUUAUUGUUUGGGAAAAGAAAAAAAAUUACCUUAUUCUAUUGAGAGGAAAAAGGUAUUACGUUGUGUACUUGUAUUCGGUAUGGCAAUAUUUUGUUCCAUUUAGGGGAGGUUUUAUUUACGUACUAGAGUAUGUCAUAUCUUCUUGGAGCAAUAAAGUACUAAAUACAUUAUACUCCAUCUCUCUGAAAAUAAUAUUAACCGUUUAUGUUUUUGUCAUUUUCACAUAUACCAAAUUGUUCAUAUAAAAAAUAAAACUAAAUAGUAUAUUUAAUAUAUCUAAGAUUGAACAUUUUAUUAAAAUAUCUAUUAAAUAUAUUUUUAUUAAAAUAUCUGCUUUUUUUUUUAGGGGUAAAAUAUCUGCUUUUGUCUAUUUUGUUUUUGUCAUUUUCAUAUAAACAAUUAAUUUAACUUGAAAGAAGAAAAUUCAAAAUUAGAUGUGUAGUAUUUUUUUUUUUUUAUUAUAAGAAUCCAAACUCGGACCUUUAUUUCUCAUCUCCUUUAAUCUUUUAGCUCAACUAUGUGAGCUACCCAUCUUUUUAAUCUCUAAACUCAACUACAUGAACUACUUAAUAUUUUGGGGCACACCUUUCAAAGAUGUUUAUAACAAUUAUUUAAAAAAAAAAAUCAUUUUAUUUGACUAUAUUAACAACAAAAAAAAAUUGUUCUUGUAUGCUUAGCUCAGGGACCCCACUUAUUCACCUUAAAAAGGAGAAUUUCUAACCACUUGACCAAAAAAAAUUACAAUUACAAAAUUAAUCUUAUUAGAAUUAAUAAUUAUCAUAAAUAUUUAUUAGAGUACUCAAUUCGAUCUUAUAUGUGAAUUCUGAAAAAUGACAAUGUAAUAAAAAAAACAUAUAUUAUAAUCUUGUGAAAAAUUAUAUAACAUUUCAACCGCAAAAAAUUAAACUUUUAUGAUAAAUUACUGAUUAAUUAUGAAUUUUUAAAGCACUAAAAACUCAAAAAAUAAAAAAUGGAAAUUUCAGCUGAGAAAUUGAAUUUUGAGUUGAUUGUUUUUAGAGACAUCUAAUAAAAUACAUAGAAAUGAUCUACAAAAUUUUAUAGCAUUUCGAAGACGCCAUGGUUUAUUUUGAUUUUUCAACAAAAACUUGCUAAGUUGCAAUUUUGAUCGGAGUAAACAUUACAACUCUUGAGUCAAAUCAUGUCCUUUAAUUUUGUGGUCAUGGUUAAAAUAUCGUAAGAACCUUCAUCAUGAAAUUUUUAAAUAAGGGACGACAUAAUUAUGUAUUGAUUAAGAAAUUCUCAAUUACAGGGAACAAAAAUUCAUAAUUAAUCCUCACUUUAUCGAAUAUUUUUUUUUUGAUGGGAAACAGUAUUUUAACAUUCUAAAUAUGCUUGCUAAAACAUCAUGAAAAAACUCAACCUCUAAAUCACUUCUCUGAUCUUCGUGUAUAUUAUGUGGUAAAAAAGAAUGUGAAUAUCAAAUUAUAUGGAUAUAAUAUGAGAAAUAUGUUUUUUUAUUUUACAAUGUCAAUUUUCAAACUUCGCGUAUAUUACACGAUCAAAUUAACUCAAAAUAAUAAAAUAAUCAUGCAAAUUAUCAAGCAAGUGCAUGGAUGGCUUUUAUGAAAAUAACAUGGGUUAAUGGUGCUUUACCCCCUGUAAUAUAGGUCAUUUUUUGUUUUCCCUCCUGUAAAUUUUUUUUUUUGGAAUACCCCCUAAUAGAUCAUAAAAAAUGACUUUAUUUUUAUUUUUUUUCAGAAUUUUUUCGUUUUUUUAUGACCUAUAAAAAUUUAUAGGGGGGUAAAUCAAAAAAAAUAUUUUACAGGGGGAAAACCAAAAUGAGUAAAGCACCAUUAACCCAAAUAACAUUGAUUAUCUUUCUACCUUCUUUCCAAUUUAUGUAGGGCUCACCAAACUCAGUUCUUGCAUUCCAAAUAAGGGAAAUCCAAUUCCAAUGAUUUUUCUUGUCCUACAUGGAUCUUUUUAUGCAAAAUUAAGGGAAGUCCCCUUUUAAUUCUUUCUACUUUAUUUUUAGGCAAAAUUAACAAACACCCCUGUCUUGGACGCAUAUGUACCGAUACGUAGAAAAAUAUCAUCAAGUGUUUCACAUCAAAUGUUUUUUUGAAGAAUACAUCAAAAUAUUCAUAGUUUUUAGCCGGAAACCAACAUUGACAUCUAUCCAGCUCAAUAAUUAGGAUUAUGUGGUAGCCAGCGGCGGAGUCAAAAAAAAAUGUCAGGGUGGACCACUAAAAUUAACUAUUGAAAAAUUGUUUAAAGUCUCACAAAUUAAACCUAUAAUUGAAUUAUUUAAAUUUUUCGGGUGGACCACUAUACCAAUUUGCGGAAAUUUGGAUCAACUGAUACCUAAAACCGACAUAAAUUUGUAUAAAAUCUCACAAAAUAGACCUAUAAUUGAAUUAUUUAAAUUUUCGGGUGGGACACUGCACCUUUUUGUAGAAAUUUGGAUCAACCAAAACAUAAAAUCGAUACAAAAUUGCAUAAAAUCUCGCAAAUUAGACCUAUAAUCGUUGAUUUUUUAAUUUUUCCGGAUGGACAUGUUGAAUAGUUCUCACCAUUUAUUAAUAUAUUUCAUCUGGCUUUUUUAAAAACAAAUGUGGAGAUAUUUUCUUGACAAGAAGACACCAAGGCUAAGAGCACCCUACCUAGUAGAACAACCUAAAGAACUUGGGCCCCACCCAAACUCUCAAAACACAAAUCAAAUCCAUCUCCGACCAACACACCGAACCUUAUUGGUUUCAACAAGGACGAGCUCCACCUUCCACUUAUAAAGUAAGCAAUGAUGUGAAUGGUGUAUGGCAAAGAACCACUUCCAUUAAUGAAAUUGGAUUCUAUCGAGUAGAUGCUCAACCUCAACAAGUCUUCCAAAAAAAAAAAAGUAAAUUAUUUCGGACUUUCCAAAUAGAUCACACAGUUGCAUGCUAGACCAAAAGGAAACCUAGCCUAUACCGCCUCUUUGCCUUUAAGAAUACAAACACCUGAAACAACACCACCAAAUUACCUGACAAGACCCACUCCCAACCUAACCGCCUGCAAAUAUCGUACCAAACUCUCGCCACAACUCAACAUGACACAAAUAAAGAUCCACCGGCUCCAACCCUUUCCACAUAUCCCACACCAACAUUAACUAUAACCUAACGAUUGAAAAAAUUAUGACGCGAAGGGACCUUAUAUAUGAGAAAUUUCCUAGAAAAGACCUGCAGUAUUUAGGGGUCCCAACUCUUCAUCAAUUAUUUAUAUUCUGAUUUCACUUGAUACAAAAAUACAAAUUCAAAAUAGGAUCAACCUAAUCUUCUUCAACCAUCCUACAAGUAUAUAAGUUUAUUGGAAAAAUUACAUGUUGCUUUACAUCAAACCAAAUCCCUCUAUCAAUAACUCUACAUAAAAUGACAUAACACACAACCAUUACGUGAAGUGAUUAUAUUUGAAAAAAGAUGUACUAAAUUGGUUGAUUUACCACACGAGUUUUGCCCAAGUUAGCACAUUGUUGAUCAAAGUUCCUCAACUAAACUCUCGUCUCCUUAUAAAUGCAUUUCGAUUCCCCCAAAGCUAGUAGAAAAAUUAUUCAAGAGGUAUUUUUGAAAUAGUAUAUGCGAGGGAGUGAGAAUAUCAAAAUUAUAGGGUGCGAAUAACAAACGUGAAAUAUGUUUAGAAAUUAAGAAUAGUUGGGGUCAUAAGAUUAUAAAUUUUUUACAAAAAAAAAAAAAAAAAAAAAACUAAAGAUGCUUUACAACAUGUAUCUUCGAAGAUUUGAUAAAAAAAAUAAAAUAAAAAAAAAACCUUGUAUCUCCAAAGAUAUUAAGCUCAUACAUUAGUUAAACUGAAAAAUAUUUUUGUAAUAACCAAAGUGAACUACCAACCAACACAAUUAUAAAAUUAACAUAGUCUGAAAUGUAGUUAAAGCAUGUUGCUGACCUUAAAUUACAGUAAUCUUUUUUUUUAAAAGCUACAGCAUAGGGUUUGCAGCUUAGUGAAUAGCAUGAUCAGAAGGAGAACAAGUAAGAACACAAGAAAUAGCAAGCCAGUUUAGAAUUUGCAUCCAAAUGAUCCCAAAAAAUUCAUAUUCAAAACACAAAUUAUUAACAUAUUCAUUUAUCUCCGGAAGUAGCACAAUUGUUUCUAAUACUUUUUAUAUGUUAUCAUUACAUUUAAACUUUGAGGUUAAGUUCAUUAAGGAAUAAGCAAAUAUGGUUGCUCAUAUCCUUGUAAAGACAACAAUUUCAUGGCUGGUGAAUGUAGUUUUGAGCUUGUUCAUCCUUAUAUUCAAUAUGUGUUGCGUGAUGAAAUGAGUUAUAUAUGCUUAUUUUGGUAUAAAAAAAAAAACUGGAAAAAGAAAUACUCAACUUAGAUUAGGUCCAAACAAAACUGAAAAAACAAACCAAAUCAAAGCAGAAUUACCCAUUCUUUUGAAUUUUGAAAUCCAAUGAAUUGAUGAGUUAUAAGUUGUUGUUUUUUGAAAUAUAUGAUAACCAUGGACCCAAAAAAAUUACACCAUGUUAAUUUUUAUGCUCAUUACUUACGGACACCACUUGUGUACCAUUAAGGUACCAAUGUUAUAUAACAUUGACCAAUAAGAGUGUGCCACAUACCAAUGUUAUUUUAUAAAUAUUUUAUUUGAUAUGUAUUUUUUAAAGUGUGUGCCACAUGUCACACCUUAAUUAGCUAAUGUUAUAUAACAUAAUGAUAAGCAAGUGGUAUCCCAUUACUUACACCCACCAAGACUUAACCUAGGGCCAAUAUGAAAAUACAUUACAUUAAUGGCUUCACACGGUCUACUUCUAUUUUCCGAUUCAAUCUUUUUCUCAAACAACACUACUCAAAACAAAACCCUAAAUUUAUCAUCUCUCGUUGAUCUAGUGUCACCACUUCAAGCUCCAGUGUCGCAGCUGUUAGUAUCUCUUUAUGUUUCAAGCCUUAUAUCUUUGUGACUAAAUUUAGUUUUCUACUUUGUUUUCACCUCCUUCCGUUUAUGAAGUUUUAAAUGGUGAUAUUGCAUGUUGCAGUUGUUUUUACGUUUCUACGCACCUUCGUUUGGUUUUACAUGUUUUCCUAUCGAUUAUGUCUUUUUUAUAAAGUUUGCUUUGUUCCUUGAAAGUUGAUUUUAAGAUUGAAACUCUGUAUUCAAAAGAUGUUGUAUUUUCAGGUGAACUGAACAUCAACAAUUUAGUUUGGUUUGCUACAACUACUUAAAAAGAGUUGAAAAUCAAACCAAAUUGAUAUAGAUUCAGUCGGUUUCGUCAUUUUUUAAAUUGAAAACUCAACCAAACGUUACACCAAAGUUACCAAACAAUGUGUCUAGAAUUGUGUUUGAAACCUAAAACAUAUUGACUUUUACUUUUUCCAGCCUACGCUUUACUCACACACCCAAUUUUUUUUUUUUACCAAAAUAUCUUUUGCUCGAAUUCUUUAAUCCAAACCAUGUUUCAUACUCCCUCCGUCCCAUUUUAAUUUAAUUGAACCCUUGGCUCAUUUCACACUUAUUAAGAAAAAGUGUAAAAGUGAAAGAGAGAGAAAAAUGAGUUUGAGUGUCCUUAUCAACUAUUGGUGCAUUCUCUUUAUCAUAAAUGCAAAGUAGAAUAUAUUGAAUUGAGAGUGGUGAAAGUAAUAUUAAUUAGUUUUAUAAUCGAAAAAAAAGUAAUUAAUAUUGUAUUGAAAAGUGAAAUGAGUCAAUUUUUUCUGAAACAAUAUUUUUUUGAAAAUGGUUCCGGGGUAUUAUAUAAUCUGAAUACUUGUAUUGCUCAAGAAGACAUAUUUUUUUUGUAUGAAAGGUCAACGGUUAAAGCUCAUUGUAGAAGAAAAGAGGAGAGAAAGUGAGAUGGGAUGAGAAUUUAUGAAGAAUGAGUGAGUAUUUAGGCAAUUUCUAUGGUUCACCCAAUAUAUUUGAAGUGUAAGUGUGUUUUCUUGUGCUUUCUCCACCAAAAAUCAUCAAGAGUAAACCGAUCUAUUGUUGGAUCAGAUUUAUUAACAUGGCUAGUUUUGAAAUUUGAGUCUUCUGUCGUGGUUCUCGAUUCAUAUAUGUUGUUGGAAAAUAGUAAUUUUUGGAAUUGGAUGAUUUUCGGUUUGUAUUGUGGAUUGAAAGUUUAUGAUUUUUCUGGAAAUCCAAAAACGUUUUCAACCUCAUGGAUUAUGAUUAACAUGAAUAAUAUGCAAUUCAAUGAAAAAAAGGCCAUAAUUGUAUGAGAUUCAAUUCAAUAAAAUAAGGGUAAAAAAUGGUUUGUAUGAGAUUCAAUUUAAUCAAUUUUAAAUUUGCAAAGAGGCACCAUGAAAAGAGAGACGAUGGCGAGCAAUGGUUGAAAGGAAGUAACAUGCUAUGAUUGUAGAAAUUGAGAAGAAACAAUGUGUUUCCUUCUUCUUCUUCUUUAUUGAAAAAUCAUUCCAUAAUUAUUAAGGUUUUUUUGUACGUAGAUGUAAGUUGAAGGUUUCUGAGAAUUACAUAAUAUCAGGUAAGAAUAUGUAGGGGUGAAUCCAUGGCUAAUUAGGAAAUGUUAAAAAUGAGUGAAAAAAUAAAUGGGUUAUAAAAAGGGUAAAAUUGGAAAUAUAAGUAUUUUGUAGGGGUGAAGGUAUAAAUGUAUGGGUAUAGGGUACAAUUUCCUUUAUCAAAACAUACAAAGCAUUGGGCUUUGAUAGCAUAUAUCACAGCUUGGGCCUUACAAAUGGAAAAAAAAAUGAAAAUUGCUUUUCAACACCUCGAUUUUCUUUUUGAUCGGAUCGUAACUUUCGAUCAGCUAUUUUUAUGUGUUAAAAGCCGAUCGAGUGUAACUUUGGCAAUGUAUUUUCAGCAAAGCGAACAAUUUUAAGGUGCCUAAAAAGCAAUUGUCAAAAAAUAUUUUUCUAAGCCCAGCAUGAGUAUGUAUGGUAACGACAAGUUGGGCAUCCACUUGUUUUCUUUUUCUGAAGGAUUGGGUAUCUACUUGUUGCGAAGGCAAAACUGAUAAAUAGAUGAUGCGUGAAACUUGAGAAAGAUCUUACAUUAAAAAAUGUUUAUGAAAACACAAACAUUUCGUCAAAGCUAAGCUUAAGCCAAGUUCUCAUAUUUUUGGAUCUCACGAGCUGAACAUGAUUUUUGUCUACCAAAAGUAUGACCAAGUUCAAUUUAUUUGCACAUGAAGAAGCAACCUAUCAUAUCCCAGCAUUUGUUACUUGUAUGGACCAUCCUCGUGGCAAUAAGUUUAUGCUUAGAUAUAGAUGUAAAAGCUUAGAAGAAUUUUUCUUUAUUAUUGGGAUUUACAAUAUUUUAAAUUUUCAAUAAAAAAACAAAAGUAGUCCCACACUCAUGAGCAUCACCUAAAAGGGUUCCAAAAGUGGGCGCAAAUUAAGGAAAAUUCCUCAAUAUUCCUCAAAAGUGAAAGAAACGGCCUUUGGUCCAGCCAUAAAGAUUAAAAUUAUGACUGUAUUCAAUGGGAACUUUCCAUAGCUUAAAAAGUUAAAUGUCAAAUUCUUAAUCCAAUGUUAUUUGAACAACCAUUUCUUAUGACAACCUUUUGAACAAUUAAAUUAUACAAAGAAAUUUAGGUAGUGACACAAAAAUCAAAGCAAUAGAGAGAUAAAGUAGAAUGAUAAUGUGAGUAUGAAAGAGAAAGUUGUCACAAAAGUUGUCAAAAAAUGGUUGUUCAAAUAUCAUUUCUCUUCUUAAUAUAUACUCCCUCCAUCCCAAAUUGUAUGACGUUUUGGACAUUUUACACGUAUUAAGAAAUGUAAUUAAUUUUGUGUUGGAAAGGGAUAUUAUGAAUUGUUUUAUAAAAUUGUCCUUAGUAAAUGAUAUAGGAAAAAUAAAUGAAUGACUUGGAAGAAGAGAAAGUAGUAAAUAGUUAAGGAUAUAAUAAGAAAAAUAAUAUUAAUGCUUCAUUGGUAUUGUAAAGCGACGUAGAAUUUAGGACAAAUUUUUUUCCAAAGCAACGUACAAUGGAGGAAUUAACUCACUUUUUCUUUGUUCCACGCAGAUGUUGCUUCCAUAUUUUACUACAUAUAUAUUUUCUCAAUCUUUCAUAAAUUUCUGAUUCAGAUAGGGUGUGUAUUUCACCAGUAGUACUGCUAGUAAAUAUAGAUUUUAUAACUAAAGGAUUCAUUGAAUCAAAUAUGGAUUUUAUAACUAAAUGAUUGAGUUCCUCUAAAAAAUUAAGUGAUUGAAUUUACUUAGUUAACAUAUUUACUUUAUAUACAAAUUGUUUGAAUAUGUUCCCUAUAAAGAUAAAUUGUUUCAAAAAUCCAAGUUUAAAUUCUUGUUGUAACAUUUUUUUGUUGGACUUUGUUUUUUACUUCUCAGAUGACUCUGGUUGUAACAAGAUUUUACGGUAACAUUUAAUAAAAGAAAAAGAAAGAUUUUACGAUGAUGAUUGUUAUUUUUAGUGUUUAUUAUCCCUACAAUUCUUGGGGAAAAUGAAUCAUGAUAAUCCAGAGUUUGACUGAGAGGUAAGUAACGUCUGAUAAAAACUAUUAUGCACAAAAAUUAAACUCAAACUCUUCUAAACAAUUUAUCAGCAAUUACUUGGUUACGAUGACGAUGAUAGAAUCAUAUAAAAAUAUCAAUUUUCAUGUGAUAUAUACGAUGUAAAAAUAUUAACAUAGUCUCUUGAGCUGACACUAAUAAUAUAUAAUUCUUAUAUAGUUAGUUCAAUGCAAGUCAGUUAAGUGGAAAGAAUGUGACUUCUAUAAAUCUAAUAUGACAGUUGUAAAAUGAUAAUUAAUAGGUAAAUUCUAUGGUACACCCAAAGAUAUGAGUGUAUUGGUACACCAAAUUAUUAAAUUAAUAGUUAAAUGUGUUAUUUUUUGAAGAGAAAAAUUGUUUUCUAUCACCUAUAAUUAUAAUAAUUAAAUCUUAUUUAUCAAAAACAUCGACGAAAUAAAAUUUGAUUUUUCUGAAUUUUUAGUACUCGUAAUAGAGAAUUUUGAUUAUUUUUUACAAUAAAUGUAAAAAAAUUAGUAUGAUUUUUAUAAACAAUGAAAUGAUGUUUUUUUUCUUAUGAAAUGAUAUUUUCUAAAAUAUAAAUAUCAACAAAUAGCUUUUUAUUUCAUAAAAAUGAUAGUUAAUUUAUAAAUUUUUGAAGUAAGAGUACCGGUACACCUUAAUUUACGGGUGUACCGUAGAAGUUCCCUAAUUAAUAUUUGUAUAAUAAUAAUAAUUUUCUCUUUUUCAAGCCAGAAGCCAAACUAAUGAUGGAGAUGUUGAGAAAGGUCGUGACAACAAGGUGAAUAAAGUACUAUUAGGGCAUUAGUUUAACUGAUUAAAAUAUGUUAGAUGUGGAGGUGCAAUAGAAUUUUACCACCUUGCUGAAUACUAAGGUUAAAGGGUGCAGAAAUAAUUGCACAGUAGGGUAAUUAUCGUUUUUUAACUAAGAACUCAAUGCUGCAAUUAUUGAAUUCAUUCAGCUCCAUCCCAUUCCAAAAUGGUUAAUAAGUAGGCUUUUAUCUUUUUUUAAAUAAAAUUGCAACUAAAGAAACACACCAACUUGUACCCAAAAUAAGAAAACCACACACAACUAAUAACCGUUGAUUGAUAUAUUAAUUAUAUAUGCUAUAAAUAAGCACAGCCAUAUGUUUUCCGUUGAAGAUGCAUAUACUUUUCAUAUCCAUUAUCUUGUAUGAAUGAAUUUCCCACAUUUAAUGCAGAAUGGAGUAGAGCACAUGUACACUUCUAUAUAAUAAUGAUUUUGUUGGAAGUAUAGAUAUAUAAGUAUAAAGAAAUGAAGAAAAACUGAAUGAUGACUUGAACUAUUAUUGAUGAGGAAUAGAAUAUGUAUACAAAAAAAAACUGAUAAGGUUGAACACCUAACCAACCUACAAGUAAGAUAACUACAAUAACAUAAUAAAAGGAACCUCUAACAAACUAGCUAGUGAAUUGUUCUUUUAUCCAAUACCCCCACAAGUUGGAGUAAAUGUCAAAAACUCCAAAAUUGGACGUGAAAUGAUGAAAAUGUCAAUAACCAGAUUAAAAAAAACAAGAUAAGGUCUUUUUUUUAGAGGCGGUAAGAUAAGGUUCUAGUAGAAUUUAUAAAGAGAAGAUACAACUAUAAUUUUAUAAAUCGGUUUUAUACGGAUGUGUUUGAUCCAUUAUAGUCAAUUAUGGAUAGCGAUGCGUAGCAAUCGAUCCUAAAAAAUGGAUAACGUGAUAGCGUAAACAGUAUGAUAAAUAGCGGUCAUCGUAUUUUUUGUAUAAAUUACAUGAAUAAUAUUAUAAAAAGGAAAUGCUAAUGAGUGCCCUUGGAACAUCAUAGAAAAUAUGGGGGUUAGGAUUGGAUAACGACGCUCUAGCAAUACUAUAAGCAACCUUAUUUGCUUGCCUCCGAACAUACGACACUACAAAGUCGGGUUUAUCUAACAAUAGAUUCCUACAUUGUGAUAUGAUAUCUCGGAACUCAUUGCUAGGAACAUUUGAAACAGAAAGUGCAUCAACUAGGGACUUGCAAUCUGAUUCAAAGCAAACAAUGUGCAAUCCCUUUGAUACUGCCAUUUUGAUAGAUUCAAGCAAACCAAUGGAUUCUGCUUCUAGUAUCGUGGCGGUGAAAUGUGACACAUCUGAUUUUUCAAAUAAUAGUUGACCCGAGGAGUCUCUAAAGCACAUACCGUAUCCCAUGAUAGAGUUGUCGUUGAAGGUAGCUGCAUCGACGUUACACUUUAUCACACCAAUCGGAGGUUUUGACCAAGUAAAGGUAUGAUCUAAGUUGCGUUCUUGAAUUUUGACUCUUUGCAUACAAGUCCAUUCAUGGAGAGCAUCCUUGGCACGGUUGACAAUGAAGGUGGGAGAGGUGUCAGUGGACUCUCAAAGUUUAGUGUUGUGGCUCUUCCAUAGGCUCCAAAGGGUCAUAGCGGUUAGUGUUUGUUGUUGCGUCGAUAGCCUGCCAAGUAAGUCAAACAACAUUACAGUAAAGUCAUUAGCCUCGUGGAGUAGCUCAUAUACAAUAUUAUCAAUGCCAAUUAUGCUCCAACAAGCUGCAACUUUUGAACAAACAAAAAAUGUAUGCAUCUGCGUUUCAGCCAAGAGAUUGCAAGACAUGCAAGUAUCAUCACAAGGAAUACCACGGUUGAUAAGAUUGGUGCGUGUAGGAAGACAUUGGUGACCUAAGCCCCAAAGGAAGGAUCGAACCCGGUGUGGAACUUUUAGGUUCCGUAGGAACUGCCAUGGAACACUACCUUGCAUAGGGACGGAUGCAUGAAGAAGGUCGAUACAGAUUCGGUAAGCGGACUUGACCGUAUAGGACCCAUCUGUUGUUACCUUCCAAAUGCGAGAAUCUUCUCUUAAGCGUGCAUAAAUAGGAGUGGUGAGAACAGCAGCUGCAUCCGAUUGAUUAAAGAUAGAAUUUACCAUUGCAUGAUUCCAAGAGUUCAAACCCGGAUUCAACAAAUGAUUCACUGUGAGAUCUUCAUAAUAAAGUGGUGGACGAGUAGAAGGCUUGAGGGAGGGGAGGUUACGGAUCCAAGGCAUAUUCCACACAUUAAUUUUCGUACCGUCACCAAUUUUCCAUCUAUAACCCAAAGUAAGCAAAUGUUGAGUACUCCAAAGAUUCCUCCAAGUAAAGCUUGGAUUAUGACCGAGGGAGGCAUCCAAGAAAUCCCUUCGUGGAAAGUAUUUGUCUUUGAGGACACGAGUAAGUAAGGAGGUAGAGUCGGUCAAGAGUUUCCAACUUUGCUUACCAAGCAUAGAGAGAUUAAAUGCUUCCAUAUCACAAAAGCCUAGAUCUCCAUGACUUUUGUGUAGAGUACUCACAAAUUUAUAAUUUAUAUAACACUCAAAUGUCAUAAAACAUUCAUAAAUCAAAGCAUCAAAAUACAGAAGACAGAGGAACAAUUAUUAACAAAAAAAAAAAAAAGAGGAACAAAUAAAAAAAAAUCAUAAAAUAAGAGAAACAAUAAAACAAAAGAAAACAUAGGACGAAAAAAAUUGAGAAAGAAAAAAAUGAAAACAAAUAAAGAGAGGACAAAGAAGAAGAAAAUAGAGAAAGAGAACAUAGAUCAUGUGAGUUGAGAACAUAGAAAAGAGAGAAGAGAUCUCUAAGUCGUGUUUUCCAGUUUGUUGUGUUUCAAGGCACAAAUGAGAAGAUAGAAAGAUUUGAAAAAAUGUUAGGGUUUACGAAAUUUUCAAAAUGUAAAAAAAAAAAAAGGUUUUAAAAAUAUGGUCAAUUUGGAAAUUUCCUAGUAAAAUCAAAUAGUCGCUGAAGCAUUCGAUUUCUGCUCCAUUCUGACAUUAUAGCACCUGAAGUGGCCACUAUUUGAUUUUGCACUGCUAGCGGUUCAUCGCCGCUAUGCCACGUGCGACCGUUAUUGGUAGUUAUUGACUACUUUGGUUUGACCCAAUAUAAAAACGUCAUAUAGUAUCAAGUUUAUGAAUAAAAACCUUGUGUGCCAUCAAAGCUUAUCGAAUCGGAUCACCGUCUAUUUAUAUACACGCACCAAGCUACAUUGAUAAAAGAUAAGGUAUGAUUAGUGUUUAUAAUGAGAUGUACAAAAAAAAGAGUUUAUAAUGAGUUACUGUAACACCCCGUUUUUCCAACUUAAAAAUUUCAUAAACAUUUAUCAGAGUAAACAACAUAUAACGGGAUAUCAGACUUCUUAAAAAUCUUAAAUAGAUAAAUAAUAAUUUAUCCUUCAACAUAAUUCAUCAACGUCAUAGCAGCGGAUAAAAUCAUCAUAAAUUGUCUUGGCACGCAGGCCUCAUAAAAAUCAUCUCAUAAGUUCAGUUAAACAACAUAAAAACAUAGCAUAUACGCAAAGGAAAGAGAAAUAGCCACUAAAGAUCCCCUCUCGUUACGUAUCAGAGCAACCUAAGACUCAAUGAGGAAAGGCCACUCACGACAGCAACCUAUUCUUGAUCACCUGCAAGUUACUCAUACGAAGAGCAACAUUUCCAAGCAGAAGGGGUGAGAUUUCACAAAACAAUAAUAUUAAGCAUAUAAUUCAACAAUUAUAUUUAACAACAUAAAAACAUCUUAUUAUUCAUCAUAGAUAAUAAUAUAUCAUAAAUCACUUCGUUAACAAUUCAUAUGAGUAAUCACAACUUCACAACUUAUCAUCUUCGACUCGACAAAUGCAACUAUCCAACUUAGACCUCUUAUAUGCAUGUGGUACCAAUACAGGGCAUCAAGCCCUCAUCGCUAUUUGAGUAUUAAUAUACUUCCAGGGCAUCAAGCCCCCAUCGCUAUUUGAGCUAAAGCUCCAUCCUGUUGAGUACAAAGCUCCAGGGCAUCAAGCCCCCAACAGUGAAAUGCUAAUGCAUGGACUUGACCUCUUAAACAUCUUAAUUCGACAACCUCUUAUAUAAUCCAAUAAUUUGGAAACAUCAUCAUCUUCAUCAACUUAGACCGACUCAUGCAGCAUAGUUAAAUAACAAUAGCAACAUAGGCAGUAUACAAAACAGCAUGACAUAUUGAUAUCAAAUGCAAGUCAACAACAUCUUAAAUAUUCAAUUAUACUUCAAAUAAUGUACAUAACAUUAUAUCACAUCGUAAUCAACAUCAACAUAUCUUAAACAACUUCACAUAUUAUAAUUAACAUCAUCAUUAAGUCUUAAUACUACCCCAAGGUUCAACUCUCAACGACUCGUGCAACAAAGGUCGCAAAAACCUAACAAGUCACUCUGUUUCUAGGUCACUCGCGAGGCGAGGGCCUCUGCUCGCUGUGGCGAGUUCAGGUCAGAAUCCCACAAGUUUCAUUCUAAAUCUUUCCAGGUCCAAUCUCAUCCUACAUUCUUUCCUAAUCAUUAUUAGACAUGUUCAGGCUUUCAAAAGCAUCUAAGGAUCAACUCAAAAGUCAAAAUCACGAAAUCUUGCAUGCUCUCUAGUCAAUCUCGCAAGGCGGGGAAAGGUUGCUCGCGUGGCGAGCGAUGAAGUUCAUCACUCGCCGUGACGAGGAUCGUGGCUCGGGAGGCGAGCGAUGAAUGUCUCUACGGGCAGAAGUGCAGUUUUUCACAAAAAUCACCAAUUCUCAUGGUUUUAAGCCUAACAUUGAUUCCAGAAUUCAUCAUAAUCAUUAUCUAAGGUCUAGGGACAAUUUCUACAUCAAUCUAACAACUUUUCACCGUUUAAUCAUCAAUUCUAUAGUUUUGACCUAGUUUCCGAUUCCUCUUAAAUUCAUCCUAAAUCAUGUUAAACCUAACCAUUGAAUCACAGACUUAAUAGAAUUGCAAAGUUAGUCUCACCCUUACCUUAGAAUGUGAAAAUCGCAGCCCCUCUAGGUCUUCUCCCUUAUCUUGGCUUUUUCUCCCUUUUCUCCAAAAACGAUCGUACGUACAAAUGUUUUUCUCUAAACUAGGUUUCCCUAUUUAUAUAUCCUCCAUCUAUCUUAUCUUAUUUCUCUUUCUCCCCCAACACUCUAUAAAAUCUCAAAACAACCCCUAAACUCAAUAUUUAUUUUAUUUUCAAAUCUUAUUUUAGUAAACAAUAAAAUAAGUCACAACUCCUCAUAAAUCUCAUAAAAUCACCUCCAUCAUAUAAAUCAUAUAAAUCACACAUAUAUUAUAUAAAUAUAAUAUAAACUCAUCUUAAUAAAUUCUAGACUCAAUUAAAUAAUUAAAUAAUUCGAAACGGACGUUAUAGUUACAUUCUUCAUACUCUCACCAACCGAUUUUGUAAGAGUAAGUUAGGACUAAUAUAAAGUCUUACGGUGGCUACAAGUUCACAAUAUUCGACUUCAAACGAGGAGAGAGAUACAAUGAUUUAUUUCUUUGACUUCUAUGAAAUGGGAGAGUUGUCAAGGAAGAUACACCAGCUAGUGGUAGAUCGACAAGUUUUAGGGAAGUAGGCCAAUCAAAACCACUAAAAGCUUUGAGUUGAAUUGAUUUGGAUAGGGUCAUUAAAAAUGAUGGAAGAAGCAACUAAUUGACCUUAGUUUUAAAGAACCGAAGUAAGAAUACAAAAAUUGUGCGUAGGGAAUGCAUCAAAAAAGUAAACCCUAUCUUAUCAGAAGUUUCAUUCUUUUGAGUAAGGAUUCCAAUCUAAAAUUUGUGUCAAAAAGUAAACCCUAACUAUUGUUGUGCGUGCUUGAGUCCAACAAGAACGAUACUUAUAAAUCAUAAGAAUGAUAACAAGUGGAAGAUAUGAGAUGUGGCAUUUCUAGUUUGUCGGUGGUCGAGGGGAAGGCGACCAUGGGGGAAGAGGCAGGUUGUUGAGAAGUAUGGUAGAGCCCGAUAAAAAGAUAAAUAUAUUGAUUUAAAAAUUAAUAGAAUGAAGAAGUAGAUUACAAUGAACAUUGUAUAUAGUAAUCCUAAAAUAACUAAUAUCAUAACCAACUAACAACAAAUCACAACUAACUUUUAACUACUUUAAACAAUGUUAAACUAAGUAUACCAAAUCUCUAAUUGUAUUUAAUAGAGUAGAUGGUCGAAAAAAUAUUAUGAGCUUCAGUUAAGAGUAUUUUCUUAAAUCAUUCUUCUAUGAUAAAUGCUCUUAUUCAACAUGAGGACUGUCAUGUCCUUCCUCAUAUUUGUGGCAUCCACCGACUGAUGAUUAUAUCAAAGUUAACGUGGAUGGUUCUUUCUUUGGCAACCAAGGUAGUGCGGGUUUUAGUGGUCUCUUGAGAGACUCUAAUGGGAUUUGGAUUCAUGGUUUUUCUGGUUCUUGUGGUACAACAUCUAAUAUAUUUGCUGAACUCUCAACCAUUUGGGUAGGUCUUCAGUUGGCAACGGACAUUGGUCAUAAAUUUAUUAUUUUUGAGUUUGACUCUAAAAAUGUUAUGGAUUUGAUUGAAGAUGUUCAUAACUCUAAUUUUCAUCCUCGUUGGACUAUUCUUUCUCUCAUUAGAAAACUCUCAUCUCCUCUAUAACACACUAUUUUACAUAUGCCUUGACGGAAGGCAAUGAAUGUGAUGAUCGACUAGUUAAAUUUGAGGCUACAAAUGUCACUCAUUAACCACAUGGACUUCUCCGUUCUAAUUAAUUCUCACUCUAUUACCCAACUCCUCCGAAGUCUUUAGACAACCAAGUUGACCAGUUUGUCUUUCUUUUUCCCAAUGAUAAAAGAAAAAUAUUUAAAAACAAUGUUACUAAAUGAAUAUAAUUCUUAAAUUUUAUGUAUUUAAAAAUUAAUUAUAAACUAUAAAUGCUUACGAAUAUCGUUUGAUUAGUUUAUUAUUUUUGAUGUUAUUUUGCAAUAGAGGAUCAUUUUUUAAUAUUUGAACAUGACCUCUGAUUCUAUCAGAAUCGCACUGUUCUUUACUUUAACCUUCUUUUCUCUAACUUUCAUUCCUUCCAACUUUUUUUCCGAUCUAAACAAAGCCUAAAACCAAACACUCCUAAUAAAGAUCAUAUAUUACUGAAAUUAACAUACGAAUUUUGAAGAACUAACUUUAUUCCUUAGUCAGAGUUUCACAGAUUUGUAUUAUGUUUCCAUAAAAUCGCAUAAGUUCACCAACAAAAAUUCGUUACCGACAAGCAUAGCAUUGAUGAUUGACGUACCAUCUCACUAUUUGUUUGUUAUAUACUUUGCUCCCUUUCUCUAAAAAAGAUACAUCACUUGUGCCACAAACCAACAUAAAUCCAAACUUCAUAAACAUGAAAACCGUUCUAUUGAAAGUUAUGUUACAUGAAUGAAAUCUAUGAAAGUUAUUUUAAUUCCUAUCCAUAAAACUCCCUAAAACAUUUCCUAGACAGAAAAACAAUGAUUAAGAAUUGCCUUGUAUUUCAGCAAAUGUUAACAUCCUCUUUGGAUUCACCAUUAGUAGGGUAGUUUUUUACUUUUUAGCACUCAUCAUCAUCUCACUAUAACCUAACAUUUUGGAAGUUCUUUUUGGUAUAAUCCUACUUUUCCAACACAACUUUGCAUUUUAAUAGUUUUUGUUCAGCACCAUGGAAGCAUAACCCCACUACAUAGUGCGUUACAAAUGAAGAACACUAUGCUAAAUCUAGACAACCUCUUCACUGACAAUUGUUCUUAAUCUUAUGAUAGGAUAUUGAUGCAAUUGCAGUGUCAGAUCAGAAAGCAGAAUUUCACAUGCAUUGUCUUUGGAUAAGAUUAGAAAGUAAAAUUCCUAAAAACAGGAUUAGACAUUAACAAUUGUCAUUAUCUUUUCUAACUAAUCCAACCGUCAUUUUCAUUAACUAAUUAAUUGAGCUAACAGCUCUUACAAACACACAAAAAGUGCUGUUAAUUUAUACACUAAUUUUUUAUCCUACAAUAUUGAUUCAGACCUUUGAACAGAAGCUAGUAUUAUUAAUUGAUAUUUUGUACACAGAAUCAACUUAGGAUUCUCAAUUUAAUAUAUCUAUACUAUUCUCUGAACAGAAUACUCUUUUGGAUCGAUGUGAAUUAAUUGCAUGAAUAAAUUUUGGGUUUUUCGAAAUUUAUAAGAGUAAGAAGUAAAAUGACAAAGCACAAAAAAACAAAACCUCAUAGCCCAAUCAACUUCAUGUGGGUUCACUCUGCCAUGACUCUGCUAACUAUACAGGAAAAAAGGGUAUAAUCGUCUGCUAACUUUUGUCACUAUUAUCGCAUAAGAUUUUUAAGUCGGUCCAUCAAAAAUAAAAAUUUCUAUUAUAAUAUUUUUCCCUAUGCACAAAAAUAUAUAAAAUUUAAAAAUAAAAUUACAAUUAGUGUCUUUUUUUUUUUCUUUUCUUCUAAUUCUAAAAUCUUGCAUUCUCAAAGCCAUGUAAAUCACUAACUCUAUUCAUAGACUUUCUCAUGAUAGCAACUUUAGCCAAUCUCUCAGCAGCUCUCCAAGCCGAUGUCGGCGUAAGCGGCUCUAAUUUCUCCUCGGAGCGACUAUUCCUCCGCCUUUGAUUUUGCCCUUGAGUUCGUUGUUGCUCUCGACGCUUUUGAAGCUCAGCUUGCUCAACUUCAAGCCAACGCAAGUAUUCCUCCUCGACCGGCUUGGUAGAUUGCAAAAAUAGAGCUCGAGCCGAAGAAAGCAAAUGAUAAGCUCCAGACACAUCGCUAUGUUGAGCGAGCCGAUUAGACUCGGCUACGGCUCGUAUAGUGACAUGGAAAUUUCUGAGCCCUUCGAUCUGAGAAGAUCGAACGGUGUGGGGACGAGGAAUCAACAUUGCUUGCUCAAAGGGUUUCACAAUCUCACGAGUUACUGUGUCACGGUAAGAAGAUAAAACUGUUAAAACAUGGUGGGACCCAGCUGACACAGCCGGCACUUUAAGCUCCAAUAAUAACUCCCUUUCUUCUUCAGCGUAUAAAUCACCAAUUUUAAUUGAACCCGGUUCAAUUGGAGCGGGUUUACCCGCGAGUGAGUACACUGCCGCAAUCUCAACCGGACGCGCGCGUGAAACAAUCUUUAACUGAAUCUUAACAUCCUGAGCCACCACGGUUAAUAAACUGUUUAUACACUUCGAAAGAAUUUCAUCUGGUAGCGCGUGUGUACACUCGCUUUCUUUAGGAAAACGAACCGCGUGAAUUGGAACUUCCAUGUUCGAAAGGCGCGUGGAUGAAACCAGUGAUAUUUUCUGAAACGACGCGUUCACGGCGCGUGAAUCAACAAUAUCAGAGAGAACAACGAUGCAGGCGACGGGGUUUUUUUCACGGCGAUCUUCAAGAACUUUUGCUGCCUUUUUCAACGCAUCAUUCUUCGCUGGAACAGCGUCUCUAAUUUGAUCAAUAGCGGCGAGUGCUUCGACAAUUCGACGCGCCGAUCUCUGUCCACCACCGGUCAUUCUUUUCAACGGUAACAAUCUUUUCGAUCCACCGGAAAAUGCCACAAUCGAUAAACGAUCAGUAGCAUUCAAAGAAGAAAUCACAAGUCUCAUCGUAUUCUUCAUCAAACGAAGCUUCUGACCUGACAUAGCUCCACCAACAUCAAGAACAAUAACAACAUCCACCGGAGCACGACGCAAAACCUUCACCGGCGCUGGCGCCGGAGUUUUCAACUUCAAAACAACAACAUAAGUCUCAUAAUUCCGAUUCGCAGCAACAACAGCAGUUUCCGGCAACAAACACACCUCAAGAUUCUUCCUAACCACCGGCGAAGAACGAUUAACAUUAAAACCUUGAAACUGAACAUUAUCAUCAUCUUCAUCUUCUUCAGUUUCGUUUUCCGAUUCAGGAAUAGGAUUGAAUCUCGAUAACGAAGUUGGUGACAUAAGAGGUUCAUCAUCAUUGUAGACUUUGAAAUUUCUUGAAUCUCUGUUUUCGUUCUUUUCGUGUUGAAUUGAAAGCACCGGUAGUUCCUUCCAAUUCGUACCACAAACUGGACACACGUGCAAAGGUUGCUUCGUCACGUGAGUUGAUAUACAAGGAAAAUGAAAAGUGUGAGAACAUUCAGCUGUGAAAAUUGCUGUUCCUUGACCACUUUUCACACUUUGCAUACAUAUUCCACAUCGAUUCUGCACAAAAAAUAAACAACCAUGAUUAAUAUUAAACAUCAGAGUAUAAACAUUAAACAUGAUUAAUUUGAUUUGGGAAUAAGAUUAGGAUGAAUUUUGUUUUAACUUACUUUGGAUAAGCGUAGAGUGUUUUUGAGAAAUGAGAAACUUGAAGGUGAUUUGGGUGAAUUGGGAUUAGUGAAUGAUUUAGGGGUUUUUGGGUUAUGAUUAUUGCAUUGGAGUUUAGGACUAUUAGGAACAGAACAAGUUGUUGAAGAAAUUGAGGUUUUGCAACGAAGAGUGGAGGAACCAGUUGAGGAAGGUUGAGAUUGAGUUCUAGGUGUUGAUGGGUUUGAGAAAAAACCAAACUUGGAAGUUAUUCUAGGACUUUGAUUUGUUGAGGAAUUUUCACAAUGUUGAUGAUGUUUUUUCUCUGUUGUUAUUUUUGGUUCUUUGUCUCUAGGAAUUGAUGUGCAAAAUGCUUUUCUCCAACCAGUAACCAUUUUCACUCUUGUGUGAUUGAUUGAUUUCAAAUGGGUUUUGUUUUUGGGUAUUGAAGGUGAAGAGUGGAUGAUAUAAUGGGUUUAUGAGAAAGGAAGUGUGUUAGAGAGAUAUAAAGAGGAUGAAGAGAAAUGGAUUAGAUUCAAAGAGCCUUUUCAUGUUUCUCUUUUUCUUCUUUCUAAUUCAGUUCCUUGUUGUCUAUUUAUCUAUGUCUUGACCUAGGUCUAUUUUUCUAUAUUUCCGUUUUGAGACCCCCAAAAACACUACCCCAAUGAAAAAAGCCUUUUAGGCCACACCAUUUAUUUGGAUGAAAUGGUAGGCCAUUUUUAAUUUAUUGUAUUGCACAUAUUUAUAUUUUUACUUUUGGUUAAGAAAAAAUUACAUAAUUAAAGUGAACUAACCUUUAAAUUUGAUUUUAAGUGCUUGUUUGGUUUGGUGGUAAGGAGGGCAAUAUCACAUCCCUAGGCACAUUUUGAAGAGGGCAAUAUUCAAACCAUUGUUAAACAUUAAAAUAUAUUAAUUGGUUAUGCGGUGAUAAUAAUUAAUUUUGAGUGAUUGAUUAUAUAAAAUUGAUUUAGGAUAAAAGCGAUUUGAAUGUGAAAGUGGAAUUAACAAUGAAUUUAAGAUUAAAAUCAAUUAUAGAAGUAAAAAUGUACAAAUUCUUAUUUCAUAUAUGAUAAAAUCAAUUCUACCACAAAGUACAUUUUUAACUCUUCAAAAUUAAAACUAAACAUGUGUUAAAUUUAAACACCUGUCAAUAAUAAUUUGAAAAAAAUUGUUUGAACACCAUAUUGUGUAGUUAGCUUUUAGAAUCUAAUCAAUUUUGUAGAAUCCAACUUUCUUUUGGUUUGAAUAUGUUUAAAAGUAGAUAAUUCUGCAGUCUGAUGAAAAUUAUUUCACCAUUAUUAAGAGCGUAUUCCCUCCGUCCUAAAUUGUAUGUUGCUUUAGGAAAGAAAAAUUGUUCCAAAUUAUAUGUCGCUUUACAAUAUAUUAAUGUUAUUCUUUCUAUUAUAACCUUAACUAUUUAUUAAUCUUUCUUCUUUCAAUUCUUUCAUUUAUCUUUCACAUACUUCCUCCGGUCCUAUUUAUAAGAGAAAUUUAGGUCAACAAAAGUGAAUGUAUUUGGACUGAAUUUUUAAAUAGAUACAUCAACUUUUGUUGACCCAAAAUUCUCUUAUAAAUAGGACCGGAGGGAGUAUUAUUUAUUAAGGACAAUUUUGUAAAUCAAUUCAUAAUAUCUCUUUUGCACACAAUAUUAAUUGUGUUUCUUAAUAUGUGUGAAAUGCCCAAAACGUCAUGCAAUUUGGGACGAAUGAAGUAGUACACCAAGUUAAGUAGAAGGGUUAAGGAGCGUGUUCACAUGUACUCCAUAUUGUGCAAUGAUAAUCUGGUUUAGACAAAAAUAAUGAAGACAACUUCUCUUACUAUCUUAAAUGACGUACUCCCUCCGAUCUUAUAUAUAAGAAAAAAUUCCUUUUUUAAAUACAAUGAAUAAUUAUGUAUCUAAUUUACAAUGAAGAUUAGAUACAUUAAUUAUUAAAUAUAUUUAAAAAAAUAAUAUUUUUUAUGUGUAAGAUCGGAGGGAGUAUUAAUUAACAAUAACAACCAUUGUUAAUAUCUAGAAAAACACAAACUUUUUUCCAUAGUUGGCAAUAUUAUUAUCUGGGUAAAGUGAAAAAAGUUGUCAUUGGGAUUAACAUUAGUAACUGGCAAAUAGAGGUCAUUAACUAGAGUAAGUAAAGGUAUAAGUCAACCCUUUUGUCUUGGAAUUGUACAUCACUAUCCUAUUCCCACGUUAUGGUCACCACCGACCCAUGCAAACAAAUCUUGACCUAAAAAUGUUCAAAAAAAUCACAUUCAUUUUCUUUUGCUAUGCACGAUCAUAGUUUACCUUACCCCAUGAAUCAUGAUUCAUCCCUUUCGCCUUAAUCUUCGUCAGUUUUUCUUUUUUCCACUAAACAAAAAACCAUGUCAAGGAUUAUGAUUCUGAUUCUUUCCUCAAUAUUUUAUUUAACUUAGGGUAAUAAAUUGAUUGAUGGGUACCUGCAUGAAUCACUGACCAAAAUUGAAAUUUCAAUGAGCUGUAUGUAUGGUAAGGGUACUGUAAUGUACUACUAGCAUUAAGUUGUAGCUGAACUAAGUUUGAUACCUAUGAUCUGGUUCGUUUUUAGUGGGCUCCAUUUCGUUGGCAAUUGUGUUAUUACAAUAUGGUGUGGGAAAUUGUGAUGUUCAGAAUAUAGACCAGUUCUUCUCUAGGGAAGGGUGUAUUAGUCAUUUCAUCUCUGCAGUCCAUUUAUUACUAUGACAAUAAUUAUUGAUUUUUGUGUUAUAGUCGUCGAGAUAUAAUUGAAUAAAAUAACGGCCAUAAGAUGGGUAUGAUAGUUUUUAGUGUUUUUAAAUAGCACAUCAAUCCCUAGGACACGCCCAAGCAAAACACUGUAGAAAAUUGACCUUAUAAUCUUUGUUCACCCUAAACUACUCCAACUUAUUUUAACGUCAAAAUUAAUUCAUGAUGCCAUUAUCAAAUUGUUGAGCCCCCCUAUUGCAGCACAUAAGCUAUUUAUUGUUGAAUUUUGGCACUAGGGAUAUUGAUGACAUAAUAACGCAGUUGUAUUCAGCGCAGCUUUUAUUUAAUGGGAUUCAUGACGUAUUUACCAAUGGUUCGAGGGGUGAUAAUAAGUUGGGGGGGCAAAUACUCCGUAGUACUAGACUACUAUUGUUGUGUAUCAAAAACAAAGGUAGUUUUUUAGCCAAAAUUAUUAAACAUACGAUGAUUCCGUGGUUUGGAAUGAACGAAAUCAUCGGAAAAUAUUAUAAAAGAAAAUUAGGUAAUCAUAUCGAUAAUUCGGAUAUAUAUAACCAAGUUUACAUGGAAAUUAGGGUAGCCGAAUUUGCAUGGAAAUUAGGGUAUUCUGUUUGUAAAAGUAUUAAAUAAGUAUAGAAAAUAUUGUAAAAAAAAAGGCAACAUGAUAGAAAUGAAAUAAAGGCAUGAAAUACAAAAUAUUGUCAAAAAAAUCCAAAAAUAGAAGGCAUCAAACGUGAUCAUUGAUAUGCUCAUAGUUUCUAGAACAAAAAAGUAUAAAAUAGAAGGCAUCAAACGUGAUUAUUGAUAUGCUCAUAGUUUCUAAAACAAACGUGCAUCAUCAAAUAAGUGUAGAAAAUAUUUUCUUUGAAAAAAAAAAGGCAAGAGGAUAUGAAUGAAAUUGGUGCGAUGCAUUUUUUUAGAUGAAAUUUGUUAGGUUAAAUAAAUAAUUGCAAACCUAAUAAAACUAAUGAGCGGAAAAAAAUUAGGUUAAACUGCUGCAGACCAUACAAAAUUAAUAAAUAAGAAUUUUUCUAAAUAAAGAAUAUAAAUAAUAAUACUAUAGUGAUGAAAUAAAUAAACUAAUUUAGAAAAAUUCUAAAAAAAAACUUGAUUUGAUUUUAUUAGUUAGGAUAAUAGUAAAACAAGAAUCCAAUAUUUUUGGGAGCAAUGGAAUUUUGACCUUUCACCAGGAUGGGGCUAUUGAAGUCUGAAUGUUUAGCUGCUGAGCACAUUUUAAGGAAACGCUGACUUACUUAAAAUUGCUCAUAAAAACACAGUUCUAUGAGGGCAGGCCUUGCCUCACUGUGUAAAGUUUGAACUCUGAUUUUCCUGUAAAGUUUCCAUCAUCAUCAAAGUUUUUCUUUUAUGAUUUGAUUUGAUUAAAAUUUAUAUAUUUGUCUUUCACCUUCUAUAUAAUACUAUAGAAAAUGUCUGAGCAUAUGAAGUAUCAGAUUUAUAAAAACAAAUCUAUAUUACAAUAUCUGUUUUAUUUUCGGAUAAAAAUUUAUUUAGAAUUAAUUUAUUAUAAGCGUAUGGUUUUUUAGAUCAAAAAUAUAUAAAUAUAUAGAUUUAGUGCAUGAUUUAGUGAAUUGAUUUUAUAAAAUUGAUUUUAUAUGAAAAAGAGUUGAAUAUAAAAUGAUAUAUUAUUUUUUGGUAAUUAGAUAAAACAAAAAAAGAGAAAGCAAAAGAAAACUAAACUACGGCCUUAAGAACUGCACUCUAGAUAUAUUAACGAGAAGUAAGCUUCCAAACUCGAGAGGGGGUUCUCCAAGUAGCACCAAGAAGAAUUGUGACCAGCACAAUGCUUAGUUAAAAAGUCUGCACACUCACUUACCUAUUGAAAGGUGUGGGUAAGAUGCACAUUCCAAGGAAGAUUAAGGAGAUCGUUAAUAUUUCUAAUGAUAAUUGCAUAAACACGUCAAACAUUGGGAGGAGCUUGAUUCAAUUUCAUGGCAUGCAAACAACUUCAAACCAUAUAUGAUUGCAAGUAGUUCUGCAUGCAAGUUGUUCGAAAUAAUAUAUAAUUAAAUGUAUGUAUGUAAAAGUGGAUUUAACAAAAUUUACAGUUAAAUCUUAUGGUUAAAAAUUGUUGUAGAAGUCAAAAACUAAAUAUUCAGUUUCAAAUAAUCAAUAUACAGGCGAAUAAAUUUUUCUUUAAAUCAUCUAAAUAUAAUAAAAUAAAAUAUACAACAUUUAGAAUCAUUAUUAUCUUCUAAAAUCGAAACUAAACAUAUGCUUAAAUGCAUCUUUUCUCCAAAUAUUUUGGGUCAACUCAUAGUUUUGGUUCAUCAUUUAAAAAAAAAAAUUUAAUCCAUACUUCAUCCGGUGAUAUUUAUAAACAAAAAACUAUUGUUUAUGUUCUUUUUUUAAAGGUAUUCUUUAUGUUCGAUGAAUACCUAAUGUAUUUUUGUAUUUAAUAUAAGGCUUAAUUGCACUUUUGGCCCCUAUCUUUUUUAGCCUCCUAACUAAUUAAAAUACAAAACAGCCUCUUAUGUAUUGGAUCUUUGGCAGUUUUGGCCUCCAAUGCCACUUUUGACUUAGUCUUAACUGACGUGACACUCAUAAUGGUCGACAUGUGACACCUCUCACUUAAGGGAUAUGUGUGAGCAAUACAUGCAGUUGUUCCUCGGACGAUCUUGCCACAUAAUACACUCUUGGAAAGAGAUGAAGAACUAAUGGUUCAUGGUUCAAGCAUUCAUGACAAGAUAAGUCUCAUUGCGAGAUAAUGCAUCUUUGAAACAAAAGCAAAAAAUGCAUCUUUUUUUUUUAACUAGUUCCACUUCCCACCGGGGAUGUGUCUUUAUCAAAUUCUCCAUCAAUUAUGUGCAUCUUAAUUUGUUCACCACUUCUUCUACUACUAUAUUUGGGGAUUAAAAAGGGUUGGAAGUAAGAAACUUAAUGUACUUCUUUUUCCCCCUCAAAACAUAUAUUCUCUAAAGUAAUUACUCCUUCUAUGAUAUAAACACUUGUUUAUUUAUGGAAUUGCAUUCCCUAAGAGUCAAGAAUGAAUAAGUAAAGGUAUGUGGCCAAAAUCUCAUAAUGCUGUGAGAAGGACUUUGAGGGUAAUCAACCAGCACAUAGGGUCACUUAUAUUGAGAUGUCUUCAAUUAUUCAAAUCUAUCCAAAAAAUUUAGGUAAAAAAUGAAUGUGCCUUAUAGCUAUUAACUUAGCCAUUUAAUAAUUGGUAUGCUUGUGGUAGGGCCAAUGCCUACUAAACAAUGCAAACUAUUUCCUAAUUUGAUAAGUGGCUUGAACCUGUCCUUGUAAAAAGAAAAUCUCAAUGUUCUUAAAUAUUAAUUAAUUAGUUUACUGAAAUGAAGAAACACAUUGAAAUUUAUAGAGUAGGAUUUUCUUAAAAUAGGAAUUUUUUUGGUUACUGUCCAUUAUUGAUCCACACAGUUUUCUUUUUUAUUUUCUUCUUUUUCUGUUAAUCAAAUGGCAAAAUUAUGUUUUUUAUUUUUUAUUUUUAUAAAGUGGUAAGAUUAUGUUUAAAAUGCCAUCUCCUUCUUUUCUUAUUAACGAAAAAUGCUAAUAAUGUAUUUAUUUGGCAAGUGUUUCAUUUAUACUUCCAAAUGCAAUUUUGUCUUAUUAACUUUUAACCAAUGUCUCUCUAUGACAAACGUUAAAAUUACUUUUUCUUAUUAAAAAAGUGAUGAUCUCAUGUCAAUAUUUAUUUAUUUUUUAAAAAAUGUCAAUAUUUAUUUGAAUUUUUUUAACAUUAUACUUUAUUCAAUAACACUCAUUUUAUGGAACAAAUCUUCGUAGAAGGUCAUGAAAGAGAAUUAAAACACCAAAGGGCGAUGAUUAUAAAAGCUUAAUUAGUCUUCAUUAAACAAUUUUAAUGUCAGGUUCCUAAUGGAAUUAGAGGUACCUGACGUGGGAAUAAGCUUGUAAAUUAUGGUCACUCUGAUAAGGAGUCAAUUUGAUUGAAGAUUUUACUACUAUUUUUUAGGGAGGAUUUCUUUAGGGACCAGCUUAGUCAGUAUGUCUAUGAUGUUUGUCUUUUCUCUUAGUUCACGAAAAAACAAUUUUGAUGUCAUUCCCAGAAGGUGGUCAUUGGUGUGGCCUGUGUAUCGGAUGCCAUGAGUGAUAUUAUUGUCUAGAGGGCAUUGCAAGCAAUGUCUCUUUUAGUUAGACACAUCCUAUUUUGCAUCAAAGUAGGUGGUAUCAAAUAAGCUUUUUUUUUUUUAAAUUCAGUAUCCGAUCCAAGAAUCGACUAAUUCGAGGGGAUCAAUCCCACCGCCCACUUGCGGGGGCCCCGUUUAAAGGCAGACUUGCUCUGUAUGAACUUAGCCCAUCAAAAUUGGCACCAGAGGGAAUCGAACCUGAGAUCUCUGGAGGAGCAAACUCCAAGAUCCCAAGCCAACCACUAGGCCAACCCCAAAUGGGUUACACUUGAUUAAAUGAGUGUGGUUAGUAGCUCUUUUUAGAAUCGGCUAUAAUUAGGCGUAGAUUGUAUAUGGUUUGUAUUUGAUCUCUGGCUAACCUCUUAGUUAGUUCUUAUCCAUAAACUUCUAAUUAUAGGAAAAAGAAAACACUCAUUUUAACUUUGCUAAUUAUGUAACAAAUCAUAUUACGCACCCAACGAUUAAUACUAUGCAUAUAUAGUGACAACUUGUUGUUUGCAGUGAUUUUUGGUUUGAUAUUAAAUCUAUCUAAUCCAACAACAAAUAUGAGUGAACUUCAAUGCAUUUGUGUUAAUCUUAUUGAUAAAAGAAUGACUAAUUAGAAGAAGAAAAAAAAUCAACGCCACUUAAAACAUUGAUGUAUUGUGUCAAAGUUACAAUCCAUUAUCAUUAAUAACCUUACUAAAAUUUGAUCAAAAAGUAUUAACCUUACAAUUUACAAUAGCGAUCUUGUGCACAAUUUACAGUAUUUCAUACAACUGCAAUGUCAAGUUUAAAAAAAAUUCAAGUGUAGUAAAGUUUCACAUACAUAAAUUUGAAUGAAUGAAUGAUAUGUUUGUUUAUAUAAUUAGGGUUACACAAGGUGGAAAAAAAAAAUAUCAGAAUCAUUCCACGCGUAAGUUACGAAACUGCUUCUUCAACAAUGACCAAUAUGAGAUAUUUGCCUUUCAAGUUUCUCUUAAAGUUUUUUGGUUGAUUACAUGCCAUGGACAUUCACAAUAAUGUUUUUAUCCCAAAACACGUGAAUUGUAUUUCCAACUCUAAAAUCUAGUUCAUCUCAUUUGUGGUUCCCUACCUUGAUUGAGAUAAAUAACAUCUUCUUCUUCUUUUCUCCUGUAUAAAGAGUAUAUUUCACUUGAAGAUAAACCACUACAAUGAUUUCUCAAACUCUCAUUUGAAGUUAAACCACUCCAAAAAUUUCUACAUGUCGAAAAGCAGACUAAAAAUUAUGAUGAAACUUCCGUGUUGAUUUUCUUUAAAAGCCCGUUUGGUGCGCAGGAUAAAGAGACAAAAUAUGAUUAGUAUAUCCUAUCCUGUCUUAAUCCAUUGUUUGGUGCGCCCAUAGAAAAUGAUAAGUUUAACAUAUUUCUAAUCAUAUCCUAUCCACCCUUUGUUAUUUUUAUCCUUAGUUUUUGGUGGGUUAGAAUUUUCAUAUCAUGAUUAGCAUUAAAAUCCUUAUUUUACCCUUUCUCCCCAUCCAUCGACCUCAACCUCUUCCUCCAUAACUCUUCAAGACCAUCUCUUCUAUUUAUCACAGAUCUAACCCCAAUUCGAACCUACAAUCACUUUUUUUUUCCAUCUGCUUAAUUUUUUGUUUGUUUCUUUAUUGAUUAUCAAUUUUCUAUUCGUGUCAAUUUUGAAAAGAAAUGAAACAGGCUGGAGUUACACAGGUUGGAGUUAUACAAGAAGGAAGAAGAUUGUAAACGAUUUAUUUUUUUUAAUUCAAGAAGCCGUGAUUUUUUGUUUUAAUUCAAGAAGCCAUGAUUUUUUUUAAUUGAAUUAUGUAAUUGAAGAAGAAGACGGCACCCCUAAGAAAAAGGAAGAUGAUGCCAUUUUUUUUUAAGAGACAAUUUUUUUUUUAUAAGAUCGUAUAAUUAAUAAUAGCUUGAUUACAUUUAAUUAAAAAAGUUAGAACAUAUAAUUAAUUACAAUGAUAAUUUUGUCAUUUAAUUGUGAUGUAUAUGAUAUUAUGUUUGUUAUCAUGUGUGCAUCAAACAUAUGAUAGGAUAAAUGUUUAUCUUGUCUAUAUCCUUUUAUAUCCUUAUUCAGUUUUUAUCAUAUUUUAUCUCUAUCCUAUCUUAUGCACCAAACGAACCGUAAAAAUUCUUCGGACCGUAACAUUGAGUUUGAUGAAGCGUUAUCUUCACCUUUCAAUAUUCCUUCAUCAAGAAUAAUUUUUCAGUCAACUUCAUCAUUGUUCAAAGUUUCUUUCUCAUAUAUCUAAACAAGUUUGAUAUGCCCAUAAAAAUAUGAAAGCCGCAUCUCUGACCAAAAAUUUGAAGGCAUAAAAUAUGAGUUAUUUUUUUAUUCAUCCAACAUUUAAAUUAAUCAUAUUUAAUGUCCAUUCACACUUAAAUCCUUCUUUUUAAUAAUGAUGAUGAAAGAAGUCCUUCAACUAAGAUUAAGAAAAUAAAACAUCCUCACAUGGGUAUGACUGACUGACCCUUUGAAAUAUUUUUAGAUGACCAAGAUUUUUUUUCUUUAAAGAAUUCAAAAUUGCAUUGAAAUUUAGCAAGAUUUGAAGAAACUCUUCUGCUAUAAGACUGAGUGGCAUAGCAUUCACAUAGGGUCAAGCACAUUACCACUCCUUAUGGACUUCCAUCGUUAAAUUUUAUUUUAAGGGACAAUUAGGAACCUAAAAAUGUACAUUAACUCAACAAAAUCUCCAUAUAUUUUUUAAUACAUAUAGGAGAAAAUGUCAAAUUUUGUUUAAUUUACAUGCAGUGUCAUCUUGUUUCAAGUUGCAUGUUGAAAGCAUUUUGGCAGUAUUAUAGGAGUGAAUAUCGAAAGAAUCCAUCAAUCCAAUCAUUCAAAAUAUGGUUGUACCGUCCGAUAUAUACCUCCAAAAACGACAGACACCAAUGAUAGGACCAAACAAAUUGCUUGACCAUGACAUUUCUAACUAAUUAACAUGCGAGAGAAAUAUAUUCUAUGAUAAUACUAUUGUUCUUCCCUUGACCUUUUUUUUUUGUUUCCAUUAGGGCGCACAUGAUUUACGGUUAGUGUUGUUAAUAAAAAUUAUUAUUAUUAUUCUCAUAAACUGUCAGUGGAGUACUACUAAUUUAAAUUCGUAAGAAAAAAUAAACAAAUUAUUUAGAACUUCUAUUUAAUUCAUGAUCGGAAUUCUCAAAUAAUUAUUUAGUCAAACUUUAUUUACAUUAAAAUCGAUCUCUCAAUUACUAAAGUUUUCUUUCCUGUCCUAUACAUUUCCCAACUUUAGUUCAUGCUAUUAUUCUUCCCUUGACCCUUUUAUUUUAGCAUUGUUGCUAUUUUAAUUUGUUUUUAUGUUUAAACUUUGAGGCAAAAUUCAUUAUAAGAUAAACGAAUAUAAUUACUCGUAUCUUUAUAAGAUGGUCAUUUCUUGGAUUAACUACCGCAAUUUCGAGUACUACUUCUUUAAUGUUACGCGUUAAGUUUACUUUGAGAAAAGAAAAUCGAAGGGUUAAAACUAACAAAUAAGAACAAACAUAAUCAUCUAGGUUCCACCUAAUAUCUUGAGGCCAAAAAACAUUUAAUUAAUGUUUGCACAAUGAAAGAUUUUUUUUUUUCAAAGGAUGAUGAUUGGUUGCGUGACCAACAUUAUUGGGGUACAUGCCAUGACUCAUAAAUGCUAGAAUCCUUGCCAACCGAUUAUAAUUAAUAUUAAUCUCACAUUGCAUAUAAUUGACCAUUCAAAAUACUGUACUACUCAUUCAGCAUAUGGGCAUGCAUGGCAGCUUGAAUUAUUACCUCACAAGUAUAUCCCCGUUAAAAAGCCAAAACAAAACGCGUUUAACUCAUAUUACACAAGGUCUCUUAGGUUAAAUAAUUGAUUUUGGAUUUUAAUUUAAAUUUAAAAAAUACUGAAACUGUUUGAAAAUCAAGUGUGAGUAAUAAUGUCUCACAUUGAUUAGAAUUGGAGCAAAAAUUAGAUAUAUAAGUGAGGAGACCCAAAAACCCAUCGUCUUAGAGUUUUUGGUAAGAGUGUGAUGUCUCUCUCUUAGCGGGUCCUAGACGUUUAACCCAUUGUCGCUCCAAGCGCUCCCCAACCUCCCCAACAAACUGAUAUUUGAGUCUGGUUAGGCUUGUUGGGGGAGUGGGAGUGGAAUCAUAUUGUGGGCCUUCCUAGUGAUGUGGAUGAGUCACACUUGAGAGGGGGUUGUUGGAAAUCAAGUGUGAGUGAUAAUAUCCCACAUCGACUAGAAAUAGAGCAAACAUUAGAUAUAUAAGAGAGGAGACCCAUAAACCCAUUGUCUUAAGGUUUUGGAUAAGAGUGUGGUGUCUUUCUCUUAGCGUGUCCUAGAUGUGGGUGAGUCACACUUGAGGGGGGGACUGUUGGAAAUCAAGUGUGAGUGAUUAUGUGCCACAUCAACUAGAAAUGGAGCAAACAUUAGAUAUAUAAGAGAGAAGACCUAUUGCCUUAAGGUUUUGGGUAAGAAUGUGGUGUCUCUCUCUUAGCGGGUCCUAGACAUUUAGCCCAUUGUCGCUUCCAGCGCUCCCCAGACUCCCCCAACAAACUGGUAUCAGAGCCUUCUUAGGCUUGCUGGGGAAGUGAGAGCGGGAUCCCAGUUGGAUCUUCUUAGUGAUAUGAGUGAGUCACACUUGAGGGGGAGAUUGUUGGAAAUCAAGAGUGAGUGAUAAUCUCCCACAUCGACUAGAAAUAGAGCAAACAUUGGAUAUAUAAGAGAGGAGACCCAUAAACCCAUCAUCUUAGGAUUUUGGGUAAGAGAUUGGUGUCUCUCUCUUAGCAGGUCCUAGACAUUUAGCCCAUUGCUGCUCCAAGCGCUCCCCGGACUUCUCAACAAAAACGUUAAAACUCUUUAACGAAAAAUUUACGAUUUAUAUAACCCUAUUCAAGAAUAAUUGUCUGUUUGAUAACGCAUCCCAACUUUAUUUAUUGUGUCUCAAUGUAUUUUGACCGUGAUUUUUCUUAAGCUACUAAUACUAGUUUCUAAGUUUCAUGCAUUUGAAUGAUGUUCCACCGUGAAAACAAACAAAGGCGAAGUCUUUGCCUAACCGAUAUACUAUGGUAUAAAAACUGAAUUUCACAGUUCUUUUCAACCAAUCCUUUUUUAUGUAAAAAUCAUGUCCUAUAUAUUUUGAUAGAGAUAGUAUAAAUACUAUGUACUAGAAUGAUAAACAAUAAAAACGGUUGUUCCUCCAAUUAUAUGACAUUGAUUCAAUCCAUUGAAUUUGAUCAACCACACCAAAAUGUCAUAUAAUAUUGUGUGUAUUUAAUUUCUGAUAGUGGCACAAGUGACAUGUGCCUCACAUACAUGACAUUCCAAACGGAGUGGUAGUUGAGGAGACGCGUACAAUCAUUAUUAUUGAAGAAGAAGAUCACGAAAUUAAUUGAACAAGAUAUUUGCUACCCUAGCUUAAUUAACGGUCGAUGCAUCAUGUUCGUGUGUGCAAUGUAGCAGUCUAGGCCAUAAGAAUGUAACAUACCACGAUGUUGAUAUGUGUCUAAGUGCUCUAGAUAAUGAUCUAAUCUUCAUGCAUCCUAAAUACAAGAUCUUCUUGAGAAAUUUUCUUAACGGUUUUAAUAAGAUUCCUUUCAGAUUUUCAAUUUCAUUAAUUAUUUCUCUAUCACAACACUGUAAAUUACUUUACCUCAUUUUCUAUAUUUAAAAGUAUGGGUGGGUCUUUGCCGUUCGGUUUGAUUUUGAGUUUAAAAUUCAUCUGAUCAACAUGAUGAAAAACAUGCGGUUUAAUUUGAUUUAAUUGAUUUUUUUUUUUAAAUCGAUCCAAACCAAACUAAUGCCGUUUGAUUUAGUUUAGCUAGUUUGAUUUUUUGCAAGACAACAUAUAAUUUAAAUAAUCUGUCAAUAAUUUUGAUUAUAUUAGUUACAACAAUUAACUAGUUUGCAACGAUUAACAAUUAUUUACUUUAUUUUAUAUAAAUUUGAAAUUAGUUCGUAAUCAUUUACUUAAAUUAAUUGAUUAAUGAAAACGCCCAAUUUAUCAAGGUAGAUGAUUAAUACAUUCAUUAAUGAAAACGCUCUAUUGAGAUAGAGGAAUAAUUAGUAUUUACUUAUUUUAAUUUAAAUUGGAAAAAAAGAUGUUUUCGUAAACUUAUCUCAGUUGGUAGGAAUAAUGCAUAAUAUAUGCAAGGUUUUGGUUCAAAUCCUAGACACCAAAAAAAAUAAAAAUUGGAAAAAAGGAUUUGCUCAAAAAAAUUGGGGUAUAGGUGUAAACACGCAAUUAACAAAACAAUAGAAAAGCUUGUUAAAAAAAACAAUAGAAAAGUUAAAAAAGAAAAUGAUAAAAGAAAAAGACUCAAUUAAUUAAUAUGUUGGUUUGGUCAUUCGACCUAGCUGUGUACCCUAACAGAGUAUUUUUUAGUGAGUUUGCGAUGAGUAACAUGUGUUGAGUUAAGUUAGUUUUUUUUUUUUUAAGUAUGUGAUUUUGUUCGGUUUGAUUCAGGUGGUAAAAUAAAAUCCGCAAACCAAAUCGUUUAGUUGAGUAAAAAUUUGUUCCAAAUCGAAACCUUUUUUUUUUUUACUGUUUUUGAUUUGGAUUGGUUCUGUUUUCGAUUUUAAUUUGUUUCUUCUUCAUAUUUUGUCUCAAAUUUCUCAUAUUUUUUCCCACACUCUCCUUUCUCUAUUGCUGCCAUCCAAUUUCUACAAAGGGUGAACACAUCAUCUUAAAUCAUACAUAAGCAUUGCCGCAUUUUUGUUACUCUCCACACCUACAUCAUUUUCGUGCUUCAACAAGUUCAUAAAAAAAAUUGACCUAUAAGAUAGUGUCUUUUAUGGUUAUUAAGUUUGGGAAAAUUUGAAGAUUUAGAUUACUAUAAUGAUAGAUGCUGUGACUCUUAGGCUCUCAAACAAUUUUGAUUUUCUUUUUGUGUGUGGAGAUUUUUAGUCAAAUUCUAAUGUUAAUAUUGUGAUGUCUCUAUGAUGAAUACUUAAUGUAUUUGCGUCUUAUAUUUCUAUUUUUAUUUUUAUUUGAAGUUUUAAUAUCGUUCUCUAUUUUUCUUCAAGUUUGAGGGUUUUAAGUUUUUGUCAACCUUUAAUCUUUUAAAAUAAAUUGUAGUUUCUAAAAUAAUUUUAAAAAAUAUGUUUAUUUAAAUAAUAUUUUUUUCGCUGGUAGUGCUACUCGCAAAAAUCAUUGAAGUACAUUGACAAGUUGUCAAAUGAAAAUGUGUUUUUUUUAGAGGAGCUUGCUCCUUGCAAAUUUCACUGGGGCAUGCUCCUCACAAAUUUCUCAAUAUCAAACCUCUCGUAGAAAAUUGCCAUGGGUUGUUUUGUGGGCGCAUUGCACUCCGUGGAAAAUAGGUACUUUCAAGUUUUUUUUUUUUUUUUUUUUUUUUAAUGAAUUUUGCGGGGAUUUUGUCCUUGUGCAAAUGUCGAUUUUCUUGCAGUCGGUAUCAUAUCACUUAUGCACUAAAUUUUUAUGUAAAGAAUAUCAUUGCUUUGAUAAUGAGUUUUCUAUCUCGGAGUACACUACUUUGGAACUAAGCUUCCAUUAUUAACUUAAUGGUGGUUACUAAAUUUUAGUAAAGGUUAAAUUGAUCUUAAAUACCUAAAUUCAAUCUCUUUUUUUAUAAACAAAAGUUUUUAAAUGAUAGUACAAUGGUGACUCAACUCAUUACAAAAGAGUUGUUGCAUUACACGUUGUUAAGACAAGAUAAAGAGCAAUUUAAUCAAUCAAAAUAUAUAUAAUAUUUGCUUCUACCGUAACGAAAAACUACUUAAGAUAGCAUGUAAAUGGUAUCAAUCACCUCAUUCGAGUUAGCCAUUUUUCUAUUGAAGAGAAUGUUGUUACUUUCCAACCAAAUACAUCAACAAAUAGUUAAUCAUAAAAGAUGAGAUAUGUUAUGCUUCUUUUGUCCCCUUUACAAGGGAGUUAAAUGACAUAAAGUUUUUCACCUCCUCCUUGCCCCACGACGCUAGAUUCCACCCAACCCAAUUAAAAAUGGCAUCCUAAUUAAUUUCUUUCGCGAUCUAACAUGAGAAACAAAAUAAAUUAUGGUGAGUUUCAAUUUCGUUGAAACAAAGCACACAACAUUCUUAAUGGAUGUUUUUUUUAUUACUCCUCAUCGCCAUAAAUUCACACGCGUUGGUAACCUUCCUUGAAGCAAACGCCACCCGAAAACGAAACAGAAUUUCCCACAACCGUCACAAGCCGUCGUGAUCGGAACCAUUCAUAAUUUACAAGUGCCACACUUACCAUAAGUCAUAAUUUAAUCCAUUGCAUGAUUUCAUGAUAUAUAUGAUGAUUUUGUUUUCCAACAUUUGCAUAAGGCCGUCGCUUUCCAAUUGGUACCAUGUGCCGCUAUUAAAUUAUGGUGCUUUAGAAUAAAUGUAAGGAAACAAGAUCUUGUGUAAUUAAUUGAAGUCCACCUUAUUAACUUUUCAAAUUAAAAUAAGAAUAUGAACACAUUGCCACUGAAUUGCUCACUUUGUAUGGAUCUCAUCAAGUAUAUAUCUUCAAAGUUCAAACACCUAUCAGUAAGUGAAUUGCAUAUAAAAUGUGGAAAAUAAUGAUAUGUACUUUUCUUAGUUGAAUUUCAUCCCAUAUCAUUGACAAAAUUCAAAUUUCUUCAUAAAGUAUAAUUACAUUACAUGGUUAUACAUUAUUAUCACUCACAUAUUGAAGUUUGCUUCCGCACUCUCUUAUCACAUCAAGGUUAAUAAAAAAAGGGUCAUGUUAACCGAUGUUUCUGGGGACACCGGUUAAUAUUAUCCAUAAAAAAAUAGGAUUAUUGUAUCUCUUAUUACGUAGGGUUGCUCAUAAUGAUGUCCAUGUGGAUUUUGAUUAGUGCUUUUCAUUUUGUUUGGUCUUAAACUCUUGCUAUAAUUAACAUUGGUGUUUAAGACAUAACAACAUUUAAUUUGUGUUGAUUUCAAUGGCAGUUAACUUGUGCUCAUCACACAUACCAAAAUAAAUAUACACACCGAAGAGAAAAAAAUGGUGAUCUAAAUUCAAAUUCAAGAUUCCACAUAAAAUAUCUCAAAAUCAAACCAUUUAAAAUAGAUUAAAUAAUCAUAUAUUAAUGGUUGAGAAUAUUCCAAAGCAAGUUAUAUACCAAGAACAUUGUAAUUUUGUAACAUAAUUAAUGAUUAAGAAUAUUCCAAGCAAGUUAUAUUAAAGUCCAACUUCAAUGAAUCAAUUAUACAAUUGACACACAACCUCCCCAAAAUACAGCUUUUCUCCACUAUAUUAGCUAAUGAUUACAAUUAAACCAACCAACGCUACUACUUUCAUUUUAAGAUUCUGGAUUUUAUCUCUUACUUUUCUUCUAAGAUUCUAGAUUUCGAUUAUUAUAUAUCUCUUAGACUGUACUACUACUCCAAAGUCUUAAACGCACCCUUCUCUAUCCAAAUAAAUAAUUAAAAUAAAACCAUGAUCAUUGUGAAAAAGAGUUUUAACCAAAUUAAGCUUUGAAGAGAGGUAUAAUACUAAAAACAAGUCUUGUAAAUGGUUUGUCUAAUGAGCAUAAACAAAUUAACCCUUCACCAUACAUAAGUUUGUUUUCUAUCAUUAGAUUAAUACCUCAUGUCAUAUCACAUUUGAUCAAAUAGUAAAACUUGUUAAUCAAUGGUGAAAAAAUGAUUGAAUAUGGUGCAAGAUUUUUUUUUAUUUUUAUUUUAAAAGAAUAUGGUGCAAGACUUGUUAAUCAAAUAGUAAAUGUUUAGCUUAAAUAUCAAAGAAAUAACAAACUCUAAUGCGAAAUAACAAACUGAAAACAAAACAGAUAAAUAAUAAAAAUUCAGUUUUGGACAUCAUAUCCCUUUUCGAAAAGAUAUAUUUUUAAAUCAAUCGAAAACCGGAUGUCAAAUAUUCUCAUUGAGCCUUUCUUACACGCCACUUCAUCUUUCAACACUCGUAGCCAAUCUGCCUACAUCACUAUGUUUGAUUUAUAACUCAAAAUUUGGGGAAUGAGACUCAAAAUUAAAACAUGAAAUAUUUAUAAUUUUCCAUCCAUCAAAUCAAAUCCUCAUAAAUUCUGAUAAUCUCAUAUAUGGCUCCCAUAUGCAACUAUCAUCAAGCACACUUACCCCACUCACUCCUUUCCAUUUAUGUAUUAUAAUCAUGUACUACCAUUUUCUACACGAUUCUACCUAAGAAAAGCAUAUGCCCACUAAUGUCAAAAACUUUUCUCAUGUAAAUGUUGUGUUUCCCUUAGAGGGAACGCCAUCAUAUUUCCAUGUAGGCGCAACAACAUUAAUUAUAGUCCAUAGUAUCCAGAAGAAAUGACAAACAAUAAUCGGUGUACUUAUAUUAUUAUUUAGUGCUUUUGGCCAAUAAUUAAUCCUAUGCACUAUAACCUGGGAAUAAUUCAAACCCAUUAUGCAUCACUAACAAUGUUAAACUAAUAGUAUUGGCAACCAUAAAGUUCGACAAUAAUGAGAAGUCAAAAGUAGAGAACGACAACAAUGCAAAGUUUAAAUUAUAAUAACUUAGAAUAAGAUGCAUAUUAACAAGGCAAAUUCUAUGGUACAUCUAAUAUAUUUAAGUGUACCGGUACACUCACUCUUUAAAUUAAUAGUUAAAUAAGUUAUUUUUUGAAGAAAAAUAUUAUUUUUUAUCAUUUAUAAUUAUAAUAACUAAAUCUUAUUCAUCAAAAAUGUCAACAAAAUAAAAUUAUUAUUUUUUGAAUUUUUAUCACUCAUAAUCGACAACAUUCAUUAUUUUUAUGAUAAUAUGUAAAAAAAUUACUAUAAUUCUUAUAAACAAUGAAAUGAUGUUUUUUCUUAUGAAAUAAUGUUCUAUAAAAUAUAAAUAUUGAAAAAUAGCUAUUUAUUAUAUAAAAAUGAUCGUUAAUUUAUAAAAUUAUGAAGCAGGAGUACCGGUACACCUCACUUUGUAAGUGUACCGUAGAAGUUUCCUAUUAAUAAUUGCUAUCAAUUCUGAUUAUAAAGUGAUGUUCGUUCACGACAAGUAGAUAAAGGUUGCUUAUAGUUUUGUGGGAGCUUCUAUAUCUUAUUUUACCCUUCACACAUUUUAUUCUCCUCCUUUGUAUUUGGGGUCAGUCAUUCACUAGUUAUAGUAUUAGUAUGUAAUUGUAGAUAACAUUUUGAAAUGCAUUUUUCCAUAUCUUACUUAGUGAGCAUCUGUCAAAAAAAGUUAUCUUAUAAGUGACCAAAGUGAGAAGGAAAACAUAACUCUUAAGCCAAUGCACUCACAUAUGCUAAGCUAAUUGAGUUCUCUAUAUGAACAAACCGUUCGAAGAUCUAAGUUAAGCAAUUUAUCAACACUACAACAAAUAUGAUCUAAUAAAAAAAGGGAGUUGAUGUUGAGGAAUUUAGAACAAGCUUUCAACAAAGUAUAAUUUAAACUUAAAUAAAAUAAUAAAAGAUUGGGAGGACAAAAAGAAUCGAGGAAGGAGAAGUUGAAAUAAGUUUUAAUGAAUUCCACUCAUUCAAAUCACCCCAUCCCCACUGCAAUUGAAGUAGAUACCUUUGAACUAUAUAAACACUAUCAUAGCAUUUCUUUUGGUCGAGGUGGAACAAUUUUUAGUGCCCCUUUUCUUGCUUUUUAAGUUUCAGUUCAGAUGGAACGUACAUCGAAACCAUAUGCUAUAUCUUGAUUUAAAAGACAAAAUUGAUCAACCAUAUCACUGCAUGGUUGGAACCGAAACUGGAGUACACUACUUGUAAUUAAUUCUUGUAUUUAUAGUUUAUAUUGUGUUUGUUACUUAUUCCUGAAUUGAGUCAUUGACAUCCAUGUGUUUUUCAUAUUUUGAUACUAAAUUAUUCAUGUGAAAUUUAAGUCAUAAGGACAUACACAUGUGUGCUUACAAAUAGAAAAACAAUAAUGGUAUGGACUCAUAGGAAAGACGUCCCAUUAUAAUUAUUAUGUCAAUAAAUAAAACCUGCUAAUAUAACCUAGAAAGAUGGUUGACCAUGUUCCAUAUAAUAUUGUACAGAUAAAUUGAAGUCAUGAGAGAAAUCAAUAAAAAAAAAAAAAGCAGCAUCAACAUUGGCUAAUGGCUAAUAAUACGAUAAUAACUCAUCGACUUUCCUGACAUAAUGUAUCACACAAAUAACUGUCAUAUUGAGCUUGAUACUAAAAUCAUCAGUGCCUCCCGUUAUACAGUUUUUUAAUAUAAAACUGAAGUAAUUCGGAUUAAAAAAUAUAUGAAAUCUCUCCUCUCGUGCAACUAAAGCAACUCUUCUUACUCACUAUAAACAGCCAUAACAUACCUGCUGCGGGAACUCUAUUCAAAAAGUGGACAUGAUGAACCAAUGUUGUUCAAUGUUCACAAUUAAGAGGAAAGAAAGAUUGGGAAAACACGAAAUAUGUUAGAACCAUAAGAGAGAUUCAAUUCAUCCAAACAAACAGGUUUUCCUAUAGUGAUUACAGACUACACAAAAACUAAUAUUAGAAGGUAACUUCACAAGAUAUUAUAGUGCUAACAAAUAUAACAAACUUUUUAGGGACGUAACAAUAAAUGACACCGGAAAUCUGUUUAACUACCAAUGCCAGGGAGUUGGUCAUAAUCCUUUACUUUUUACAGUCCUUGGAUCCAGCAUUAAAACUUGGUUGGACAAAGGCAGUCAUCAGUUCCGGACACCCUCUAACUCCUGCUUUUGGACUUCUCCAUGGCCCUGGGAGCUGUGGAGGAAAGAAAAUACACUUGAGCAAACAGAGGCAGAUAAAUUGGAGUUAUGGGAAAUUACAUCGUGUUAAUGUUGAUUAAACUUAAAUUGACUUUGGUUUAUGCUAUGGGAACUUAGAAUCAAGGUUAUAAUGUUAUGUAGGAUUUGCUAAAACAAGAUAAGUUCCCACAUGUUACAAAUAGCAAAUGAUGAUCCAACUAAAAUACACUUCUUUUGCUGGAUACACCCAUAGCUGAAAUCUCCAAAUAAAAUUCCUCAAAAACUACAAAGAUAAAUCCAGUAUAUAUUUUGCAACUCGGUAUUUACUUGCAGUAUUCAGUUUUGCUUAUUGAUUGACCCAAAUCAAAGGCAGGAAACAAUCUAGUCUAGAAGAAAAUUAAUAUUGCAAUUCAAAGAGCAUAAGGAUAUUAUUUUAUUUUUUUCUUCCAUAGCCUUGCAUUAUUAUACCCUACUAAAGUUUGAAGUACUCCAUGACAUAAGGAUAUACUUUUAUAUGGACAUAAUGUUUAUCUGGAUAUAUACUACAGUGAUCUCAUUUGACAUAUCAGGAUCAUAAUCCAUCAAUACAUGUCAGUGUUACCCAAAGAAAAUAAAGGAGACAAAUACAGAAGCAUGAACAUUCCAAAUACACUUAAAUAACUCGCAUGUUAAAAAUUAUUGGCUUGUUUACAAAUACACUAGUACAUGGAUAUUUACUGAUACAUAAAUACCACAUAUGUUGCUUGAAAAUAUAGAUGCAUGCAUAGGAAAAAUCUUAUGAACCUUCAAAUUUAAUUCAUUGCUCCAUUUUAAUUAAUUACUCCACAUUUUCCACAUUUCAUACUGAUUGUAGCGACAGCCAAAUGACCAUCACUGAGAACACAUACCUAACCCAAUGGCGUCAGAACCCUUCAUGAUUUUCAGCCUUCUGCAAGUAUCAAUGAACAUCCUGCACAUACAUAAGGAAUUGCAAUUUAGUGAGUGGGAUGCAAACCCUUUGUCAUUCAUUCAGUCCAUUUUCUUGGUUUUAAAAGAGACUAGAAUUUGCAUGAACACUUAAUGCCUAAAUAGACAAGCCCGUAAAUUAUAGACCAAUAAUCCUAGAGGAGUGCUAGCAACACACUCACACUUUUCAACAUACUCUCUUUGAUUGGGUAAAAUUCACAUGUGUCCCACCAUAUUACGUGGGUCCCAUAUUAUUUUGGUUGGCCGCAUGCAAAUUUUAAUCAAUCAAAGAUUGUGUUGAAAAGUGUGUUGCUAGCAUGAAAAGUGUGUUGCUAGCAUUAUUAAUAAUCCUAUUCAGCAACACAAUCCUGGUCAUGAUCAAAUUCUUCAGUCUGGAUACGAAUGAACAAGUCAUAGCAUACACGACACUUCGAUUGGAACUUGAAUUUCUUCAAAAAAAAAUGAGUUGAAGUUUCUUAGAGGGGCAUGCACAUGCGCCCUCCAUGCCAAAGCCCCAUAUCCUAACUAUUCCUCCUCACAUUUUCAUCAAGUACCCCUACUGAAUUCCCCGCACCCCGUUCAUACUAAUUUACCAAUGCCAUAUAGCCAUUGUGUUAUGAAGCAGAUAAUAUCUACAAUAUUCCACUUUUUGUCCAAACUCAAAUGCAUUAGUUUAGUAACAUCCCAGCAACAUUAUGCACCACUUCAGUACCAGAUGUAUCAUUACAAAACAGAAUAUAAGAUCACAAAAUAGACAAAAAUAACAUCAUUCAAACAUCAAAAUACACUUCAACACAUUGAAUUGAUUCACACUUUUAAAUAUAUUGAAUUAGCCAGAAAAUUCUGUAGCAGAAUUGAAAAGACAGGAAGAAACCUAAGGACAGUGCAUGCUGAACUGUGAUUUCUGAAUAAAUUUGCUUACUAAAAAGGGAAAACUUUCUUGAUACUUUUUCAUGCAAGUGGCAAGUUACUUAGAUGAGCAAUUUCAUGCAAUAUCCAUUAUACUUGGUAUCACAUCAGUCAAAAAUAUAAUUCGCAUUUAUAAUAUGUUAUGCGCCCAUUAGUUGUUUUCGGUAGCCAUGAGCCCCCUAAUUUUCCAUUAAAAUACAAGUUCAAUCAUUUGCAGUAUUAACUUUCUCGAUUCACUAUAUCAAUCUCUUAAUUUGACGAAUAAUCUUUUAUCAUAAUAUUUUGAAUCGAACUGACUAAUAUUAGUGCUUACCCAUGUUGAGCAAAUUUCAGGAAUCGCUAAUAAAACAAGAGCCCUUGAAUUUUAGGUAGUAUUUGAAAAAUAAAAGUGAUAUCAUACCACCUCUGUUUGGCAUGAAAAAACAUAUGAUUGAACACUAGACCUAGCACUCAAGGAACAGACACAAGCAAUUAAUUAAUCUUCAAAACCAUAAAUGUGCCUAAGUAUACAUGGAAAUUGGAUUAACCAGAAAACCUGAUAGACUCAACCCAACAAUAUUUGUAUAUAUGAUAUAGUCUCAAUUUGCAAAUUGAUUUAGGUAGAAACUAGAAGAAAAUAAGUCAACCCAGAAAUAUGGAUCAAUUGGUCUUUCGGGACUUCCAAGGGGGCAUACAAGUAGGACUCGCUCUAUAUGCAUUAUCACAAUCUCCAAUUCCUGAGUUUCACAAUGAGGUCUCUUUACCGGAAAAAAAUUGUUUCGAAAUGAAUGUCAUGUUCACUUUUCAAUGGAAACUUUUCCAAUUAUGCCCUCAAAUGAAUGUUAUGUACACUACUUCGAAAGUAAUAUAUUCUACUUUUGUGGGAAACACACCAAUAGUUAUUAGGGAUAGUUUAGGAAAAGGGUCAUGUCUUUUGACAACUUUUUUGUAUUUCUUAAUUUGUAAGCGGAAACCUUAAACGACACUCAUUUAGAAACGGAAGGAGUACAUACAUGUCUAGAUUCUGGACUCUCUGAUGACUAAAACUACUGAUCAUUAUGGCCUACAAUUACUUAGUAGUUACAAAAUUAAUCAUCUAUUGGCAAAUGGAAAUAUAUUAAAUGUUUUACUGAUCAAUUAUGAUUACUUACUUUUUUAGACUAUAUAUUUGCAAAGCAUUUACUCCAUUGGCUCAGAAGCAAAAUAGUGACUACUAUUACGUGAAAAAAUAUAUAGCAAGAAAACAAAGAUGUAAAAAACAGAGUUUAAAAAACAUCUUACUCCCAUGGUACGUCCCCUACAAGCAUCCAGUCUCCAUCUUUAUCUUCAUAAGUGAGAACAUAUUCUGAACCAUGCAAAAGGUCCCUCAGCUUGCUCUCACUCAUCAUUUCUUUUCCUGGAGCACCAUGGGAACCACACUGGCCUGCCAUUACACAAUCACCAAAUAUUUCAGAACAAAUAUAAAGCAACAACCAAAUUAAUCGUCAGCAAAAACAAAUUUUAUUUUUAAAGUAAAUCAAAAUAACAACGGCUCACCUAGGGUAAAACAGCUGAACAUCUUCUCAAGGGCAGAAGAUAGUUGCUGAUAUGUUGCAUAAGUUCUUAGAUCGACCUUCCUAAGAUAGGGAGCACCAUCCAUGCUGACCUUCACAAAGAGUGCAGCGGGACCUGGUUUUCCAUCCACUUCAUCAUUGUUGUUCUUGGAAGCGGUGGCCAUUGAGUUUUUUCUAAAUGAUCUUAUAGGAGGCCAACCAACAACUUGUGCCCUGUCACAUACGAAAAUUUACCAUAUCAGGAUUAGGAUAUUUAAAACCACAGAAAAACAAAUCAUACAUGUUUGUUCAGCUACUAGUCUUGUGUAAAUUAAGAUCCUUGAGUUGAUAGAUUUUACUUACUUUGAUGCCGGUGCACAACCAGCGACAGAAGCAGCACCUGCAUGAUUAUGACCAGCAGUUCCUCUAGCUGCACAAGGCCUUUCCUGCAAAACCUUACUCGGCAUUUCUUUCACUGUGCUCGCCUGAGCUCCAGCAGGUCUAGGCGAUAGCAUCACGUUAAUCCCCGUAUUACCAUUAAACUUACCCUGCAUAACAAAUAUUGUAAACAAUCAAUCUAACCAUCAAAACAAAAUAUGCACCUCCCAUCACAUAAACCAACUUCAUCAAACUAAUCACCUGAGAAAACCCAUCAACGGUAUCAGCAAAUCCUCUCUUAUUCCCCGAAACCACAUUCUUCUGCAAACCAUCUUUUGCAGGAAGUAAAGGGAACAAUGGUUUCUCAUCAAGCUUUGUUAAGUAAAAAUCCGAAUCCAUUUCCCUCUCGGGUGAUUGAGAUCCAGGAAGACCCAACCUCAACUCAGUAGCCUUCAAAUUCAAGUUCACUUUUUUCUCAUCACACAAACUUGGGAGAGUUGAAUCACAACUGUCCACCGAUGAACAAUCAGACAAUCCCAAGUAAUUCCGUUCCAUCGUCGACGACAGUUUGCGCCGCCCUUCGUCCUCCGUAACCACAGCCGUCGGAGACAUUUCGCUAACCAACUUCAAAACCACAGUUCACUUCACAAUCUUCCACCAAAAUACAAAAAAAAUGAAAAUCAACAUUAAACCAAUACCAAAAUCAACACAAAACUAACCAAAUAGUAAUAAUUAACAACAAUAAUUAGAUUGUAAAAAAAAAAAAACUAAUUUGCAAGAUCAAAAAGGCAUGAAAUCAUAAAAUCACACCAUUAAUAAGCAAUUUAAACAACAAGGAAUCACUAAAUAGUGCCAUGGAAUUAAAUUAAAAAAAAGAUAUGCAUGCUUUAAAUUAACUAGAGUUAAAAAGCAAACAUAAAUGAUUAUUUCAUAAACACAUUCAUAAAGAAAAAACAUAUGCAUGUCUUAAAUUAACUAGAGUUAAACACAAAAACAUAAACAUAAUUAUCACAUAAACAGAUCAUUAAACACAUAAUGAACUUUUUAAGCACUUAAAUAACAAAUUAACUUCACACAAAAUCAUAUCAUCCUAAUAACAUAACAUGCAUCACAACUCAAUUUUUUUCUUCAAAAAUAGCUUAAUAGAUCCAUAAACACGCACAGAAACAAAAGCCUUACUAAAAAAAAAAAAAAUACUCACACUAUCAACAACAACAAGAAGAUUUUGAAGAGCUGAAGAGAAUGAAAAGCAGAGAAUCAAUAGCACGUUUGUAAGAAAAUCGAUUAUUGAGUUAAGCAGAGAAAGAAAGAGAAAGAAAGAAAAGGUUUUAGAAAGAAGCUAAAAACGCAAUGAAUGGGAAGUGUUAAGACGGAAAAACCAAAAGUUAUUUGGAACGAGUAAGGGUAAAAUGGGAAAUAAUAUGGAAAGUAGUGUCGUUUAGUUAGUUUGAUAUUGAUUAAGUGGGACAAGGUUUGAGUGGAGUUUGACGGUUGUGAUUGUUUCUGACGGAGAAAUCGGGGCCGUUAGUUUAAUAUUGGUCUGAGGAGACAGGGAAAUUAAAUAAGUUGUCGCUGUUAACAGGUGCUAUGAAUGAUAAUCAUAAUGAGUCUGAAAACUACUGUUUAUGCUUUUGAGUUAAUCUCUCAUUUGGCCACACUAGUUACAAUUGAACUAAUGAUGCGUAAAAAUUGAUUUUAAAAGAGUUGGUUUUUAUAAUUUGAUUUUGAUGAAAGGUGAGUUGAAGGUAAAUUGAUUUAUAUUUAACUAUAUUAAUAUAAAAAGUGAUUUAACUUUAAAUUUGUGUAUAAAAAUCAAAUUAUAUGAUAAAAACUAUAAAUCUUAACUUGAAGUAGAAGUAAUUCUUGAGUCAAAAACUCAAAAUCAUUUCGACUUAAAAACAAUCAAACAUGUCAUAAAUAAUUAAUAUUAUAUAUCUAGAAUCAAUUUUGACACCCAUAAAAAGUACGACGUAAUUUUCAACGAUGUGCUUUAGAUACCGUCUAAUCUUACUUCUAGAUAUUGAUAGAAAUAAUGAAAUAUUUUUGAACUGUAUUUCAAAUUCUUUAAAAAUGAAAAUUUGUAUUUUAAAGUGAAUCAUCUUGUUAAAAAGGUAAAAGGAAAAAGUCUGGAUAAAAAUAUAUCUAAGUAUACAAACUUUUUUGAAUUUUUGUCGAUAUAUCCCCUAAAAAAAUCGAUAUAACCUUUUUUUCAUUUUUGUCCAUACAUAUUUGAUUAAAAACUGUACGAAAAUGAGAUAAUUAUGUGUGAUUCCACUCUUUGAUAGUAGGCCACCCCACUUUUAUAAGGUAUUUGUCUUGGCAAAUUCUAUGGUACAUCUAAUAUAUUUAAGUGUACCGGUAUACUUACUCUUUAAAUUAAUGGUUAAAUGAGUUGCUUUUUGAAGAAAAAUAUUAUUUUCUAUCAUUUAUAUUUAUAAUAACUAAAUCUUAUUCAUCAAAAGUGUUAACGAAAUAAAAUUAAUUUUUUUUGAAUUUUUAGCACUCAUAAUUGAGAAUAUCGAUUAUAUUUUAUGAUAAUAUGUAAAAAAAAUUAUUAUGAUUCUUAUAAACAAUGAACCGAUGUUUUUUCUUAUGAAAUGAUGUUCUAUAAAAUAUAAAUAUUGAUAAAUAGUUAUUUAUUUCAUAAAAAAUUAUCGUUAAUUUAUAAAAUUAUGAAGAAAGAGUACCGGUACACCUCAUUUUGUGAAUGUACCGUAGAAGUUCCCAUUUUUCUUUAGACCUAAGUCAUUUACGAUUUUGGUUUGUAUAAAAAGCUUUGUAUUUGUUUAUGACUAUGAAUGUUGUUUGUAAACUACAUUUCACCUUGAUUUUUAAAGAAUAUAGAACAUUUAAGUUUACCCCUAGUUGAGAUGAAAAUUGUUAGUAUUAUUUGUAAGUUACUCUUAAUCUCGAUUCAUAAAAAUAUGAGAUACUCCAUUUUAAAAGUAAUGUUAACAACAUUCAUUUUAUAUACAAAAGAACGAAAGUUGUGGAUCUAUGCUACUAUUAUAUGCAUCGUUGUGUACGUAUUAAAUUCAAAUGUUCAUUAUGAACCUCACAAACACACAUCAUAGUAGUUUCAUUUCAUGAAUGAUUAAGUUAUUUCAAAUCAUAGAGUGAUAUUCUUGCAAAGAUUAAGUUAUUUCAAAUCAUGUAAAUGUAUGUAUGUUUAAAUUUGAAUCAAUAGGAAUAGCACUAGAUGACUUGAGGACAACGCAUGACAAAUUGUUAGCUGACAUGAAUGAUUAUUACAGGGCAGGGGUGAUCAUAGCACAAUCCUCUGCGUUACAUACAAUAUCAGAACUUUAGCUGCAGGAGGAAGUCAACCGUAACAUUAUACUACUUCUUGUUUAUCCGUAACAUUAUAGUAUUAUACUAUUAAUAUUCUUGUUUUACAUACAAGAAAGAAGGAUGAUUAGAAGAGAUUAAUCAUGAUACAGCCUGGUAUAUUAGUUGAGCUUACCAGGUCAUGAUUAGAAAGAGUCAAAUAUUAUUAAAGAGAAUAAAUGACUAAAUGGAGGCUUGAGAUAGAAAAGCAACAAGUGGAGCUAUAAGAAAUAAUUAACUUUUUAUGUUUAUUGAAUAAUUAAUAUAUCUCGUUAUAAAUAUAGACUAGAUGCAUCACUUACACAAAAAAUCUAAAAAAUCAGUUAUUUUAUAUAAUAAAAAUUAGAGGAAAUUCUUAUUAUUGGUUUUUUUAACAAGUGUCUUAGAGACGAUGACUUAAAUAAAAUAAUAAAAAGGGAUUAGAGAAAGAUAAGGAGGGGACAUACUUAAUCAGGAUAUGAGGGGAGACAAGAAUGCGGCAAUGAAAAUAUGUCUGCCGGGUCGUGAGUAGGACAUGUUGUUACCUCCCCUCUCAUCACUAUCUUUUUCCAUCAUUACAAAUUUCUUUCUCUUUGAUGGAUUUUCUUUGUUUGCCAAUUAGACUCCUUUCUUUAAAAUAAAAUUUUCCACUAUAUUGAAAAAAUUGAAUUAUUUUAUUGAAAGUAAAUUUGUUUAAAAAAAGUUCAAGAAAGACUAGUUUUAGUAGUUGGUAGCUAACUUUAAGUUCCAUUUAUAUUAUUGUAUAGGUCAUUAUUUUAUUAUUUAAUUUUUCUAUAUUUGGUGGACUGUAUUCAUUUUAUUAUAUAUGUAAACUAUAAUUUUGUUGUCAGAGUGAACAUAUAAUACACUGUUACUAUUUCUAUGUGUUAGUAGUAUUCUUUUAUGUUAUUAAAAUAUGAUGAAAGAAUAAUCAAGAGGGUAAUGUAAUUAAAAGAUCUUUUUUCGGUUUAACCAAAUGUCUUUUGUUCAAAUUUAGUUUUAGGAAUGCAACGAUGUUAAAUUUUUAAAGAAAGAAGGAGAGUAUUAUCAUUUAUCAUAGUCUCUUCAUAUUUUAUGGAUUAAUCUUUGCAGUUACGCGUAAAUGAUAUCUAAUUCACAUAAAAAAAAAGGGUAUGAACUACACAUAUUUUAAAGAUACACAUGAAUAUUAUAUAUAUGCGCACGCGCACACAUAUACAGUCUUGCUAACGAAUGCCCUAAAGACAUUCUUUAAGGAUUCCUAAUUAAGAAAAUGUUUAUAGAAAAAGUUAAAACAACUCAAUUUUGAGUACAUCAAUUUCUCUAAAAGCUUACUGUCUAAAGGUUGUUGAAAGGUGCCCUUAUUACACUCGUUAGCAUAUAUAUAUAUAUAUAUAUAUAAUUGUUAGAUAUUUGACAGAAGGAUAUUUAUGCAAAUAUGAAACGGACAUGAAUAAUAUUUUUAUGUAACAAAGAGUGUAACAAAUUACCAUUCCCUUCAUAUUCUUUUUUGGUGUUAGCCUUUCGGUUUUUAGGGGAAAUGAAUCCUAGUAAUUCGGAGUUCAGUUGUGAGCCGGCCCGGCUCUGGGAAUAGGUUUGGGGUGUGACUGUGUAGGGUCCAUGGCUGUAGUCGGCAAAAAAAAUUAUAUAGGGGGUGUAUAUAUUAAUAUAUGCUUUAUAAGGGGAUAUGUAUAGCAAAUGCACCAAAAGGGUUCAAAGUCAGCAGCACCAAAGCUUCGUUCGGCCCAGUAACAUUUAAAUUGUUUGAAAUUUGCUUUUGACACAUCAUCAUUGGCUGAAAAACAAACGUAAAUGACCAAAAUACUUACGUGUCGAGGAUUCCAUCAGCAGUUAAGUGUCGAUGUUCUGUUAUAAGAACAUAACAGAACCUAGGAGUUUCCAAAACUCCAUUGUUGCGGAUUGAAGUUCAAGAGGUGCAAAAUUUCCCAAUUGUUGCGGAUUCAACGCCAAUUGCGAUCAAAAAAUCAAGUAAGUUGUUAUCAUCCUAUUGCAUUGCUGUUUUGUGAUUGAAUUGUUAGUUUUUUUUUGGUUAAAUUGUCACAUAAUUAGAUUUUGUUGAUUUUAUGAUUUGAUGUUAGAUUAGAGUUGAAUAUAAUAUUGUAGAAUUGUUAGAAAAUUGUGGUAGAAUUUUUAGGAUUGGUUUAGGUUUUGAUGAAUUGUUGUAGAAUUUUUAGGAUUAGUUUAGGUUUUUUAUGAAUUGUUGUUAUGAAUUUGUGAUAGAAUUGUUAGGAUUAGUUUAGGUUUUGAUCACCGAUUUCCUUGUUGUAGAUAUGUCUCAGAAUCAGGGUGAUGUGCAGUUGAACAAAAAUGAGGGUGAUGAGAAGAAGAAAGCAAAAUCCCGUGUGACAUGGCACAAAAUCGAAUGUGAUGGUUUCGUGAAAAAAAGGAUUUGAGAUAAGCGACGAGGGACUGUCGAGGACAUGUUAUUUUUGUCCUCAACCAAAAGCAGGUGUGCCAGGGACUGUCGAGGACAACACAA